GUUGUUGCUUGAUAUGUCGCGGUGAACAAUUGGUGGUGUGCAGUCAUGAUGCAAGUAUGACAAAGCAUGAGCCAUGCCCUUCACACCGUUCACCCUUUUAGUCCAAUCCAACCCAACAGCUUCCUCAUCUAUGCGUAGAAUACAUAACAAGCUUCCCAUUUCCAUGUACUCAUAGAUCAAGAACACGCAGUUCUCGUGCAAACAAAAGCCGUAAAGCUUUACGAUAUUUCGAUGCCGUAUUUGGGACAGUAGACGAGCCUCAUUCCGGAAACUCUCGAGGGAAGCUAACUCCUCAGUUUCUGAACGGUGAAGCUUCUUCAAAGCAACCACUUUUCCACUGGGCAGCCGUGCUCUGUAAACGCUGCCGUAGCCUCCGGUUCCAAUGCAGUAUUUGAUAUGGAAAUCCUCAGUAGCUUCAAUCAUGUCUUGAAAUGUAAUUCUACCGUCGUAAUUCCAAAUUGCAAACUCAUCAGCGCACUUGGUGAUUUCUUCUGUCUCAGCUGGUUCAACUCUCUUAUCCCUUCGUCUACGGACAAACAAGAUUCCAAAUAUCAAGGCAAGGAAUGCGACCAUAGGGAGAAUAAUUGCAACCAAGCGAGUGACAAUCUUUUUGUGAUGUGGCGGUGGCGAAUUUGCCGAAGUAUUUGGGAUUUCUACCUCGAAAUUGUUGCCUGACACAUAUAAGAGAGGCACUUUUUUGACAGAUUCAGGGAUGCUACCGGAAAGGCUAUUCAUGGAAAGGUUCACGGUAUCUAUGCGUCGAAUUUCUCCAAGCUGGGAAGGUAUUUUACCAUUAAUCAAGUUAUGGCUUAAAUCAAGAUAAUUUAGUUCUUGAAGUUUGCCAAUCUCUGACGGAAUGCUUCCGCUUAACAAGUUGUUUCCCAAUAUUAAUAUCCGCAGCUUUGAGCAAUUCAUGAGUUCUGGAGGAAUUGGACCAUCAAGUUUGUUGUUGUACAUAUUUAAAGUAGUUAGCUGAGUCAAAUGACCCAGGGACGACGGGAUUGGACCAACAAGUUUGUUUUCGGACAAUUCUAAAUCUGUCAACCUAUUUAAAUGACCAAGUGUUAAAGGAAUAGAUCCAGUUAGAUUGUUAUAUUCCAGGGACAGAGAUGUCAAGUUGACUAAACCAGCUAUGGUGGAAGGAAUUGGACCUUCAAGUUUGUUGUCGGACAGGUCAAGAACUUGAAGAAAGUUCAAAUUCCCGAUUUCUAAUGGGAUGGAACCAUUGAUUAGGUUUGAGUGCAUAUAAAAAGUAGUUAGCUGAGUCAAAUGACCUACAGACGAAGGGAUUGGGCCAACAAGUUUGUUCUGGGACAAGUCUAAACUUCUCAACCUCUUUAAAUGGCCAAGUGUUUGAAGGAAUUGAACCUCCAAUUUCAUUUCAGGACAGGUCAAGAACUUGAAGAAAGUUCAAAUUCCCGAUUUCUAAUGGGAUGGAAACAUCAAUGUGGUUUGAGGCAAUAGCCAAAGUAGUUAGAUGGGUUAGAUGACCUACAAUGGAGGGGAUAUUACCAACAAGGGAGUUAGAAGACAAGUGCAAAUUUUCCAAUUUGCUUAGACGACCAAGAGUUGGAGGGAUAUAUCCCCAGAGGAAAUUAUCAGAUAGAUCCAGGUGGACGAGAUUCCUCCAUCUCCCCAUCUCUGAAGGGAUAAUUCCUGUUGCGCAUGUGAUUUAUGAAAAACGAGAUCAGUAUUCACUAUCCUCAUAGAAAUAAAAUUUAUAAAGAAAUGCUUAGGUUGUAAAAAUUAAUAGAUUUUUUAGUGCUCUAAUAGUUUUUUUUUUCUUAUUUUUUGUUGGGGCUCGUCAAUGCUGCAAAUUUUAGACUGAAAGUUAAAUCUGCAGAUGCAACAAAUAUAUCAAUAAAUUAAUACAAAACUAUGGAGAUUAGAGAGAAUCACUCUCAGUGCUCUCAAUUGACUACCCUAUUGUUGUGCAAAUUUUAAUGAACUCGCAAGCGCACGAAUCUAUUGUAGUAUAGACUAAUGGUGACGAGUGUCGAUCCCACGAGGAGGUGGAUUUUAAUUAUAUAUAGAAUUAAUUUUGUAAAUGGGUGGUUGGAAUUGUGGUGGAAGUGAUUUAAAUUAUCCUAAAAUUGGAAUUGAAAUGGCGAUAAUAAAUUCUAAAAUUGGACUUGCAAUGGCGAGAAUAAAUUGAAGAGAAAUCUAUUAAAAUGACUUAUUUGGGUAUCUGGAUCCGUAUCAACAUGCAUCAUGGGCUAAAUAUUCCUUAUUAAUGCCAAUUAAAUCAUGAGGGGGGAAUCCACACCUCAUGAACCACGCUCUAAUCAAUAUGGUGCUAAGGGCUUAUCGUGCCAAAUAAUAAUAACCUUGUACUAGAGGGCCGGUGAAACCAAGGCGGUACUAGACAAGAUUAGUAUUAUUUGUCGACGAGAAGUCAAAACAUCCACAAAAACUAGAGGGGAAGAGAAAAUAAAUUUACCAAAUUAAGCCCAUGACACAUGUUGAGACUUCACCUUCAACCCAAGCUUGAAAGAAAAUUAGCCACUCAUAAUUGAACUAGGGGCAAAAUGAGAAUUUAUUAAAAUACGAAGAAAAUACAAGAUAAAGAAGGAAUUACAGAAAAUAAAGUCCAAAAAUGGAUUCAGCGAUAUCAAAUUAGGGGGGGGAGGCCCCCUUUUUAUAGAUACAUGGAGUAAAUUAUGGCCAUCGGAUUAAAAACAGUUUGGACGCUCAGGAUUACGCCACGUCAUCAGUCAACAGUCCACGGUUUGACCACGUGGAUGAACAGUAAUACGGUUUGACUCGGAUGAACAGUAACGCGGUUUGGUUGAAAAUAAUCCUGUGUGAUGCAUGUACCGUACGCGAGAUUUUUCGUCCACUGAUAUGCUGCCACGUCACCAUCAACAGUACAUAAGAAUUUUAGCCCAACAGGAUCGUGACACCUCAUCAGUCAAUGCCACAUCAUCAUCUGUCUAUGUGAACAGUGUCGUGAACAGUAACGUAUAUACAGUACCGUACACGUGAAUAGUACCGUACAUGUGAUCAGUGCCAUUUUUCUUUUUAUGCUUCUCCUAAGGUUUUCGACCGUCCUGAGUUCAAAAGUGAUGUCCGUUUUGCCAUCUGAUUUCUCGUUUAUUGUGAAAUGACUAUGAUGCCCCUAAAAUACAUAAAAUACUUAAUUAAAAUAAAACACAUGUAAUUAAAUCACAAGAAAGUUAAAUACAUAAAAGUAAGGGUUGUUAAUAAGACUUGAAAUGUAAAAUGACGGUUUUCUCCUUUAUAAAUAUGCAUUUUCUAACACUCAACACACCCCCCAACCAGUUUAUUGCUAGUCCCUAGCAAAUAAAGCGAAAACAAAAAAAAUAAUUUUUUUUAAUAGAAACACUCAUAUUUAUUCCAUCAGAUUAAUGAUAGCAAUUAAAUAAAAGUAUAAGCAUUAUCUCCAGUCUAAAGCAACAUCACACCCACAUCAACCAUCCACAUGAAUCAGCCCAGUAGACUUUGUCAUAGCUACUUUCAAGAAUGACAUGUCAAACCCCAAACUGGAAGUAGUGACACUCUCACAAAGAAAUUAAAACCAAUAAAAAUAGUCACUCCAAUGAAUGGUAAUUGAGAGAGAAAAUAAUAAAGAAGUGAUAUCACAUGCUCUCACCAAAAUGAAAUAAAUAUGCCCUCAGCUUAGAAAUAAUACGAUCUCAAGUCAAAUAAAAAUGCUAGUUAACCCAAUUUAUUUGUCUUAUUUAUUUAUUUAUUUAUUUUUAUUAUGCAGCACUACAUCUUUUUAGCUCAUAUAACUAGCUUCUACUUCAGACUAUAGUUCCCUAAACUCAAGAAGGACUUUUAUUAGGACGUACCGUAGGUUAGGGACAUGGUUAACAAAGAAGGGAAAUAAGGAAAAUAAAGUGUAUGUUUGAGAAAAAAAAAUUGCAGGGAUUUUUUUUUUUUUGGAAGUUGCAAGGUGGAUUUCACCUAUUGUUGUUAUUUUUUUAUUUUUUAUUUUUCUUUUGAAACAACAAUUUUUGUUUUUUUGUUUUUUGUUUUUUUUUUACUUUUAUUUGGCAUAACUUCACUGAACAAAAAUACUUAUUUACAUUUUUCUCAAACAUAAAUAGGUGAUGGAACUUAUAAGACAUUGGGUAAUACUCCAAAUCGGAGUGGGUCAAGAUAAGUUAAACAAAUAAAAGGUUUUUUUUUUUUUUAAAAAAAGGCUCAAAAUGGUUAACUAUGGAUAUUUCACAAAAGGGAUGGCUAGAAAGGCUCAAACGGAUCAAAGAUGGCCUUUCCAUCGUCUUUUAGGGCUCUAAAUAAUCAUCCAUAUCUACUAGUUAGAUGGGCCUCCCAAUGUAGCAACAUACAUUUUUUUUUCUUUUUCUUUUUUUUUUAUUUUACCAUUUUUUUUAAGGGUUAACUCAAAAGAAAUCUAGAGAUCGUGUAUAAAAUAAUAAACUGCUAAGCUGUAUAGAGAAUGGGCAAAAGGGUUACUCUCCAAGAAAAUGAUAGGCUCAACAACUCACUUGGCAUUUAUUUAUAGCAUGUUCAUUCCUUCAAGCAACUUAUAUUUGUCUCCGACAUCAACAUGUAAAGUAGCAAACAUAGCGUAACAUCACUUAAGACUAAAGAUAAUACAAAUACUAAAAUUUGAAAUUAAUCAUGUCAUCCAAUGUUAAAACAAAUCACACAAAUUAUUAUUAUUAUUUUUUAAACAACAUUCUACCCCCCAACCUAUUCUAAGCAUGAAAGGAAAAUAUGCAUGCAGAAAUGUGAAUAUGAUGCAGAAAAACUAAUUAGAAAAGUUACACUUAAAAUGAUGGAAAACCAAAAUGAUUUUUUUUUUAAAGAAGAUGCGUUUCUAGAGGAACUACACUCCAUAUUCAGCCAUCUUCGACUCACAAGUUGGAAAAUGUAUAUUUAUAGAGGAGAAAUUAAAAAGAAGAAAAAUAAACAUAAAAACAUAAUACAGAAAAAGAAAAUGUCUGAAAUUUUUUUAAUUUUUUUUUAAUUUCUUUAACGAUGAAGAUGCGUUUCUAGAGUAACUAUACUCCAUAUUCAGCCAUCUUCAACACAAAAAGUUAGCAACAGUUAGUUUCUACAACAAAAAAUUAGUAAAAACUUAACCAAAAUUCCACAUUUGUCGACUAUUCCCUCCCCCCAACCAGAACGAAACAUUAUCCUCAAUGUUUUAAAGGAAAGAAGUAGAGUUUAGAAGACAUCACCUGGGUGGUGCAACACAGAAGAAAAUAUUUAUAGGCGGAGAGUUAAAUCUAAUUUUUACUUCUUACUGCGGCUACUGUUACCAUCAUUAUUUGGAGGCUCCAACCCCAACACAAAGGUCUAGGGGUCUGGGUCCGGUUUAUAAGCUUGUAACAGAUCAAGUAGCUCAUUAGCAGUGUGAGCACAAAUAAAGAGUUUUUUCGCAUUAGGGGGAAUGAAAUAGUUUUUUAUUGCAUGGUUAAGAAAUGCGAUAAAGCCAUCAUAAAAGUUAUUGACAUUUAACAAACCGAUGGGUUUCUGGUGGAUGUACAGAUGGGCCCAAGAUGCUAGUGUGAUAAGUGCCUCUAGUGUUGCAAGAUCUCCUGGAAGGAAAAUAAAAGCAUCAGCAUGAUUAAGCAUUUCAGUUAUUCUUUCUUGCAUACCUGAGACGACUAACUCUUCUCCAGUUGAUGAGUCAAACGAACUACCCAAAGGUUUUAGGGCUCUUGGGAUGAUGCCUAACACUUGGCUGCCUCUGAUAAAAGCUGCUUCUGAGACCAUUUUUGUUAACCCUCGAUUACCUCCUCCAUACACCAAGUGUAAUUUUCUCGCUGCUAUGCUGCGACCAAGAUCUAUGGCUGCCUCAACAAACUCUUUAUGUUUGCCAUAUGAAAAUCCAGAAAGCACACAAAUGUUCUUGAAUUGUCUAUUUGGAGUAGCUGCCAUUGGGAUACUUCUCAAAAAAUAAUUUGUUAGUGCUUGACAAAAAAAAUCACAUUUAAGAGUCUUGGUGACAAUGGGUCACAGUUGUGUAUGAGGUAACAUGUCAGUGUCAAAUAACGCGUAAAGCACGUGGCUCGCGAGUCAAAAAGGAAACAGUAAAAAGGGAAAAAGAAAACAAUAAUAAGGAAAAAGCAAACAGUAAUAAAAUUAUUAAAGACAAUAAUGCACACAGUAAAACAAUAGUGAAAUAAAAUAACAGUAAAGUGAAAGGAUAUUUACAGGUAGUUGCGACUGUGGCUCACAUCUUCCUCUGGUUUUACGUCCAGAAACGGCUUGAACGCCCUCUAUGGGUCGAGGAUAGGCUUCAUAUCCAGUUUUCUUAUAAAUUGGCAAACAGGGUCGUUUAUAGUCAGAUUCCCGAGACUAUAUCGUGCAUGCUCUUUCUGGAAUAAUGGCCAUAACUGGAGAAUCGCUCCUUGCACAUAUCCACUGGGAUGCGUUUCAAGAGGCAAAAGGAUAUCAUCCAAUGACUCCUUAUUCAAGCCAUCCUUAAUGAAUUGAAUCUUAUCUUCCCUGUUAUCAGACAUCAUUCCUAAAGAACAUGGGUUUUUAUUGCAACUCAUUCUGGCACACUUAUGACAAGCAACAGAAAUUCUUCGAGCUCGUCAUUUUCUUGCAUAAUUUCCUUUACCACAACCAGGCAUGUAUGUAAUAAAUUUUGGAGGUAACUCACCUGUCGAUCGUACUUUAGCCUCGAUUAACCAACGGAUGUCAGCAGGUAUGUUAUUCCUCAAGAGUAAUCGGAUGCGUUCGGACCGAACUUUAUAGAUCGUAAGGAGGGCACUCUGACGAAGUAAAGGGAAUCGCUUGUGAAGCUUCGCUAGAAUCUCGUUUCUGUCCAUACUUUCGCCUCAGAAUAUUAGUUAUUAUGGGAAACUGAAGUAACCGACUUGAUUGUCACGGAGUACCGUUAUCCGCCACUUCACCGGGGUAACAAACUAAAGCACACAAAUAGAAAAACAAAUUAAAACACACAAAGAAAAUUAAAAUCGUCCUCUUAUUGAAUUUACCUCAAGCUCCAACUGGAUGUCAUAAACACUUCUCUCAAUGUCUCUGAGUUGGCUUUCUAAACCCUCAACAUAGGCUACUAACUCUGGUGGUUGUAGAGUCCAAAUACGAUGUGUUUUACAAAAUUGAAUCUGUCUUUUGAGAUGAGUUUUGACACGUUAAAGUGGUUUAAGAAUGUUCAGGAGGAACGGUCUAAGUAUGAGACUCAUGAUUAACAAUGAUAAGAGAAAACUUACUAGUUAAACAAACACACUUAUGCAAAAAUAAUUUCAAUUAGCAAAAGAAUAAUAUAAAGAAAGAAAGAAAAAUCAAAUCAACGAAAAGAAAAAUCAAUUCAAAUCUGGUGGGUCACUCAAAUUUAUUUCGGUGUCUUCUCCAUGUGGUUGGUAUUCUAGAUAUGGUUUUAAUCUUUGACCAUUAACUUUAAACGUGACACCGUUCUUUGGGUCCUUAAUUUCAAUUGCCCUAUGUGGAAAAAUAGUAUGAACAAUAAAUGGGCCAGACCAACGAGAGCGUAACUUACCUGGGAAUAGGUGCAAACGAGAAUUGAAUAAAAGCACUUUCUGACCUGGAGUGAAAGAUUUUCUCAUAAUUUGCUUGUCAUGGAAGGCUUUCAUUCGUUGCUUGUAAAUCUUGGCAUUUUCGUACGCGUCAUUGCGAAUUUCUUCAAGUUCUGCCAGCUGUAAUCUUCUUUCUGAGCUGGCUUGCUGCAUGUCAAAAUUGAAUUUCUUGAUGGCCCAAUAUGCACGAUGCUCGAGUUCCACAGGUAGGUGGCAAGCUUUUCCAUACACUAGCCUGUAGGGUGACAUCCCAAUCGGGGUCUUGAAAGCCGUUCUAUAUGCCCAUAAUGCACCAUCAAGUCUUAAUGACCAAUCUUUCCUGUCUGGCCUCACUGUCUUUUCUAAUAUGUGCUUUAUUUCUCGAUUGGAAAUCUCAACUUGGGCACUGGUUUGCGGAUGAUACGGGGUCGCCACUUUGUGUGUGAUUGAAUACUUUGUCAAAAGAGCCUUGAAUGGUUUGUUACAAAAGUGGGCACCACCAUCACUGAUUAUUGCUCGAGGGAAUCCAAAGCGCGAAACAAUGUUGCUUUUCAAAAAUCCUAUCACCACCUUGUGAUCAUUGGUCCUACAUGAAAUUGCUUCUACCCAUUUCGAUAUGUAGUCAACAGCAACCAAUAUGUAUUGAUGGCCAAAAGAAUGGGGAAAGGGUCCCAUGAAGUCGAUACCCCAUACAUCAAAAAUCUCAACCACUAAAAUUGGAUUUAGUGGCAUCAUGUUCCUUCGUGUAAUGCUCCCCAUUCGUUGACACCUAUCACAUGAAGAACAAAAAGUGUAAGCAUCUUGAAAUAUAGUUGGCCAAUAAAAACCACAUUGUAAAACUUUAGUUGCUGUUUUCUUAGCACUGAAAUGGCCUCCACAAGCUUGUUCAUGGCAGAAUGAAAGAAUAUUCUGAAUUUCAUUUUCUGGGACAUAUCGUCUAACAAUUUGGUCUGCACAAUACUUGAACAAAUACGGGUCAUCCCAAAAGAAAUUCUUUAUCUCUGCAAAUAAUUUAGCCUUAUCUUGCUUGGUCCAAUGCUCUGGAAGUUUACCUGUAACAAGAUAAUUAACUAUAUCACCAUACCAAGGCAAUACUUCCGCACUCAUUAAUUGUUCAUCUGGAAAUGACUCAUUCAAUAUUAAUGGCUCUGUAAUUGUGUCAAAAUGGAGACGAGAGAGGUGGUCCGCCACAACAUUUUCUGUCCCUUUCUUAUCUUUGAAUUCCAAGUCAAAUUCCUGCAAAAGUAACACCCAAUGAAUUAGUCUGGCUUUUGCAUAUUUCUUUAUGAGAAGAUAUUUAAGAGCAGCAUGAUCCGUGAAUAUAAUUAUUUUACAACCAAUGAGAUAGGAUCGAAAUUUUUCCAAUGCAAACACUACUGCUAGCAUUUCUUUUUCAGUAGUUGAAUAAUUCAACUGGGCAUCAUUUAAUGUCAUACUAGCAUAGUAAAUAACGUGGGGAAUUCGAUCAACUCUUUGUCCUAAUACUGCUCCUACUGCAUAAUCAGAUGCAUCACACAUGAGCUCAAAUGGUAAGUUCCAGUUCGGGGACUGAAUGAUGGGUGAUGAUGUCAAUAAAUGCUUUAAUUUUUCAAACGCAACAAGACAUGAAUCAUCAAAGACAAAAGGUACAUCCUUAGCAAGUAGAUUGCAUAAGGGUCUAGAAACUUUGCUAAAAUCUUUAAUGAAACGUCUAUAGAAACCAGCAUGCCCAAGGAAAGAUCUUACUUCUCUGACUAUUUUGGGUGGAGGAAGAUUAGAAAUGAGAUCCACUUUAGCUUUGUCAACCUCAAUACCAUUGCUCGAAAUAAUGUGACCAAGAACAAUACCUUGUUUUACCAUAAAAUGGCACUUCUCCCAAUUUAAGAUCAAGUUCUUCUCAAUACAUCUCUGCAGAACUAGUGUUAGAUGAUGUAAACAUUGAUCAAACGAAUCACCAAAGACAGAAAAGUCAUCCAUAAAGACUUCAAGGAAUCGUUCAACCAUAUCAGAAAAAAUGCUCAACAUGCAUCGUUGAAAUGUAGCAGGUGCAUUACAUAAUCCAAAUGGCAUUCUCCUAUAUGCAAAAGUGCCAAAAGGGCAAGUGAAAGUGGUUUUCUCCUGAUCUUUUGGUGCUAUGGGGAUCUGAUUAUAUCCUGAGUAGCCAUCUAAAAAGCAAUAAAAUUCAUGACCUGCUAAUCUAUCAAGCAUUUGAUCAAUAAAUGGUAAAGGAAAAUGGUCUUUACGUGUGACAGAAUUCAACUUUCUAUAAUCAAUGCAUACACGCCAUUCUGUAGUUACUCUAGUUGGUAUCAAUUCAUUAUCAGCAUUCAUAACUACUGUGACUCCUGACUUUUUAGGGACAACUUGUACAGGACUGACCCAUGAACUAUCAGAAAUUGGGUAAAUGAUACCUGCGUCUAAUAGCUUAAGGACUUCAGUUCUAACAACUUCUUUCAUAUUAGGAUUUAACCGACGUUGCAUUUCCCUAGUAGAUUUAGCAUUUUCAUCGAGGUGAAUGUAAUGCAUGCAGUCUACUGGGUUUAUACCUUUCAUGUCUGCUAUAGUCCAUCCUAAUGCUCCUUUGUGCUCUUUUAAAACAUCCAACAACUUACCUUUUUGUUCGUCAUUGAGGGAUGAUGAGAUGAUUACCGGCAGAGUGCUUUCUUCUCCCAAAAAUGCAUAUUCCAGAGUGUUGGGUAAUGGUUUGAGCUCGAGUUUCGGUGGUGAUUCUGAUGAUGGGAUGAGUUUCUUCUCUGAUGGUGCUAGUUGUUCAACUCUUGACUUCCAUUUAUUAGUGUCCAUGGAUGGUGCUAAGUCAAGUAGGGCAUUGACCUCAUCGACCGAUCUGUUAAUAUUAAAAUCAAAACCAAAGUGAGUUAAACAUGUUUGUAAAGGAUCAUCACUAAGGUUUGAAAGAAAAGUGUUAUCAACUAUUGUUUCAAUUAAAUCCACAUCAAUAAUUCCAUCAUCUGCAUUGUGAGGUUGUUUGGCAAUGUUGAAGAUGUUCAGUUCCAUAGUCAUAUUGCCGAAGGACAACUGCAUAUUUCCAGUUCUGCAUUGAAUGUGAGCAUCCGCAGUUGCCAAGAAAGGUCGGCCUAGGAUAAUGGGGAUGUGCUUCCUUGAAUCCUGUAUUGGUUGAGUGUCAAUUACAAUGAAAUCAACAGGAAAAUAGAACUUGUCUACCUGGAUAAGCACGUCCUCCACAAUACCACGAGGUAUUUUUGUGGACCAAUCUGCAAGUUGUAACACCAAUGGAGUUGGGUGUAAUUCUCUCAAUCCAAGUUUCACGAAUACUGAAUAAGGCAACAGAUUUACACUAGCUCCUAAAUCCAACAAAGCAUUCUCAAUUGUGUGGUUCCCUAUACUGCAUGAGAUAGUGGGGGAGCCUGGGUUUUUGCAUUUUAAAGGAAUUUUAUGUUGGAGUAUAGAACUAACGUUUUCUGUUAAAAAUGCCUUCUUUUGAACAUGUAUAUUUCUCUUUUUAGUACAAAGGUCUUUAAGAAACUUGGCAUAAGAUGGAACUUGUUUAAUAGCAUCAAGCAAAAGGAUGUUAACACUUACCUGUUUGAAGAUUUCAAGAAUCUCACCUGUGGAUUUUCCCUUUUUUCCUUUAGCUAAUCUCUGAGGAAAUGGAGCUUUGGGAACAUAUUCCCGUGGGUUGGUUUUUUCUUUCUCCUCCGGUGAUGAGUCCUCAAGACUCACAUGUACAAUUUGAUUUUCUUUUGUCACCGACAUCUCCACUUUGUUGUCGACUUCUUUUCCUUUUCUCAAGGUCAUAACUGCUUUGACUUCUCCAUGCUGUUGUAGUGAACUGGUACUUGCUUCAUGCACUCCUUUAGGAUUAGGCACUGGUUGACUUAGAAAUUUACCUUUCCCAACAGUCAUUGCCAAGGUCUGAACUGAAGAAGCCAGUUGUCCCACCAUCUUCUCGAGGCUUGAAACUGAUUGGGCUUAUGAGUUGAAGCCCGCUCUCAAUUCAUUUCGUAGUCCAUCAAUGGUGCGGUUCUGUUGCUCAAUCGUGGAGUGAAUAACAUUCUUGAAAUUCUGGAAUGCAUCCUCCCAUGGUCUGGGUUGAGAGUAGUUCUGGUUUUGAUUGUAUGGACUAAAUGGGGGCUGAGAGGCUUAAGGAUUUUGUGGAAUUUGUUGCAUUGGUGUAGCUGGAGCUGCUGGUCCAUUCUGUUGGAAUCCUUGAGACCAUGAAAAAUUAGGGUGGUCUCUCCAUCCAGGGUUAUAUGUGUUGGAGUAUGGGUUGUAAUUUGAUGGCUUUCUCAUUACACCUAUGGCAUUGGCUUGAUCUGAGUAUAAGUCAUGGUCAUGUGGCUCUGUUGAUUUAGCAGUCGAUAACGAUGCUAUUUGUCGAGCAAGACCUUCAACCAUCUCCUUGACUUCUUUGAUUCCCGAAGUUGACUCGCCAAUUUGAACCUCAUUCACUCCUUUAAUUCUUCUAGUAUUCCGGAGUGAUCGACUCCGUUGUUGGGAAUUAUCCGCUUGUCGUUGAAAGAAUUCCCAAAUCUCUGAUGCACUUUUUGACAUUAGCUCUCCUCCACUUGUUGCCAUUAGCCAUUCCUGCACAUUCGGCAAUAAUCCCUCCAAAAAGUAUUGGCAUUGGUGCCAUUUCUCGUACCUAUGAUGUGGACACUUCAAGAGUAGCCAAUUGAAUCGUUCCCACGUUUCGAAAAACUACUCGUCUUCUCUCUGUGUAAACUCUGAAAUUUCCCUGCGAAUAGCAUUGGUUUUAUGCACUGGGAAAUAUUUAUUCAAAAAUUUUGUAACCAUUUGUUCCCAUGAUGUGAUGCUAUUAGCAGGCAAAGUAUUUAACCAUGAACGAGCUCUAUCCUUUAAAGAAAAUGAGAAUAAUCUGAGUUUAACAUCAUCGUUUGAAAAAUUUUCAUAUUUAAAAGUUUGACAAAUUGCAUGAAAAUCAUUCAGAUGAUUAUAUGGGUCCUCAUUUUCUAGGCCAUAAAAUGUUGGGAGACAAUUUAGCACACUGGGUUUUAAUUCAAAACUUCUAGCAGCUACAUUUGGGUAUCUUAUGCAUGAUGUGCUCAAAUUAGCUAAGGGACUAAAAUAGUCCUUAAAUGGCCUCUCUUGUGGUGCUUGUAAAUCCAUUCCAAUUUUAUUUUUAAUGUGCUUUUGUGUGCGAAGUAUUUUUCAAGUUCAAGGUCUAUAGGUUCAAGAUUGGGUAAUAAUGACCUUCGACCAUGCAUGCAAAACAAAUAAAAUAAAAAAUAAAGAUGGGAACAAAAUAAAUAAAAAUAAAGAAAAAGAAGAAAUUACGAUACUAACCUUAUUGCGCUAUUACAACCUUUCUAUAAAAAUACACAAAAAUAAAUACGUGAAAUAAAUUAACUAAAAAUUAAAUUAAUUAAAUAAAAAAAUUACAAAGAAAAAUAAAUUGAAAAUUAAAUCACAGAAUUUUAAAGAAGAGAAAAAGAAAAGAAAUACUAACCUUUAAAUGUAGAUUCACUUUUUUUUUCUUUUUUUUUAAUAAAAAUAAAAAAAUACAAGAAAACAAAUAAAAGAAAUUAUUCACAAAAAUUAAUUCUAUGAAUUAAAAGUACUUACCUCCCCGGCAACGGCGCCAAAAACUUAUUGUGCAAAUUUUAAUGAACUCGCAAGCACACGAAUCUAUUGUAGUAUAGACUAAUGGUGACGAGUGUCGAUCCCAUGAGGAGGUGGAUUUUAAUUAUAUAUAGAAUUAAUUUUGUAAAUGGGUGGUUGGAAUUGUGGUGGAAGUGAUUUAAAUUAUCCUAAAAUUGGAAUUGAAAUGGCGAUAAUAAAUUCUAAAAUUAGACUUGCAAUGGCGAGAAUAAAUUGAAGAGAAAUCUAUUGAAAUGACGUACUUGAGUAUCUGGAUCCGUAUCAACAUGCAUCAUGGGCUAAAUAUUCCUUAUUAAUGCCAAUUAAAUCAUGAGGGGGGAAUCCACACCUCAUGAACCACGCUCUAAUCAAUAUGGUGAUAAGGGCUUAUCGUGCCAAAUAAUAAUAACCUUGUACUAGAGGGCCGGUGAAACCAAGGCGGUACUAGACAAGAUUAGUAUUAUUUGUCGACGAGAAGUCAAAACAUCCACAAAAACUAGAGGGGAAGAGAAAAUAAAUUUACCAAAUUAAGCCCAUGACACAUGUUGAGACUUCACCUUCAACCCAAGCUUGAAAGAAAAUUAGCCACUCAUAAUUGAACUAGGGGCAAAAUGAGAAUUUAUUAAAAUACGAAGAAAAUACAAGAUAAAGAAGGAAUUACAGAAAAUAAAGUCCAAAAAUGGAUUCAGCGAUAUCAAAUUAGGAGGGGGAGGCCCCCUUUUUAUAGAUACAUGGAGUAAAUUAUGGCCAUCGGAUUAAAAACAGUUUGGACGCUCAGGAUUACGCCACGUCAUCAGUCAACAGUCCACGGUUUGACCACGUGGAUGAACAGUAAUACGGUUUGACUCGGAUGAACAGUAACGCGGUUUGACUCGGAUGAACAGUAACGCGGUUUUGUUGAAAAUAAUCCUGUGUGAUGCAUGUACCGUACGCGAGAUUUUUCGUCCACUGAUAUGCUGCCACGUCACCAUCAACAGUACAUAAGAAUUUUAGCCCAACAGGAUCGUGACACCUCAUCAGUCAAUGCCACAUCAUCGGUCAAUGCCACAUCAUCAUCCGUCUAUGUGAACAGUGUCGUGAACAGUAACGUAUAUACAGUACCGUACACGUGAAUAGUACCGUACAUGUGAUCAGUGCCAUUUUUCUUUUUAUGCUUCUCCUAAGGUUUUCGACCGUCCUGAGUUCAAAAGUGAUGUCCGUUUUGCCAUCUGAUUUCUCGUUUAUUGUGAAAUGACUAUGAUGCCCCUAAAAUACAUAAAAUACUUAAUUAAAAUAAAACACAUGUAAUUAAAUCACAAGAAAGUUAAAUACAUAAAAGUAAGGGUUGUUAAUAAGACUUGAAAUGUAAAAUGACAGUUUUCUCCUUUAUAAAUAUACAUUUUCUAACACUCAACACCUAUCCUGUAAAUACAAAAGUAAAUUUAGUAAAUUAAUGAGGAACUGUGUAUGUGUGAAAUUAAAAAUAGUGCUUUUGAUUUGUAAUCAUAUCUUUUAUAGGAUAUAUUCAUUGUCUACAUAUUUUAAUUUAUGUGUAGAAAAUUAGAUAUAUUCAAUGUCUAAUCUGAUUCUACACAAAGACUAAUGCCCCAAGAUUGUGUAGGGGUGUUCAUAAUCCAAUCCGAUCCGCUCAAUCCGUCUGAUCCGUGAAAAUCCGAUCCGUGGAUCCGUGAAUUGGAUAUGGAUUGAAAAUUUAAAAAUCCGCAGUCGAUGGAUUGGAUAUGGAUUUACUUCUAUAAAUCCGUAAAAAUCCGUGAAUCCGCAAAAUAUAUAUAUAUAUAUAUAUAUAUAUACAUUUAUUUAGUUAAAAAAUUAUUAUAAAUUUAAUUAAAGAAUAUUAUAAAUGUGACAUUACAUAGUUACAUAAGCACUAUAAUAUGUCUUAGCUAUUACCCAAUAAUAAUAUUAAAUAAUUAAAUAAUCAAAUAUACAAAUAUAACUUGUAAAAAUUGUAAAACAAAAUAAAAGCAAAGUCACACGCACUAGCAAAAACAAAGUAACAUAACGCCAAGUUACCAACAAUUUGCAAAGUCACCCAAAAGCAAAGUAACAUAACACCAAGUCACCAACAAUUUGCAAAUAAAAAACCUUAAGCUUCCUUGUUGUCACAUGCAAUAGCAACACUCAAUACUGGUUCGAUACACUCUCGACACUGAUUUGAAGGACGUCGGCCGCACGAUUCCAGCAAGAGCAAGCCAUCUUCUUCCCCGAGCCCAUCGAGCCACUUCACAAUCACUGGUUCCAGCCAAACAAUUGCACUAUCACAACCUUCAAGAUCAUCACCCGUACUUCUCCUAGUUCCAAUAGUUGACGGCUCCAUAAUCACCACUUUUCGACAAGUAUAACAGCCCUGGUGAAGGAUCAUACUGUGUUUGGUUUCAGAAACUUCACCAUUUCAAUUAAUUGUGACUUUAUUUGAAUAAUUAAUUUCGGUGUUAUAUUAAUGUAUUAUUGUAACUUUAUUUGAACAAUUAAUCUCGAUGUACUAUAUUUUGAAACUUUGAAUGUAUUAUUUUAGUUUUAUUUAAAUAAUUAAUUUGUUUAAAAUUUAUUCAAUUUUAAAUUUAAUUGGUAAUAAAAUUAUUUUUAUAUUAGAUUUUUUUUUUAAUUUCAUUAGUUCAUGGAUUGGGGAGAACUAAAAAUUUUUAAUUCGGAAGCUAAUGCGUAAAAUGGUGGAUUGGAUAUGGAUUAAGUUAAAUCCGCAUCCGAUCCGCAUACGUAUGGAUUGGAUAUGGAUUGAGUCAAAUCCGCAUCCGAUCUGCAGACGUAUGAAUUGGAUUUGGAUUGAGUUUAAUCAAUCUGUGGAUUGGAUUGGAUUGAAAAAUUAUAAUCCGCAAAAUUGUGGAUCGGAUAUGGAUUGAUGUCCAAUCCGUAAAAUCUGAUCCGCGAACAUCCCUAAGAUUGUGAUUGAAAUGCUAUAAGCAACUUAUUUUAUAAGUUUAGAUAAAAAUGAAGUUUGAUGGCUUUGUUAAAAGUUGCUUCUUUUAUAAUUUUCUCUAUUUUGACUGUAACUUUUAAAAACAGAACAAACAUUAUUUUUAUAAGCAACUUAUUAAACAAGUUGCUAUAUCUUUUUAAAUAUUCAUAUUAUAACCUUAAUAUUUUAAGAAAAGAAUAAUUAUAUCUUACUUUUCUAUAAGCUCUAAUAUAUAAAUAAAAGACAAUUUAAACUCAUGUUUAUUUUAGUCAUUAAAUAAUACAGCACAUUCAUAGUCAAAUUUACUAAACAUGAGCAAGAUACUUUUUUAAUCAUCAACUUAUUUCGUUCUCACAAUAGAAAUAACUUAUUUUAUCAUCCACUGCCAUCCUAAACUUGAUGUUAAGUCACGUUUGGGAUUGCAUUAGAUUGUCAAAUAAUCUAGAGAAAUAGCUAUUAAGGACGAAGAAUAGGAAGAGGUUCGCCAUAAGCAAUAUACUCGCAAGCUUGGCUACUAAUAAACAGAGCAUACAAGCUUAAACACCUAAUAUAUAUAUAUAUAUAUAUAUAUAGUAGUUUUUUGGCACAGGAUCUUAAAGUGCGGGAAACAUUAGGAAAAACUUUAAAACCGCGGGGUUUUAAAGGCUUAAUACUUAAAGCACUUAAACUGCACGGUUUAUGCGUUUUCCCAGACGUUCCCACACUUUAAAAUUCUAAAUUAGAAUAUUUUUAUGUGUGUGUGUGUGUGUGUGUGGAGGGCAAAUCUUUAACUACCUCCGGCUUAAAGGACCUAUACAGUAACUCUUAAAUCAAAGAGAGAAAAUAGUUAAUUCAAUCUGAUUGAAUAUGAAUUGAUAUUCACCAUAUGAUAAUUACAUAAAGAUUGAGCCUUAAGUGUUUUACAUUAAGUAAUACUGCACUGCACACUUGUUCUACACAUUUAGACAACCCAGAUUAAGAAUAAUGAAAAUGAACUCUUAAACUAGCUAGGUGCUCUAUUAUUUAUCUUUGCUCCAUAAAUAUUAGAAAGAUAGAGGAGAGGAAGAAAAAGAAAAGACUAAUUUUGCAGUCCCAAUUUAAUCUUAUGCUCUGAUUUUGAAGCAAAUCUGCAGAGUAUUUAAGGAUCCAAUCAUGAACCAUGUCCACUUCAAUCUUUCGCUGCAUUACUAACCCCUCUGGAUCAUCUUCUGUUGCUGGCUGUAUGUCUAAGCAAUGGGAACCUGCUCUAAUUUACACAUUAUUAAUUAUGUUAUCCAAUAAUUUAGUUAAUAAUUGAACACUAAUUUUUUAUUUUAUAGAAAAAUUUACAUACUGUUUCUUAUUGUCACUGCUAUUAUAUUGUCUGAUAUCUUCCAAAACCCUAUAAUCUCCCCCCCACCAAAAAAAAAGAAGAAAAAGAAUAAGGCAUAUAAUUAAACGGGUAACUUCGAUAGAAAAGAGUGUACAAAAUUUUUAAGCUUAAUUAAUUACCCAGCGCUGCUAUAGGGAUCACGAAAGCCAUUAGAGAAAAUAAGGCUGCUACCAAAUCUCUUUACAACCACUCUUAUACCCUGCAAAUUAAAAAGAAAUAAAAAUCGAACAAAAAUUGAGAUAAAAUUUAUAAUUAAAAAAGAAAAUGAAAAAAAUUAAAUUAUUAAAAGAAUUAAUUUGGGGAUUAAUUGACACUUACAUGACUACCGUAAUAAGUUGUAAUCCAAUGUGGUAUUGGAGCCACUCCAUAAGACUUAUUGCAUGAAUUCAUAUAUUCUAUCGUCUGCUUGAAAAUUGUAUUAUUUUUUUCAAUUCCAAUUGAUGAGACCAUUUCACUGCAUGUCUGCAUGAGAAAUCCCCCCCUCCCAAAACAAAAAAAAAAAUCAUAAUAAAUAAAUAACUAAAUAAAGGAGAAAACUAUUUUUAAUCAUUCAUAAAUAUGUAGUCUCAUAAAUAAAAUUAAAAGAUGUACAUAAAAUAGGUAUUGUUAGCUAGGUGAGAGAUUCAUUCAUCGCAACAUGUUGUUUGUUUGACGAUCUCAAUAGAAGUAUCUAAUGAAAUCAUGUCACCCGUAAUCACAUACCUGCCAGCCUCAGCUCGAGUCUAGUGUUUCAUCGGAUAAGAAUUCAUCAACAUCAUGGCAAGAAUUCUCCCAUCUUAAAGCAACAAUUCCUGAGAAUAUCCGGCCUAGGGUAUCCGUGCCUUCUGAAGCUCCAUGGAUACCUUCACAAGCUUUGCUCACUGGAUAUUCCUGAGGAUCAUCAUACUGAGCUGCACCCGUAUACAUACACUCUAAAUAAUCCUUCAAUUCUGAAACAUCCUUCAGAGGCUUGUAAUCAAAUAAACAACAACAACAUAGAAUUAAGUGCCACAAGGUUAGUAACAUUAUAAAAGAUCUUUCAACAAGCCGUCUAAAACAUGUUGUUAUAUUUAGUUAGAUUACAAUAAACUUUAUAAGUAUGAAGCUAUUGAUAUUAUCAAAUGCAAACGUACAAAUUUGGCCUUAUUUGAUAAUCAGAGUUGUGCGUGGUUUUGUAGUUCAAAUUUAGAUUCUGUAAGAUACGAACCUUUGGAGGCCUGAAUCUAAGCACCAGUAUACUAUAUAUAUAUGGUAAUGCAAAGGCCGUGUAUAAGCCCAAAUCCAGAUUUUUACUUUGUAUAUUACACGUUAAUCGAAAUGUAUAUAUACUCUGAGGAUGACAGAUAAUUAAUUAGACAUAGUAUAUUCGAUAAUGAUGCUACAAUAACAUUGCAUUAAUUGUAAUUAAGGGAAAAUCGGAUGGAUAUAUAUAAGCAGUUAUGUAAAGUAAUAUGAUUACUUUCUUGCAGGUUUUGAACUUUUUAGAGAGAAAAGCAAGUCCAUUUUUUCUAGCAGCGGUUUUAUCCAUUUCAGCCCAGGACUGUUUGAUGGUCAUGUAGCAGCUCUCCCUGGCUUCUUGCAUCAUUAAUUUUCAAAAUUUAAUGGAUUAAUUUUCAAAAUUUAAUGGUUAAAUUUUAACAAGAAAACACAAUCAUACAUAUAUAGAAUUUUAAUUAAUUAAUUUUAUUUCUUACCUUAAAGUCAUUGGUGACAAGAUCAUAAUAUGUGUUUGAGUGUGUGAUAUUAUCAAAAUAGAUAAUUGGGGCGGACGACGCAACUACUCCCAAAGCACUGUAAGAUGGUUAUUUUUUAAAACGUAAUUAUCUUAAAUAUAUUUAUUAUUUCUUAGUUUUACGAUUGCUGAAAGUAUUCAUUAAUUGGAAUGCAAAAUAAAUUUGUAUCAAAAUAAUAUUGGCGUAAUCAAUAUUUUGGUCAAACGAGAUCAAAAUGAAUAAAAUGAUGCAAUAAAUGACACGACAUUAAUCAAAAGAUGUAAGUAACUUAAUAAUAUUAAAAUUUACUUCCUCCAUAAGAUGCUGUCAAAUAAAGUGGCCAUUUAGAUGGUCUAAAGCAGCCAUCUAGAUGAUCAACAACAAUUUUGUUCAAAGAAGACGAAGAAUUUUGCAGCAAGUUUGAAAGAAAAAGAAGCACACGGCUUUAACAUUUGAAAGAAGAAAAAGAAGGUAAAAAAUAAUAUAGAAUUGAUGAAUAGUGCCAAAGCUUUCUCUAUAAAUAGAAACGAAGAGAAUGGGCAAAUGCAUUCCAUUUAGAAAGCAAUUUAGGGAGUUGAGAGAGAGUUCAAGAGCUUGCAUUUAUAAGUUCUUGUUACAGUGAUUGAGAGAGUUUGGGUGUAUUGGGGUUUUUGGGAAGUGAGCUAAAAUACUACAAUACUUGUAACUCUUUUUCACUAGUAAAAUAUUUCCUUCUGUCUUCGCCCGUGGAUGUAGGCUAAAAGCCGAACCACGUAAUUUUUGGUGUCCUCUAUUGUACUUGUUCUUUAUUUUCCUUCUAAUUUCAUUUUAGCUGCGGUCUUACUUCACCCUCCAAUCCUAACAGUGGUAUCAGAGCUAUUGGUUGUAUUUUUUAGAGUCAGGAACUGUUCACGUAAGGGGUACUAUUCACAUAUACGGUACUGUACACAUAUACAAUACUAUUCACGUAUACGGUACUAUUCACGUGAAACGGUGGAAGUGAUCCAAGAAUUUUGUGGUGCAAAGCAGGAAAUAGUGGUGUGAGUAAAGCAACUGUGUGAUUUUGUACAUGUCUAGGAAAGUUCUGUCACAAAGGCGAUAAGAGCUUAAGGAGUCUGGGUUUUAAGUGGGACCAUUGUGACCCCUCCAGUCUUUCCUGGGAACUUUCCUGGUGUGCAUUCUCACACAUACUCACAACUAUUCAAGGUGGUACACUAACUUGUGUGCAAUAUUUAUCAACAAAAUGGUGGCAAAGUAUGAAAUUGAGAAGUUUAACGGAAAUAAUUUUUCGUUGUGGAAAAUAAAGAUGAAAGCUGUAUUGAGGAAAAAUAAUUGUUUGGCAGCAAUUGGAGAAAGGCCCAUGGAGAUAACUGAUGACAAGUGGAACGAGGUAGACGGCAACGCCAUUUCUGAUCUACACUUGGCACUUGCGGAUGGAGUAUUAUCCAGUGUGGCAGAGAAAAAUACGGCGAAGGAAAUAUGGGAUACUCUCACAAAAUUAUACGAGGCCAAGUCACUACACAACAAAAUCUUCUUGAAAAGAAAACUCUAUACUCUUCGAAUGGCGGAAUCUACAAUGGUGACCGACCACAUCAACACAUUGAAGACUCUAUUUUGGGUCAUAAUAUAGAGGAAAAUGAGCGUGUAGAGCUUCUAUUUCAAAGUCUACCAGAUUCGUAUGAUCAACUCAUCAUCAACCUGAUGAACAACAAUCCAGUGGAGAGUCUAGUUUUCGACGAUGUUGCAGCCUCCGUAUUAAAUGAGGAGAGCAGGCGGAAAAAUAAGGAAAACAGACAAGCAAGUUCGCAGCAAGCGGAGGCGCUAUCGGUGACGAGAGGGAGAUCAACAGAACGUGGCCCCAGUAGGAGUCAAAAUUAUGGUAUAUCAAAAUCCAGAAGUAAGAAGAAUGUUAAAUGCUACAACUGUGGCAGGAAAGGGCACGUCAAGAAAGAGUGUUGGAGUAACCAGAAGAGAAGAGAUGGUAAAAAACAUGAGUCAUCAAAUGCUCAGGGGUGUGUAGCAAGUACCUCGGAUGAUGGCGAAAUACUCUACAGCGAGGCAAUAACUGUUUCAGAAGGCAGAAAACGACUAUCUGAUGUCUGGCUUAUAGACUCAGGAGCUACCUGGCACAUGACCUCUCGGAGAGAAUGGUUCCACACAUAUGAACCUAUCUCAGGAGGAUCUGUAUAUAUGGGUAAUGAUCAUGCCUUGGAGAUCGUUGGUAUUGGUACUAUCAAAAUUAAAAUGUUUGAUGGUACAAUUCGCACAAUUGGAGAGGUACGACAUGUCAAUGGCCUGAAGAAAAAUCUAUUGUCUUUGGGACAAAUGGAUAGUCAUGGGUACAAGACUCAUGUGGAGAAUGGAAUUAUGAAGAUCGUUAAAGGCGCGCUUGUAUUGAUGAAGGCAGAAAAGAUCGGUGCUAAUCUAUUCAUGCUUAAAGGAGAAACACUAUAGGAGGCUGAUGCGUGUGUCGCGUCAAAUGGAGAAGAGUCAACGAUGAUGUGGCAUCUCAAACUUGGUCACAUGUCAGAACAAGGUUUGAAGAUUCUCUCUGAGCGAAAAUUACUUCUGGGGCUCAAAUCGGUAAGUUUACCAUUUUGCGAGCAUUGUGUUACAAGUAAGCAGCAUAUAUUAAAAUUCAGUAGAUCUAUUGCUAGAAGUAAAUGCAUUCUAGACUUGAUUCAUUCUGAUGUUUGGGAAUCACCGGAUAUAUCCAUGGGAGGUGCAAAGUACAUGGUGACUUUCAUUGAUGAUUAUUCCAGAAGAUGUUGGGUGUAUCCAAUUAAGAAAAAGUCAGAUGUAUUUCUAGUGUUUAAAGAAUACAAAGCGCGGGUGGUGACACAACUUAAAAGUAAAUUUUAACUCCCAAGUAUAAGAGUGUCUUGUUGUAUUAUAACUCGGUGAGUCCGAGGUCGAUCCACAGAGAAAAGAUUUAAUUAGUUUAUUUUAUUUUAUCUAAAAAUUGAAAUUAAAACUUGAAUAUAAACAACUUAAUUUAAAUGAAACUAUGGAAUUGAACUAGUUAGGGUUAUGGAUCCACUCUUAGAAAUAAAUAAAACUUAAUAAAUUCUUUUUGCCAAUUUAUUUUAGAUUUAUUACCCAAAAGAUUAAUUAUACAAAUUAUUAUUAUUUUCCCUUUAAUUUUAUGAUGGAUUAAGUAUUUAUUGUGCCAAAAUUUAAUUUGUCUACAAUAAGGCAAAAUACCAUUUCACCAUGCCUUAUAUUAAGAUCUUAAGAAUUUAUUGUGCCAAAUUCAUUUGUUUGUCUACAAUAAAUCAAAAUUUCAAAAUAUAAAACAUGUAUAAAAUUAAAUAGAAAAUAAUUUAAUUUAUAAAAUUAAACAUAGAAUUUGAUUAAAUCAUAUUUAUUUCUUAAGAGUUUCACCUUCCCCUAACUAAUAUUAUUUAGUUAAGCAUAAUUAAAAUAAAAAGUAGUAAAAUUGAAUUACUUGUAAUUAAAAGAAAUAAAAACAACUAAAAUUGGAAAUAAAACUAAUUUUAUUAAUGAAAAUAAUUAUACAAAAUAUUAAAAACACACCUGGAAAUCAAGAUUACAAGGAGAUGGAGAGAAUUUGAGAAGAAGAGAGUUGUAGAGAGAUGAUUAAAACAUAAAAAUGAGGCCUUAUUUAUAGAAAAAUAAAUUCAUAAUCCAGUGCUUUGUGGUCCAUCAUAGGCUUCAUGCAUGUGCUCCUCACAACCCUUAGAUCAAGAUCCAAUGGCUGGUCAAACUUCAAAAGUCAACAUCACACAUGGCAUCAUUUGACUCGUCCGAUUUGCCCAAAGAACGGUUGAGAUUUGGCGGGUUAAUGGGUGGAUCGGGUCGACCCGAAUACAAAGAUUCGGAUCCUCCAACUUGCUUCACCAACCAUUGCCACGUGGCACAAUCAUGGCCAUUGAAUGAUGAACGGUUGAGAUUUAGUCAAGAUUGCCAGUUAUCCCAUGCACUCAUAUCUAUUGUAAGCUCAUUUCAUCAUCCAAUCAGUGCUCGGUCAACAGGAAAAGUCAACUUUUUUUACACAAGCCCAAUUUUAAGCCGAUCUUGACUGAUCUUAAGGUUUUCGGACCUCCGGAAUCCAAAUUUGACCUCCGUUUAUUUGUUUGGAGCCUCGAAGUACGUGAAAUUAAUAAUUUUCCUAAUAAACACAUAAAAAUACACAAAAUUAAAUAUAUUUAAAACAUAAUUAAUAAUUCAUAAUAUAUUACAUAAACACAAAUAUAAAUUAUAACAUAAGCAUAAAAUAACAUAUUAUCGCUUGAUAACUAAACAAUUUUUAAUACUAAUCACACCCCCCAACCAGCUUAUUGCUAGCCCUCUAGCAAUUAAAGCGUUAUAUUAAGAUUUAUAAAAUUCACAUGCAAGUUAAUAGUUGUUCAUCUAUCCUCUAAAUUACCAAAUAAAUGAACUCUCCCAAAUUCCUUUACCACAUUGAUGUUCACUCAUUAUCCAGAAUAUCAUCAAACCUUCUUUUGUGCUCAAGUAAUUAACACAAUACUUAUGGGGCUUCAUUAAAAGAAAAACAACAUUUUCGUUCUAAAAUUCAUUAGAAAUUAUAUCUUUAGGCAAUAGAUUAUUCACACAUUUUUUUUUUAUAUUACAUUUCUAACCCGUUUAGCAAGCUUUAGGUCAGUGACUCCCAGACCAGUUGGCCUUAGGGCACUAGGUGUUGAAGCACCCCUACGGACUUAAUUACUCGGGUUUCUAAUAAACAAACAAUAUAUCUAUUACCCAUGUAGCGAGCUUUAGGCCAGUGACUCCCAGACCAGUUGACCUUAGGGCACUAGGUGUUGAAGCACCCCUACGGACUUAAUUACUCGGGUUUCUAGAUAUAACAAAAUUAAAAACAUUUUUUCUUCUUCUUUUUUUUUGAUUUUUUUUUUUUGGUUUUUUUGUUUUUUUGUUUUUGGAAAUAUACACUUUCUACUACCUUAGAUACUAUUCCUAAUAAAUCAAAAGAACUAAAUGCUGUAAAACUUUAACUUACAACCCACUAGUAUGUGUCAUAGUGUGUGUGUGAAGAAUGAUUCAAUAAUACCUGUUAAAUGAGUAAACAAUUAAAUAACUUAAUAACCAAGUGGAGAGUUCACAAAUUUGAGUAAUUCAAAGAAAAGGGAACAAAAACAACUUACUAUGAAUCUCAAAAUCAAAAUAUAAUACAACAAGACUAUUAGGAUGCGUCUCAAAAGUCGUGACUCUUUACACGGCCAUCCUAGACAAAAAACAAAUUUUUUUUUUUUUGGUUUUUUUUUUAACAAAGAAAAGAAAAGAGAAAAGAGAAAAACAACACACAUAUUUAAAAUAUACGUCAAUUAUCCCCACCCCACAACCUAAUCUAAACAUUAUCUUAACAUUUUAUAAUUUUACAGAUAUGCAAAAAAAUAAAAAUAAAAGAGAAUAAUAAAAGAAGAAGAAGAAGAGAUCUCACCUGAACUUGAUGCAGAAGCUUAAAAGCAAAUAACAAAGAUGAAGAAAGAGUCAAUUUUUUUUUUUAACAACACCCUUAAGAUUAAGAAGAUGCGUUUCUAGAGAGACUACAUUCUCUAUAUCCUGCCAUCUUCGACUCAAAUUUGUCCUAAGUUAGUCUUUACAGAAAAAAAAAUUUUUUUUUUUUUUGUUUUUUGUUUUUUUUUUUUUUUGUAAACACAUAACCAGGACUAAGACAUUCCACAAUUAUCAACUAUUCCCUCCCCCCAACCUGAAAAAGACAUUGUCCUCAAUGUUUUAAAAGGAAAGAGAAAGAGUGUAGAAGACAUCACAUGAACACUACAACAGAAAAUAUUUACAAACGGAGAGUUAAAUCUAAAUCGCACUUCUUAUUAUUGCUACUGUUACCGUUACCGUCAUUAGUCGACCAAUUCAGUGCAACAGUCUGUGGAUCUGGCUCUGGUGUAUAAGCUUGCAAAAGAUCAAGUAACUCAUUAGCAGUAGAAGCAGAGAUAAAUAGUUUUUUUACAGAAUGUGGAACAAAAUGAUUCUUUAUUGCAUGAUUAAUAAAAGUUAGCAAGCCGUCAUAAAAAUCAUUAACAUUUAACAAACCGAUGGGUUUUUGAUGAAUGUUCAAGUGGGCCCAAGAUGCAAAUGUAAUUAGUGCCUCAAAAGUUGCAAGAUCUCCUGGCAAGAAAAUAAAAGCAUCAGCAUGAUUCAUCAUUUCAGAUAUUCUCUCUUGCAUACUUGAUACCACUAAUUCUUCUCCAAUUGGUGGGCCAGACAUGCACACUAGCGGUUUCAUGGGUUUUGGGAUAAUGCCGAGUACUUGGCUUCCUCUGGUAAAAACAGCUUCUGAGACAAGUCUUGAUAACCCUCGUUCACCUCCUCCAUAUACAAGAUGCAGUUUCCUCUCUGCUAUGACACGACCAAGAUCUACAGCUGCCUGAACGAACUCUUUGUACUUUCCAUAGUGAAACCCAGAAAGCACACAAAUGUUUUUGAAUUGUUUACUCGAAGAUGAUGCCAUUGGACUAAUUUUUCAAAAACAAGUUGUGAGUGUUUGAAAAAUGAGCUCAUAUUUAAAGAUCUUGGUAACAUAAAUAAUGAGAAACAGCUGUAAAUGGGUUGGCAAUAUUUGUCAAAUGACGAGUAAAACUCGUGGCUCAAUAAUUCAAAAACAAACAGUAAAAAGAAAGUAAUGAUUAGAAAAAGCAAACAGUAAAAGAAAACCAAAUAUUUAUUAAAUACAAAAUCACAUCGCUAAAUGCAAUAAUGCAAAUGAUAAAAUAACAGUAAAGUAAAAUAACAGUGAAGUGAAAGGAUAUUUACUGGUAGUUGUGAUUGUGGCUCACAUCUUCCUCUGGUUUUACGUCCAGUAACGGCUUGAACGCCCUCUAUGGGUCGAGGAUCGGCUUCCCAUCCAGUUUUCUUAUAAACUGGCAAACAGGGUCUUUUUGAGUCAGAUUCCCAAGACUUAACUGUGCACUUUGUUUUUGGAAUAGUAUCCACAAAUUGUAAAUCUCACGUUGCACAAUUCCGCUUCGAUGCGUCUCAAGAGAUCGUAAGAUAUCAUCCAACGAUUCUUUACUCAUGCCAUCUUUAACGAAUUUAAUUUUAUCUUCACGAGUAUCAGAAACCAUUCCUAAAGAUUUACAAUCUGGUCGUUUGCAACCAAGUCUCACACAGUUAUGACAUUUUGAGCCAAGUCGUUUAGCUCUCCUUUUCUUAGCAAACGUACUUUUACCAAAACCAGGCAUGUAAGAAACAAAUUGACCAGAAAACUCACCUGCUAAUCGGACCUUUGCUUCAAUUAACCAACGAAUGUCAGAAGGAAUGCCAUUGAUCAUUAACAAACGCAGUCGUUCACAACGAGCUUUGUAAAUUUUCCUGAGGGCAUUCUGAGGGAGAGAGGGAAAAUGCUUAUGGAGUUUAUGUUGUAUUUCUUCCAUGUAUGAUUUUGGGGUUUCAGUUAUUGUGGGAAACUGAAGAUACCGACUUAAGAAGUCACGGAGUACCGUUAUCCGCCAUUUAUACGGGAAAAUAGAUCAAAACACACCAAAAUCAAAUCUGCAAAAUCAAAUCAAGCGUGAAAGCGAGUAAAAAGAAGCACACAAUAUAAAAGGAAAAUGAACUUACAUUCGUCCUCUCAUUGAGUUAACCUCAAGCUCCAUUUGAAAUUCAUAUAUGCCACUCUCUACUGUUCUGAGUUGUCCCUCUAGAUCCUCAACAUAGGACACGAAUUCUGGUGGUUGCAGAUCCCAAAGUGGAUGUGAUUUACAGCUUUGUAUCAGGCCUCUUAAGUGAAAUUUUAUACGCCGAAAUCUUUUAAGAUGUGCGAACAGGUAUUUUCUCAUUGAGGUGCUCAUGAUGUAAAAUGAAAAUUGAUGAGAGAAUGUACAACUGUCAAACAAACACGCUUACACAAGAAAAACAAUGUUAAAAAAAAAACUAUGUACAGUGCAUCAAUCUAAGGAAAAAAAAAAGUCAAACAAUGAAACGGUAAAAUAAUAGUAAAACAAAAAAAAAUCAUUAAAAACUUAAUCAAGAAUUGGUGGGUCAUCCAAAUUAAUUUCGGUGUCCUCGUCACGUGGGUGAUGUUCCAGAUAUGGUUUUAAUCUUUGACCAUUAACUUUAAAUGUGACACCAUUAUUUGGAUUCUCAAUUUCUAUGGCCCCAUAUGAAUAUACAUUUUUUACAACAAAUGGGCCACUCCAUUUUGACUUUAACUUUCCUGGAAAUAAAUGAAGACGAGAAUUAUAAAGCAACACUUUUUGACCAAUCUCAAAUGUUUUUCGAAAAAUUCUUUUAUCAUGAAAUGCUUUUGUUCUUGCCUUAAUAAUUCUUGAAUUUUCAUAUGCAUCAUUCCUUAAUUCCUCAAGUUCAUUCAAUUGCAAUUUUCGCACAUUACCAACAUCAACCAAAUUUGAAUUAAAAGCUUUAAUAGCCCAAAGUGAUUUAUGUUCAAGUUCAACAGGUAAAUGACAAGGUUUACCAUAAAUUAACCGAUAGGGUGACAUUCCUAAUGAUGUUUUAAAUGCAGUGCGGUAAGCCCAAAGUGCAUCAUUAAGUCUAAGAGACCAAUCUUUUCGGUUUGGGUUAACCGUUUUUUCCAAAAUUUGUUUUAUCUCCCUAUUUGCUAAUUCAACUUGACCAUUUGUUUGAGGAUGAUAAGGGGUAGCAAUUUUAUGUGUAAUUCCAUAUUUCUUCAUUAAAGACUCAAAUGACUUAUUACAAAAAUGCUUACCUCCAUCACUGAUAAUGGCUCGAGGGAUUCCAAAUCGACUUAAAAUGUUUUCUCUUAAAAAUUUAAUCACAGUUUUACUGUCAUUAUUUCGACAAGAAAUUACUUCAAUCCAUUUUGAGACAUAAUCAACUGCAACUAAUAUAUACACAAAUCCAAAAGAUGAUGGAAAUGGACCCAUGAAAUCAAUUCCCCAACAGUCAAAUAUUUCAAUUUCAAGUAUGGGAUUUAAGGGUAUCAUGUUUCUUUUUGUAAUUGAUCCCAAUUUUUGACAUUUUUCACAACUUUUGCAAAAUUCAUAUGUGUCUUUAAACAUGGUAGGCCAAUAAAAUCCACACUGCAAAAUUUUAGCAGUAGUUUUUCUUGAAGAAAAGUGACCACCACAUGCUUCAGAAUGACAAAAAUUAAUGACACUACUUACCUCAUUAUCAGGAAUACAUCGCCGAAAAAUUUGAUCUGGGCAAUAUUUGAACAAAUAAGGAUCAUCCCAAUAAAAUUUCUUUACUUCAACAAAAAAUUUCUUCUUCUCUUGAGCAUUCCAUUGCAAAGGCAUUUUACCUGUAACAAGAAAAUUAACAAUAUUAGCAUACCAUGGCAUUGAAGUAACAGAAAAUAAAAAUUCAUCAGGGAAAGAAUCAUUUAUGGGUGUUAUAUCAUUGCAGAAUUCGGAUGUGAGUCUUGAUAGAUGAUCAGCAACAACAUUUUCAGCACCCUUUUUAUCUUUGAUGGUAAGGUCAAAUUCUUGUAGUAACAAAAUCCAACGAAUUAAUCUCGGUUUGGCAUCCUGUUUACUCAUCAAAUAUCUCACAGCAGCAUGGUCAGUAAACACAAUAGAUUUAGAGCCAAGCAAAUAUGAACGGAAUUUGUUUAAUGCAAAUACCACAGCAAGUAAUUCUUUUUCAGUUGUAGAAUAAUUCAUUUGAGCACUAUCCAAAGUCUUGCUCGCAUAAUAAAUCACAAAAGGCUUACCAUCCCUUCUUUGUCCUAAAAUAGCACCAACAGCAAAAUCACUUGCAUCACACAUUAAUUCAAAUGGCAAAGACCAAUCAGGAGAUUGCAUAAUAGGUGCAGAUGUUAAAAGACAAAUUAUUUUUUCAAAAGAUUUUUGGCAAUCAUCAUUCCAUUCAAACGGUGCAUCUUUUAAUAAGAGGUUACAAAGUGGUUUAGAUAUGGCACUAAAGUUUUUUAUAAACCUCCUAUAAAAUCCUGCAUGUCCUAAAAAGGAUCGCACAUCUCUAACUGUUUUUGGUUGUGGCAAUUUAGAUAUGACUUCGAUUUUUGCUUUGUCAACUUCAAUUCCUUUAAUAGAAACAACAUGACCCAAAACAAUUCCAGAAGUAACCAUGUAGUGACAUUUUUCCCAAUUCAACACGAGUUCUUUUUCAACACAUCUUUUUAAAACUUUCUCCAAAUUAUCAAGGCAAUCAUCAAAAGAAUUCCCAAACACAGUCAAAUCAUCCAUAAAGACCUCUAAACAAUGUUCAACCAUAUCACAAAAAAUGCUUAACAUACAUCUUUGAAAUGUUGCAGGAGCAUUACAAAGCCCGAAUGGCAUUCUUUUAAAUGCAAAUGUUCCAAAAGGACAUGUGAAUGUGGUCUUUUCUUGGUCCUCAAGUGCUAUAGGAAUUUGAUAAUAACCUGAAUAUCCAUCUAAAAAACAGUAGUAGGGAUGUCCUGCUACUCUUUCUAAGAUUUGGUCAAGGAAUGGUAAUGGAAAAUGAUCUUUUCUAGUGGCUUCAUUUAAUUUUCUAUAAUCAAUGCACAUGCGCCAACUAGAUGUAAUUCGUGUUGGAAUUAAUUCUCCUUUUUCAUUUUUAACAACAGUGAUUCCAGAUUUUUUUGGCACUACUUGUGUAGGACUUACCCACUUACUAUCAGAAAUAGGGUAGAUAAUUCCCACAUCAAGUAAUUUAAGGACUUCUGUUUUGACUACCUCUUUCAUGUGUGGGUUUAAUCUUCUUUGAGGUUGUUGACAUAUUUUAGCAUUUUCUUCCAAAUUAAUUCUAUGUGUGCAGAUUAAGGGAUUAAUGCCUUUAAUGUCAUUUAAAGUCCAUCCUAUUGCAUUUUUAUGCUUUUUAAGAACAGUUAGUAACUUACCUUCUUGGUCGCUUGUUAAAGUAGAAGAAAUCACAACAGGAUAAGUUUGUUCUUCUCCAAGAAAAGCAUAUUUCAAUCCUUCAGGCAAAGGUUUCAAUUCCAUUUUAGGUGCUUCUUGUUGUUCUGUCUUUUCAAUACUUCCAAGCUCCUCAAAUUUUGGCUCGUCAUCAUAAUUUUGCGAAGUCUGCAUAGAAUCAAGCAACGAAUUUAUAUUAGAAAUAUCAAGUUUAAGUUGCUUAUUUGACUCAAUUGAAUUAACUAAACAAACAUUAGAAAGUUCAGAAAAAUCCCCUUUUUGAAUAUUUUCCUCGAUACAAGAUUCAAACAAUUCCUUUUGUUCAUCAAUAUCAUCUUCAUUCUCAUUUUCUUCAUUAGGUUGCCUGCACAUGUUGAAAACAUUCAAUUCCAAAGUCAUAUUCCCAAAGGAUAAAUUCAUUAAACCAUUCCUACAAUUAAUCAAAGCAUUAGCAGUUGCUAAAAAUGGUCGACCUAAAAUUACAGGAAUUGGUUUGUAAUUAUUCACAACAGGUUCAGUUUCCAAGACAAUAAAAUCCACAGGAUAAAUAAAUUUAUCAACUUGUACUAAAACAUCUUCCACUAUUCCUUUUGGUACUUUAACGGAUCUAUCGGCAAGCAAAAGUGUAGUUGAAGUUGAUUUUAACUCACCAAGAUUAAGUUGAAGAUAAACUGAAUAUGGAAGCAAAUUAACACUAGCACCAAGAUCUAGUAAAGCAUGCUCAAUUCUGUGGUUACCAAUAAUACAAGAAAUGGUAGGACAACCAGGAUCUUUAUAUUUCAACUUAUUAUUAGUAGACAGAAUUGUACUUACCUGUUCGGCCAUGAAAGCACUCUUUCUUACCUUCAAUUUCCUCUUAACAGUGCACAAGUCCUUUAAAAAUUUGGCAUAUGAAGGAACCUGCUUGAUUGCAUCUAAUAGAGGAAUGUUAACUUUCACUUGCUUAAAGAUUUCAUAAAUUUCAGAAGAGUGGUUUGAUUUCUUUGGUUUAUUCAAUGCAUGCGGAAAUGGUGGUUCAAGUGGAACACUAGUUAUUUCUUCACUAGGUGUAAGUUCAUUUAGUCAUUCCUUACCCUUUGAAUUUUCAUAAGGUUCAGGCAUAGGUCUAUCAACAACCUUACCACUACGAAGAGUUAUAACUGACUUGACUUGGUCUGUGGGUGAAUUUUGUUGAAUUUUAGGAUUUGGUUGUGGUUGGGCUGGAAAUUUUCCUUUUUCUUGAAUGGUGAGUGCAGAAGCAAUUUUAGCAAGAGUAUCUUUCAAAUAAAAAAAAGUUUGUGCAUUUUGAUUGUUAAUAACAUCUUGCUUUCUGAUGAAUGAAUGCAUUGUGUCCUCCAGAUUUUUCCAAGGUGGUGGAACAUAUGGUGCAUAAGGAUGAGGAUUUUGAAAAUUUUGUGGAGGUGGUGCUUGUGAAGAUUGUGCAUUAUUAUUAUUCCUCCAACUGAAAUUCGGAUGAUUUUUCCAACCAGGAUUAUAAGUCUGUGAAUAUGGGUUUGGUUUAUUGAAAGUGUUAAUGACAUUAGCUUGAUCAUUUAGACAUUCUUUAAGUGCAGGCAAAGUGGGACACUCUUGAGUGAAAUGAUCAUUCGAAUUACAUAUGUUACAUGCAAUUUCUUGAACAGAUUUUACUUGAUCACUCUUUUUAUGCUCCAAAGCUUCAACUUUCCUAACUAGGGAUGCAAAUUUUGCUUGUAAAUCAUGAUCUUCCCUAAGGUUAUGGAUUCCUCCACUAGAUGGAGAUGAUUGUUGCUUAUUUGUCAAUUCAAAAGUUCCAACAGUAUCCCAAUGUUGUGCAUUUUCAGCUAAUUGGUCAAGGUAAUCUAGUGCAUCUUCAGGAUUUUUAUCCCUAAAUUCACCAUUACACAUCAUUUCAACAACCUGUCUACUUUGGGGUAUUAAGCCUUCGUAGAAAUAAGUGACCAAUCGCCAAGUUUCAAAACCAUGAUGUGGGCAUAUGUUAAGCAACUCUUUAAACCUAUCCCAACAUUGGUAUAAUGUUUCUCCAUUUUUUUGAGUGAAAGAAGUGAUUUGCCUUUUAAAAGAAUUUGUUCUAUGAGGUGGAAAGAAUUUUUUCAAAAACUGUUCUUGCAUGUUAUUCCAAGUUCUUACUGAUCCAGAUCUAAGGUUUUGUAGCCAAGUUUUAGCUUUAUCUUUUAAUGAAAAAGGAAAAAGCUUUAAUCUAAUUAUGUUCAUGCUACAAUUUUGGUCCGUGUAUGUAUUACAAACUUCCUCAAAAUCUCUUAGAUGCAAGUACGGAUUCUCAGAUUCUAAACCAUGAAAUGUUGGUAAAAGUUGGAUAAUACCUGGUUUAAAAUUGAAUCGAGAUGCUUCUGGAUGCUCCGGUUCUGGUUGGAUUCAUGUAGUCUCUCAGAGUCCUUGGUUGAUUCUGAUCGUGCCCAUGUUGAGAUUGGUUGUCUCCCUGAUCAAUUUGAGGAUUAAGUUCGCCCAAAACAUUUUCGCCUUCAUUCUCAUCCAUGAUUGGUGGUGGAGAUUGAGAUCUACGAAUUAACCUGCCACUUGAAGAUCGAGACCAACGUCUCAUGCAAGGGUUAUGUUAUAAAGAUAAUAUUUACACAAAUUGAUAAUAAAAUAAAAUAAAAAAUUAAAUAUGCAAAUAAUAUAAGUGUACAAAAGAAAAUUAAAUAACAAUUUUGGUGGUUGAACCCACCAGUUAACAAUAUAAAAUAAAUGCAAAAGAAAGAAAAAGAAAAAAUGGUAGUUAAACCCACCAAUAAAGCAAAAAAAUAAAAUAAAAUAAAAUAAACGCAAAAUAAUAAAAUAAAUAAAUAAAAUGGUGGUUGAACCCACCAAUAAAAAAAAUAAAGCAAAAAAAAAUACAAAAUUAAAUAAAUACUGAAAAUAAAAAUUAGGAGUUAGUAGUUAGUUUGGUGGUUGAACCCACCAAUAAAGCAAAAAUAAAUAAAUACGAAAUUAAAUAAAUGCAGAAAAUUAAAUAACUGAAAUUAAAAAAGUUAGCAGUUAGCAGUUAGUAAGUUAAGAGUCAGUAAUUAGAGUUAGUAGUUAAAGUUAGUUUAGUCCAAAAUAUGUUAGUUUAGUCCAAAAUAUGUCCAAAUAUGUUCAAAAUAUGUCCAAAUAUGUCCAAAAUAUGUCCAAAGUAUGUCCAAGUCUUAAUUAUUUUGAGGAAUUUCGUCUAGGGAUUCUAUUGCAAAUUAUUUUUAAUUUUAUGGUCAAACUGUAAUUUUUAGAAGUUUAGAAUUAGUAAUUUGGGAUGAAAGUGAAACAGUUGAAAGAUAUCGGGGUCCGAACGUAAUUACCAGAAGAUUGGGCUGGAAACGGAAAUUGUUGGGGUGAAACUAGAAUUAUGAAAGAUAUGGGGACAAAAGAGAAUUUAAGAAAAGAAAAAGGGGGUAAACGAAAUUUUACAUAUAAGAGAAAAAUAAAAAACGGAAAAACAAACCAAAUAAAAAAAACUUUUCCCCGGCAACGGCGCCAAAAACUUGACACAUCUUAAAAGUAAUUUUUAACUCUCAAGUAUAAGAGUGUCUUGUUGUAUUAUAACUCGGUGAGUCCGAGGUCGAUCCACAGAGAAAAGAUUUAAUUAGUUUAUUUUAUUUUAUCUAAAAAUUGAAAUUAAAACUUGAAUAUAAACAACUUAAUUUAAAUGAAACUAUGGAAUUGAACUAGUUAAGGUUAUGGAUCCACUCUUAGAAAUAAAUAAAACUUAAUAAAUUCUUUUUGCCAAUUUGUUUUAGAUUUAUUACCCAAAAGAUUAAUUAUACAAAUUAUUAUUAUUUUCCCUUUAAUUUUAUGAUGGAUUAAGUAUUUAUUGUGCCAAAAUUUAAUUUGUCUACAAUAAGGCAAAAUACCAUUUCACCAUGCCUUAUAUUAAGAUCUUAAGAAUUUAUUGUGCCAAAUUCAUUUGUUUGUCUACAAUAAAUCAAAAUUUCAAAAUAUAAAACAUGUAUAAAAUUAAAUAGAAAAUAAUUUAAUUUAUAAAAUUAAACAUAGAAUUUGAUUAAAUCAUAUUUAUUUCUUAAGAGUUUCACCUUCCCCUAACUAAUAUUAUUUAGUUAAGCAUAAUUAAAAUAAAAAGUAGUAAAAUUGAAUUACUUGUAAUUAAAAGAAAUAAAAACAACUAAAAUUGGAAAUAAAACUAAUUUUAUUAAUGAAAAUAAUUAUACAAAAUAUUAAAAACACACCUGGAAAUCAAGAUUACAAGGAGAUGGAGAGAAUUUGAGAAUAAGAGAGUUGUAGAGAGAUGAUUAAAACAUAAAAAUGAGGCCUUAUUUAUAGAAAAAUAAAUUCAUAAUCCAGUGCUUUGUGGUCCAUCAUAGGCUUCAUGCAUGUGCUCCUCACAACCCUUAGAUCAAGAUCCAAUGGCUGGUCAAACUUCAAAAGUCAACAUCACACAUGGCAUCAUUUGACUCGUCCGAUUUGCCCAAAGAACGGUUGAGAUUUGGCGGGUUAAUGGGUGGAUCGGGUCGACCCGAAUACAAAGAUUCGGAUCCUCCAACUUGCUUCACCAACCAUUGCCACGUGGCACAAUCAUGGCCAUUGAAUGAUGAACGGUUGAGAUUUAGUCAAGAUUGCCAGUUAUCCCAUGCACUCAUAUCUAUUGUAAGCUCAUUUCAUCAUCCAAUCAGUGCUCGGUCAACAGGAAAAGUCAAUUUUUUUUACACAAGCCCAAUUUUAAGCCGAUCUUGACUGAUCUUAAGGUUUUCGAACCUCCGGAAUCCAAAUUUGACCUCCGUUUAUUUGUUUGGAGCCUCGAAGUACGUGAAAUUAAUAAUUUUCCUAAUAAACACAUAAAAAUACACAAAAUUAAAUAUAUUUAAAACAUAAUUAAUAAUUCAUAAUAUAUUACAUAAACACAAAUAUAAAUUAUAACAUAAGCAUAAAAUAACAUAUUAUCGCUUGAUAACUAAACAAUUUUUAAUACUAAUCAGGUGGAACUUGAAUCUGGUAAAAAGAUCAAGUGUUUGAGGACAGAUAAUGGUGGAGAGUAUACAAACGGCGAGUUUCUUGCUUUCUGUAAGCAAGAAGGUAUUCAGAGGCAGUUCACAGUGGCAUACACUCCUCAACAAAAUGGAGUGGCAGAGCGGAUGAAUAGAACUCUUACAGAACGGAUAAGAGCUAUGUUAAUGACUGCUGGUCUACCCAAUUCAUUUUGCGCAGAAGCAGCCAAAACUGGCUGUUAUAUAGUAAAUCGAUCGCCAUCUAUAGCUAUUGGGCUGAAGACAGUGAUGGAGAUGUGGACUGGAAAGCCAGCUAAUUAUUCCUACCUACAUGCAUUUGGAUGUCCUGUGUAUGUGAUGUACAAUGCCCAAGAAAGAACAAAGCUGGAUCCAAAAUCUAGAAGAUGUAUCUUCUUGGGGUAUGCUGAUGGAGUAAAAGGGUAUCGUCUGUGGGACCCCACUGCCCACAAGAUCGUCAUCAGAAGAGAUGUUAUCUUUAUAGAAGAUCAACUGCAAAUGAGAGAUGAGGAUGAUGGCACUGCAAAAGAAAAGUCAAAGAUUGUGCCGGUAUAUGUCGAAAAUAAUCUAAAAAAUUUAUAUUCUUCUGAAGCAGUACCAGAGCACGAGGAACAAGAACCAGUCGAGUCCGAGGCUCCAGAAGUUCGUUGGUCAAUGUGGCACUCGGAGUAUGUCACAGAAAUCAAUGUUGUAUACUGUCUUCUAACAGAGGAUGGAGAGCCUUCAACUUUCCAUGAAGCUUUAAACAGCUCAGAUGUUGCUUUGUGGAUGACAGCAAUGUAGGAAGAAAUUGAAGCUCUACACAAGAACAAGACAUGGGAACUUGUACCACUACCACGUUGUAGAAAAGCCAUUGGAAACAAAUGGGUCUACAAGAUCAAACGUGAUGGCAAUGACCAAAUGGAGCGGUAUCGUGCAAAAUUGGUGGUGAAAGGAUAUGCUCAGAAAGAAGGUAUUGAUUUCAACGAGAUAUUUUCGCCGGUGGUUUGACUCACAACAGUCAGAGUAGUCUUGGCGAUGUGUGCUACAUUUGACUUACAUCUUGAGCAGUUAGAUGUGAAAACUGCAUUUCUUCAUGGAAAACUUGAAGAAGAAAUAUAUAUGCUCCAACCAAAAGGUUUUGCAGAAACAGGAAAAGAGAACUUGGUCUGCAGGUUGAAUAAAUCUCUAUACGGUCUCAAACAGGCGUCGAGGUGUUGGUAUAAGAGAUUUGAUUCCUUCAUUAUGAGCCUUGGAUACAACAGACUCAAUUCAGACCAUUGUGCAUAUUACAAGAGGUUUGAAGAUAGUGAUUUCAUCAUUUUGCUGUUGUAUGUGGAUGAUAUGUUGGUAGCAGGUCCCAACAAAGAUCGAGUCCAAGAAUUGAAGGCACAGUUGGCUAGGGAGUUUGAAAUGAAGGACUUGGGACCAGCAAACAAGAUUCUAGGGAUGUAAAUUCACCGAGACAGAAAUAACAGGAAGAUUUGGCUUUCUUAGAAGAAUUACUUGAAGAAAAUCUUACGACGCUUCAACAUGCAAGAUUGUAAGUCAAUUUCUACCCUACUUCCUAUUAAUUUCAAAUUAUCCUCAAGUAUGUGUCCAAGCAAUGAAGCAGAGAGGAAGGAAAUGUCUCGAGUACCGUAUGCAUCAGCAGUGGGAAGUUUGAUGUUCGCUAUGAUAUGUACUAGACCGGACAUUGCACAAGUAGUGGGAGCAGUCAGUCGAUACAUGGCGAAUCCUGGUGGAGAGCAUUGGAUAGCUGUGAAGAGGAUUCUAAGAUACAUUAGAGGAACCUCAGAUGUUGCAUUAUGUUAUGGAGGAUCAGAGUUUACUGUCAGGGGCUAUAUGGAUUCAGAUUUUGCAAGAGACCUUGAUAAAAGGAAAUCCACUACUGGUUAUGUGUUUACACUUGCGGGAGCAGCUGUAAGUUGGGUUUCGAAACUGCAGACCGUUGUGGCUUUAUCUACAACAGAAGCAGAAUACAUGGCAGCUACACAAGCUUGCAAGGAAGCUAUUUGGAUACAAAGAUUAUUGGAGGAGCUAGGGCACAAACAACAGAAAAUUCCUGUGUUUUGUGACAGUCAGAGUGCCUUGUACAUUGCAAGGAAUCCAGCCUUUCAUUCCAGGACAAAGCACAUAGGAGUUCAGUAUCACUUCGUUCGUGAAGUAGUGGAAGAUAGAAGUGUGGAUUUGCAGAAAAUCCAUACCAAAGAGAACCUAGCAGAUGUUUUGACCAAGCCGAUAAAUACUGAUAAGUUUGUCUGGAGUAGAACCUCUUGUGGCUUAGCAGAAACGUAGGCAACAUGAUUAUGGCGAAGCAGAAAGGAUGGUGUGGAGAUUGAUUGAUUCUCAAUCUAAUCUCCAAGUGGGAGAAAUGUCAAAUAAAGUGGCCAUCUAGAUGAUCUAAAGCUGCCAUCUAGAUGGUCAGCAACAAUUUUGUUCAAAGAAGACGAAGAAUUUUGCAGCAAGUUUGAAAGAAAAAGAAGCACACGGCUUUGACAUUUGAAAGAAGAAAAAGAAGGUAAAAAAUAAUAUAGAAUUGAUUAAUAGUGCCAAAGCUUUCUCUAUAAAUAGAAACGAAGAGAAUAAGCAAAUGCAUUCCAUUCAGAAAGCAAUUUAGGGAGUUGAGAGAGAGUUCAAGAGCUUGCAUUUAUAAGCUCUUGUUACAGUGAUUGAGAGAGUUUGGGUGUAUUGGGGUUUUUGGGAAGUGAGCUAAAAUACUACAAUACUUAUAACUCCUUUUCACUAGUAAAAUAUUUCCUUCUGUCUUCGCCCGUGGAUGUAGGCUAAAAGCCGAACCACGUAAUUUCUGGUGUCCUCUAUUGUGCUUGUUCUUUAUUUUCCUUCUAAUUUCAUUUUAGCUGCGGUCUUGCUUCAUCCACCAAAUUUCCUAACAGAUGCUCCAACAACGAUAAUAGGAGACAUUUCGGCUGAUAAAUUUUCCUUAAUGUGUAAGAGAAUCUUUGCAUAAUCUGCCAAAGCUUGACCAGAGUUGAAAUAUCCACGAAGAGUUGCAUUCUUUAGGGCAUCUUUGCGUGAUAUAAAAGGUACUGAUUUUCUAUAGAACCGAUGCUGCAUAAAAAAUCGAAUUAAAGAAAAAAAAUCCAUCACAACUUUUCAGUUCAUAUUGUAGAAUAUUCUGAUUAAGAUUUGUCUUUAUUAUUAUUAUUUUGUAUGGGAACUCUAUUUCAAUUAUUAUCAAGCUAGCCUGAUAACAGAUUCUUUACUUACCUCUAUGUAAACUUGUAAGGCUUUAAAUCAACGAGCAUUAUCAGUAAGCCAUCCAGUGCCACCAAGGUCAUCAUCAAGACUACUCUCUUUACCAAGAUAUGCCAAUAUCGGCGCCGCCGUGGCUCCACCACCACCCCAAUGUUUGAAGUUCAACACAUAUCUAUGAGAAAAAGUUAAAUAACUUUGUGGAUUAUAGUUAAAGUGAUCAAGUAUUUGAUCAUCAUAAUAAGUUUCGAGAUCACCCUUUGGUUCUGAAGUUAAUAUUUUUUUACUAGGGUUUAGAAAAAUAGUCUUUCCACGCACAACACCAAGCUUUGGGAUGUUUUUUAAUGGUGAAGUGGAAGCAAAAGCAAAAUUUGUGAGGAGAAGAAGAAAAAAGGCAUGGAAGCCACCGACCUUCCAUGGCAAAGUUGUAAAUCCUUAAUUAGCAGGAUGAUUAUGUAAAUACAGAAGAAAUAGAAUUAAGAUUCGGUUAUAAAUUCAGCUUCAGAAUCGACGUGUUUUUUAAUCUAUUCUGGAUUUUUUAUUAUCCUAUCAUAUAAUCAUUGGUGGUUUUAGUUUUAUAUUAGUAAUGAUCUUUAGUUUUCAUAAAAUUAUGGUUUUUCUAAUAUAUAUUGUUAUCAGUUUCGUAACUAAAUACGUUGCGGUGAAAAUUAUUAAGUCUUUCCUUAGUAAUUAACUAACUUGACAUACGUAGUUCUAAUGGUUGGACACAUAUUUCUAAUUUAAUUAACUUGUAAUUAAUUAUUUGCUAGUAAUUAACUUGAUUUAGUAUGUGGUAAAUACAUAAUUUUGAUAAAAUCAGUAAAAAAAUAGUAAAUUUUCUAUCAUGUAAGUGUAAAAUUAAAGAUAUAAUUUUUUUUAAUUACAAUAGCUAAUAUUUACUUGAUACUUUAAUACUGUAACUUUUAAACUAAGCUACCCAAACAUGGUUGUAAUUUUCUAUAAUCAUGCUACCAAAGAUGUCAGGAUUCCAAUCAUUGUUUACGAGGCUACUAUAUAUGUUAAUCAUGCUAAUGCUAUAAGCCUUGGAUUGGAAGUAAUGUAAAUCCAACCGUUGGGUAACGUAGCUAGCCUAAUUACACUUUAUUAAGAGAACAAUACAAUUAACAAUAGUCUCACAUGAAAGGGUGGCAAUUCAUUAUCCGAAUUUGUGAAUUAGACACUAACACAUCAUAUCGAGAAGAUUUUUUAUGACUAUUAUGACAACUUGUUCACGUCCAACAAACCAUCCCAAAGCCAAAUGGAGAAUGCACUGAAGAUCUGCCUCGCAAAGUCACUGAAGAGAUGAAUGCCCAGCUAAAUCAGCCCUAUACAGAAGCAGACAUCACAGAAGCUUUGAGCCAAAUGCACCCUACAAAAGCCCCUGGUCCAGAUGGCCUUCCAGCUGCUUUCUUCCAAAAGCAUUGGAAAUCAGUAAGUCAAGGUGUUACUACCACAUGCUUGCAGGUCCUAAAUAACAAAGGUAACCCUACUCCACUAAAUCAUACUUACAUAGCUCUGAUUCCAAAGGCUGAAAAACCUAAGAAAAUGGCGGAUUUUAGACCGAUCAGCCUAUGUAAUGUAAUUUAUCGGAUAAUUACAAAAACCAUUGCCAAUAGGUUGAAGCUGGUUUUGAACGAUGUAAUCUCACCAGCUCAAAGUGCCUUUGUUCCAAAUAGGCUCAUAACCGAUAACAUAAUUAUUGGUUACGAAUACUUACAUAAAAUAAGGCUUAGUAUGGGGAAAAAACAUGGGCUAGUGGCUUUGAAAUUAGACAUAAGCAAAGCAUAUGACAGGGUGGAAUGGGACUUUUUGAAAUGUACCUUAGAAAAAUUGGGAUUCUCGCUUGGCUUUGUUGAAUUGAUAAUGCAAUGCAUAACUACCUCUUCAUUUUCUGUGCUGAUAAAUGGGGUGGCUAAAGGGCUGAUCCAACCUCAAAGAGGAUUAAAGCAAGGAUGCCCAUUGUCCCCAUAUCUUUUUAUUCUCUGUGCAGAGACUUUUACAAAUCUUUUACAGCAAGCAGAAUCUCAGCAACUGAUUCAUGGGAUAAAAUUCAGCAAUGAACUUUCCAUCACUCAUCUUUUGUUCGCUGAUGAUAGUUUGAUUUUUACAAGAGCCACAAGGGAGGAUUGUACAAAUUUAAAGAAGAUUUUUUAGUGUUAUGUUGCAGCCUCUGGGCAGAUUUUCAAUUUCGAGAAGUCGUCUAUGUUUUUCAGUGAGAGUACCAAGCCGUAGCAGAUUUCCUCAAUUACAACCAUCUUCCAAAUUCAGGUGGUAUCCAGGCAUGCAAAAUACUUAGGGCUGCCCUCCAUGGUGGGUAGAAAUAAGACGAGUUUUUUUAAGGAUAUCAAACUCAGAGUUCUUGGAAAGAUUUCGAGCUGGCAAGCAAAUUUGUUCUCUUGUGGGGAGAAGGAGGUGUUGAUAAAUGAUGUAGCUCAAGUGGUGCCUGCAUAUGCCAUGAGUGUGUUUAAGCUCCCCCUAGGACUUUGUGAUGACAUGCAAAAGGCAAUUGCUAGUUUUUGGUGGGGAAGCAGCCGAGAUCACAAGUCAAUCCAUUGGUCGAAAUGGAAUAAUUUGUAUCAAGCAAAGAGUAGAGGUGGGCUGGGAUUUCGAAACUUGUCCAGCUUNNNNNNNNNNNNNNNNNNNNNNNNNNNNNNNNNNNNNNNNNNNNNNNNNNNNNNNNNNNNNNNNNNNNNNNNNNNNNNNNNNNNUUUUAAAAAUUCAAGUCUGAUGCAGGCUCAGUUAGGCUCAUAUCCUUCCUUUAUAUGGAGGAGUAUUUUAUGGGGUCGAAAUGUAUUAGAAAAAGGGUUGCGCUGGAGAAUUGGAAAUGGUGAGCAGCUGCUAGUGUAUCAAAGUCAAUGGAUUCCUCGAUCUAUAACUUUUCAGCCAAUAUCCCCCCCAUCAUUGAGCCCAGAUACAAUUGUUGCAAAGCUGAUAAGUGAGGAGCAAAGCCGGAAAGAAGCUGUAAUUAGGCAACAUUUUCUAAAAGAAGAUGCUGAUCAAAUUUUGAAAAUCCCUUUGCCAAGACAACCAAAACCUGACCAAGUGUUGUGGCACUAUGAUAAGAAGGGUAAUUAUUCAGUUAAAAGCGGUUACCAAGUGGCUAUGAAAAUGAAUUUUCCUGAGAAGCCAAGCUGCUCGAGUGAGAAUGAUAAGUAUUGGCAUGCUAUUUGGUAUUUGCAACUUCCGGAAAAAGUUAAAAUCUUCAUGUGGAGGGCGGCAAAUAACUUGUUGGCAACGGCAGGAAAUCUUUGGAAGAGGACAGUGGUGCAAUUCCCUUGGUGCCAGAGAUGUAAGUUAUCAAAGGAGACUAUUUUUUCACACUCUCUAUGAAUGCAAAGCUUCAAGGAAAAUUUGGAGGCUAACCCCUUUUGGGGAGGAUAUUGAGUUUAGCAAUGGAAGAGAUGUUCUAAGCUUGCUGUAGGAUUUGAAUGGAAAAAGGAGAAAAUCUGAGAUGGAACUGAUUGUUGCUGUGUGCUGGAGCAUCUGGCACUCAAGGAAGCUUUUCCUCUUCAAAAACAAAAAAGAAGAUCCCCAGCUAUCAGUUGCAGCAGCAGAAGCAAUGGUGCAAUCUUAUAGCAGAAUCCAAAUGCCCCAAAUGCAAAGUAACUCCCAGCUGAGUACUGCUAAUCAGAAACAAUGGAAACACCCUCCAGAGGGCUGGUUCAAAGUUAAUGUUGAUGCAGCAGUAGGAGUGGAACAACAAAGAGCUGGCCUGGGAAUUGUUAUAAGGAAUUCAGGAGGAAAGUUUAUAGCUGCAGCAAUGAAGCCCUCAAAGUUUAUUGGCAAGAUUGAUUUUGCAGAAGCUGAAGCUAUCAGGCUCGGGCUGGAGAUAGCAGAAAAUGUUGGAUGCUUUCCACUAAUUGUGGAAUCUGACGCCCAGGAAGUGGUGGACUUAGUCAAUUUCAAGAAAAGCUCAAGAGCUGAAAUAUUCUGGGUUGCUUCUGAAAUGCAAGACCAAGUAAAGAGGCUGAACCAGGUGAAAGUAGAAUAUACCCCAAGAGGGUGCAAUACAUUAGCUCAUUCUCUUGCAAGACUAGCAUUAGAGCUAAAUGAUUUUGUUUUUUGGGUAGAAAAUAUACCCUCAAAUUUUUUGUACCUAUUCACACAGUUGGAUAAAUGAAAGUAAUACUUUCUCUCAAAAAAAAAAAAAAUUAUCAUGUCAAAUCUCUGUAUCCUCUUCACUAAUCAAUUCGUUUUUGCACUUUGACUUCCCCACAGGGAAUUCUUAAUUAAUUAAUUUAUUUUUUUAAAUAAGUGCAAAAUUUAUCCCGCCGAGUAUAAUCAAGGGGUGCACGUCAAGACAAAACAAGCAACAGCUGCGACAUGGUUUCAGAGUCAUAUCAUCUAUAAGCCAAACGUGUGUCUGCUCAAUUAGACACCAUAACCUCUAAAGACAAAACAAAUGCAUGCAACUUACCAUAAAAAGAUGAAUGACGAAGUCAUUAUGCAAACUAGAAGAAAUGUAAACUGAUAGGCAAUAAUUGAAAUAAGAUGCGAAAUUAUUUAUAACACAAUUAACAAUUCAACAAUCAGAUGUGUUGAUUUAUUUUCAAUCUGACUUAGACACUAUGUUAUAUUUUAUUAUGUUUUAAUAUAUAUAUAUAUAUAUAUAAAUAAUCAAAAAAUUAUAUAAAAUUCACCAUGAAAAUAAGGAAAACGAAAAAAAAAAUCGAACGGGCCCGCUGAUGGAUCACCAAUGAACGAAAAAGAGCAACUGAAACAAACGAAAUGCAAUGGCAUUUUGGGGAAUCUAUCAAAAGCUGAUACCCUUUUUGCCGAUUCCCAGCCAACCUCUAUAAAUUGCCCGCAAUUGGAAAAAUUCGACCAAAAAAAAAAACAAAUUCACUUCAAAAAGUUCACACACACUCACACACACGCGCGCGCGCGCGCGCGGAAGCCUACUUCUUCUUCUUCUUCUUCUUCUUUCAAUUCUCUGGUAAAACGCAAUAUUUUUUUGUCGUUUUUUCUUCCUGUUAAUACUUAAUGCUUGGGCGUUUUGUGUAUAAUGGAAAUGGAGUCUCGUGUCUGAUUUAUUAUCGCAGGGAACGAUGAAUUAUGCUGAUCUAAAUCGACGUAUCACCGUUAAGGUAACUAUAUAAUUUUUUAAUUUCAAAUUCAUUUCUUUCUUUUCUUUUGUUUUUUAAAAGAGUAAUAUUAGCUUCAACUGUGAUGCUGUUCAGUAGCAGUGCUGACCUUUUUAUUCAUAAAUGUCUUCAGAUAUUUCAUAAUAUGGAAUAUUCUUCUUUAUUCUGUUCUAUUUAUUUACUGGUUUUAAUGUACAUAUUGUCGAGGAGCUAAAUACGCGAGUAUAAAAAUUAACUUCAACUGAUAAUUGGUAGUCUGAUUAUGCCAUUAGUUUUAUCGAGUCCACGUUGAUUCAGUUUGUUGUUUGAUUUUUAUGUGGAACUGUUACUUGAUUAUACAUGAACAUUCACUUGUGCAAAUUUAAUAAUGCCACAUUAUUUAAUAUUUAAUUUUGAAGGCCACUUUUUUAGUUGAGGGCAGGGAACCACUACGAUUCCAUAACACGCUCAUCUAAUCACCUUGACAAUAAGACUUCUCCUAGUCGGCAAUUAUUUAGAAAUAACGUCUUGACAUAUGCUGCGGAAAUUAAAGAAUGAAGUAGACUUACGAAGUCAAGGUGUUUUUCUAGUCUACAUAUUUUAAUUUGUGUAGAAAAUUAGAAAUAUUCAAUGUAUAAUCUGAUUCUACACAAAGACUAAUGCCCCAAGAUUGUGAUUGAAAUGCUAUAAGCAGCUUAUUUUAUAAGUUUAGAUAAAAAUGAAGUUUGAUGGCUUCGUUAAAAGUUGUUUUUUUUAAUAAUUUUCUCUAUUUUGACUGUAACUUUUAAAAACAAAAUAGAGAUUAUUUUUAUAAGUAACUUAUUAAAUAAGUUGCUAUAUCUUUUUAAAUGUUCAUAUUAUAACCUUAAUAUUUUAAGAAAAGAAUAAUUAUAUCUUACUUUUCUAUAAGAUCUAAUAUAUAAAUAAAAGACAAUUUAAACGCAUGUUUAUUUUAGUCAUUAAAUAAUACAACACAUUCAUAAUCAAAUUUACUAAACGUGAGCAAGAUACUUUUUUAAUCAUCAACUUAUUUCGUCCUCACGAUAGAAAUAACUUAUUUUAUCAACCACCGCCAUCCUAAACUUGGUGCUAAGUCUCGUUUGGGAUUGCAUUAGAUUGUCAAAUAAUUAAGAGAAAUAGCUAUUAAGGAGAAGAAUAGGAAGAGGUUCGCCAGAAGCAAUAUACUCGCAAGCUUGGCUACUAAUAAACGAAGCAUACAAGCUUAAACACCUAAAAUAUAUAUAUAGAGAGUAGUUUUUUGGUACGGGAUCUUAAAGUGCGGGAAACAUUAGGAAAAUUUUUAAAACCUCGGGAUUUUAAAGGCUUAAUAAUUAAAACACUUAAACUGAACGGUUUAUGCGUUUUCCCGGACGUUCUCGUACUUUAAAAUUCUGAAUUAGAAUAUUUUUAUAUGUGUGUGUUGUUGUCCAAAUUUUAAUGUACUCGCAAGCGCACGAAUCUAUUGUUGUAUAGAUCAAUGGUGACGAGUGUCGAUCCCACGAGGAGGUGGAUUUUAAUUGUGUAGAAUUAAUUUUGUAAAUGGGUGAUUGGAUUUGUGGUGGAAAUGAUUUGGAAUAUCCUAAAACUUAAAUUAAAAUGGCGAGAAUAAAUUCUAAAAUUGGAAUUGAAAUUACGAGAAUAAAUUGAAGAGAAUUCUAUUAAAAUGACGUACUUGGGUAUCUGGAUCCGUAUCAACAUGCAUCAUGGGCUAAAUAAUCCUUAUUAAUGCCAAUUAAAUCAUGAGGGGGGAAUCCACACCUCAUGAACCACACUCUAAUCAAUAUGGUGCUAAGGGCUUAUCGUGCCAAAUAAUAAUAACCUUGUACUAGAGGGCCGGUGAAACCAAGGCGGUACUAGACAAGAUUAGUAUUAUUUGUCGACGAGAAGUCAAAACAUCCACAAAAACUAGAGGGGAAGAGAAAAUAAAUUUACCAAAUAAAACCCAUGACACAUGUUGAGACUUCACUUUCAACCCAAGCUUGAAAGAAAAUUAGCUACUCAUAAUUGAACUAGGGGCAAAAUGAGAAUUUAUUAAAAUACGAAGAAACUACAAGAUGGAGAAGGAAUUACAAAAAAUAGAGUCCAAAAAUGGAUUCAGAGAUAUCAAAUUAUGGGGGAGAGGCCCCCUUUUUAUAGAUACAUCAAGUAAAUCAUGGCCAUCGGAUUAAAAACAGUUUGGACGCUCAGGAUUGCGCCACGUCAUCAGUCAACAGUACGCGGUUUGACCACGCGGAUGAACAGUAACACGGUUUGACCUAGAUGAAUAGUAACGCGGUUUGACUCGGAUGAACAGUAACGCGUUUGAUUGAAAAUAAUCCUGUGUGAUGCAUGUACCGUACGCGAGAUUUUUCGUCCACUGAUAGGCUGCCACGUCACCAUCAACAGUACAUAAGAAUUUUAGCCCAACAGGAUCGUGACACCUCAUCAGUCAAUGCCACAUCAUCGGUCAAUGCCACGUCAUCAUCCGUCUAUGUGAACAAUGUAGUGAACAGUAACGUAGACAGUACCGUACACGUGAAUAGUACCGUACAUGUGAAUAGUGUCAUUUUUCCUUUUAUGCUCCUCCUAAGGUUUUCGACCGUCCUGAGUUCAAAAGUGAUGUCCGUUUUGCCGUCUGAUCUCUCCUUUAUUGUAAAAUGACUAUAAUGCCCCUAAAAUACAUAAAAUACUUAAUUAAAAUAAAACACAUGUAAUUAAAUCACAAGAAGGUUAAAUACAUAAAAGUAAGGGUUGUUAGUAAGACUUGAAAUGUAAAAUGACGGUCUUCUCUUUUAUAAAUUUACAUUUUCUAACACUCAACACACCCCCCAACCAGCUUAUUGCUAGUCCCUAGCAAAUAAAGCGAAAACAAAAUUCAAAUUCAAAAUAAAUUUUUUUUUAAUAAAAACACUCGUAUUUAUUCCAUUAGAUUAAUAAUAGCAAUCAAAUAAAAGUAUAAGCAUUAUCUCCAGUCUAAAGCAACAUCACACCCACAUCAACCAUCCACAUGAAUCAGCUCAGUAGACUUUGUUAUAGCUACUUUCAAGAAUGACAUGUCAAACCCCAAAAUCUCACUGGAAGUAGUGACACUCUCACAAAGAAAUUAAAACCAAUAAAAAUAGUCACUCCAAUGAAUGGUAAUUGAGAGAGAAAAUAAUAAAGAAGUGAUAUCACAUGCUCUCACCAAGAUGAAAUAAAUAUGCCCUCAGCUUAGAAAUAAUACAGUCUCAAGUCAAAUAAAAAUGCUAGUCAACCCAAUUUAUUUAUCUUUUUUUUAUAUUUAUUUAUUUAUUUUUAUUAUGCACCACUACAUCUCUUUAGCCCACAUAACUAGCUUCUACUUCAAAUUAUAGUUCCCUAAAAUCAGGAAGGACUUUUAUUAGGAUGUAACGUAGGCUAGGGACAUGGUUAACAAAGAAGGGAAAUAAGGAAAACAAAGUAUAUGUUUGAGAAAAAUGCAGAGGACUUUUUUUUUUUUUUUGGGAGUUGCAAGGUGGAUUUCACCUAUUAUUGUUAUUUUUAUUCUUUUGAAACAACAAUUUUUUUCUUUUGUUUUAGCAACAACAAUUUUUUAUUUGAACUAGGCAUAACUUCAUUGUACAAAAUGUUUAUUUACAUUUUUCUCAAACAUAAAUAGGUGAUGGAACUUAUAAGACAUCGGGUAAUACUCCAAAUCGGAGUGGGUCAAGAUGAUAAGUUGACAAAGAAAAGGUUUUUUUUUUUUUUAAAGGCUCAAAAGGGUUAACUAUGGAUAUUUAAUAAAAGGGAUGGCUAGAAAGGCUCAAACGGAUCAAAGAUGGCCUUUCCAUCGUCUUUUAGGGCUCUAAAUAAUCAUCCAUAUCUACUAGUUAGACAGGCCUCCAAAUGUAGCAACACACUUUUUUUUUUUAAUUUUACAAUUUUUUUUAAGGAUUAACUUAAAAGAAAUCUAAAGAUCGUGUAUAAAAUAAUAAACUGCUAAACUGUAUAGAGAAUGGGCAAAAGGGUUACUCUCCAAGAAAAUAAUAGGUUCAACAACUCACUUGGCACUUAUUUAUGACAUGUUCAUUCCUUCAAGCAACUCAUAUUUGUCUCCGACAUCAACAUGUAGAGUAGCAAACAUAAUGUAACAUCACUUAAGACCAAAGAUAAUACAAAUACUAAAAUUUGAAAUUAAUCAUGUCAUCCAAUGUUAAAACAAAUCACACAAUUUUUUUUUAACAACAUUCUACCCCCCAACCUAUUCUAAACAUGAAAGGAAAAUAUGCAUGCAGAAAUGUGAAAAUGAUGCAUAAAAACUAAUUAGAAAAGUUACACGUAAAAUAAUAGAAAACAAAGAUGGUUUUUUUUUUUUUAAAGAUGCGUUUCUAGAGGCACUACACUCCAUAUUCAGCCAUCUUCGACUCAAAAGUUGGAAAAUGUAUAUUUAUAGAGGAGAAAUUAAAAAGAAGAAGAAAAAUGAACAUCAAAACUUAAUAAAGAAAAAAAAAUUAUUUUUAAUUUUUUUGUUUUUUUAAUUAAUUAAUUUUUUUUAAAACAAUGAAGAUGCGUUUCUAGAGUCACUAUCCUCCAUAUUCAGCCAUCUUCAACAUAAAAAGUUAGCAAUAGUUAGUUUCUACAACAAACAAUUAGUAAAAACUUAACCAAAAUUCCACAAUUGUCGACUAUUCACUCCCCCCAACCAGAAUGAAACAUUGUCCUCAAUGUUUGAAAGGAAAGAAGUAGAGUUUAGAAGACAUCACCUGGGUGGUGCAACAUAGAAAAUAAUAUUUACAAGCGGAGAGUUAAAUCUAAUUUGUACUUCUUACUGCGGCUACCGUUACCAUCAUUAUUUGGAUGCUCCAACACAAAGGUCCAGGGGUCUGGCUCCGGUCUAUAAGCUUGUAACAUAUCAAGUAGCUCAUUAGCAGUGUGAGCACAAAUAAAGAGUUUUUUCGCAUUAGAGGGAAUGAAAUAGUUUUUUAUUGCAUGGUUAAGAAAUGCGAUAAAGCCAUUAUAAAAGUUAUUGACAUUUAACAAACCGAUGGGUUUUUGGUGGAUAUGCAGAUGGGCCCAAGAUGCUAGUGUGAUAAGUGCCUCUAGUGUUGCAAGAUCUCCUGGAAGGAAAAUAAAAGCAUCAGCAUGAUUAAGCAUUUCAGUUAUUCUUUCUUGCAUACCUGAGACGACUAACUCUUCUCCAGUUGAUGAGUUAGACGAACUGCCCAAUGGUUUUAGGACUCUUGGAAUGAUGCCUAACACUUGACUUCCUCUGACAAAAGCUGCUUCAGAGACCAUUUUUGAUAACCCUCGGUUACCUCCUCCAUACACCAAGUGUAAUUUUCUCUCUGCUAUACUUCGACCAAGAUCGAUGGCUGCCUCAACGAACUCUUUAUGUUUGCCAUAGGUAAAUCCAGAAAGCACACAAAUGUUCUUGAAUUGUCUAUUUGGAGUAGCUGCCAUUAUGAUACUUCUCAAAAAAUAAUUUGUGAGUGCUUGUAAAAAAAAAAUCACAUUUAAGAGCCUUGGUGACAGUGGGUCAUAGUUGUGUAUGAGGUAACAUGUCAGUGUCAAAUAACGUGUAAAGCACGUGGCUCGCGAGUCAAAAAGGAAACAGUAAAAGGGAAAAAGCAAACAGUAAUAAGGAAAAAGCAAACAGUAAUAAAAUUAUUAAAGACAAUAAUGCACACAAUAAAACAAUAGUGAAAUAAAAUAACAGUAAAGUGAAAGGAUAUUUACAGAUAGUUGCGACUGUGGCUCACAUCUUCCUCUGGUUUUAAGUCUAGAAACGGCUUGAACGCCCUCUAUGGGUCGAGGAUAGGCUUCUUAUCCAGUUUUGUUAUAAACUGGCAAACAGGGUCGUUUAUAGUUAGAUUCUCAAGACUAUAUCGUGCAUGCUCUUUCUGGAAUAAUGAUCAUAACUGGAGAAUCGCUCCUUGCACAUAUCCACUGGGAUGCGUUUCAAGAGACAAAAUGAUAUCAUCCAAUGACUCCUUAUUCAAGCCAUCCCUAAUGAAUUGAAUCUUAUCUUCCCUGUUAUCAGACAUCAUUCCUAAAGAACAUGGGUUUUUAUUGCAACUCAUUCUGGCACACUUAUGACAAACAACAGAAAUUCUUCGAGCUCGUUGUUUUCUUGCAUAAUUUUCUUUACCACAACCAGGCAUGUAUGCAAUAAAUUUUGGAGGUAACUCACCUGCCGAUCGUACUUUCGCCUCAAUUAACCAACGAAUAUCAGCAGGUAUGUUAUUCCUCAUGAGCAAUCGCAUGCGUUCGGACCGAGCUUUAUAGAUCGUAAGGAGGGCAUUCUGAGGAAGUGAAGGGAAUCGCUUGUAAAGCUUCGCUAGAAUCUCCUUUCUGUCCAUACUUUCGCCUCAGAAUAUCAGUUAUUAUGGGAAACUGAAGUAACCGACUUGAUUAUCACGGAGUACCGUUAUCCGCCACUUCACCAAGGUAACAAACUAAAGCACACAAACAGAAAAACAAAUUAAAACACAUAAAGAAAAUUAAAAUCGUCCUCUUAUUGAAUUCACCUCAAGCUCCAACUGGAUGUCGUAAACACUUCUCUCAAUAUCUCUGAGUUGGCUUUCUAGACCCUCAACAUAGGAUACUAACUCUGGUGGUUGACACGUUGAAGUGGUUUAAGAAUGUUCAGGAGGAAUGGUCUAAGUAAGGUACUCAUGAUUAAAAAUGAUAAGAGAAAACUUAAUAGUUAAACAAACACACUUAUGCAAAAAUAAUUUCAAUUAGCAAAAGAAUAAUAUAAAGAAAGAAAGAAAGAAAAAAUCAAAUCACUGAAAAGAAAAAAAUCAAUUCAAAUUUGGUGGGUCACUCAAAUUUAUUUCGAUGUCUUCUCCAUGUGGUUGGUAUUCUAGAUAUGGCUUUAAUCUUUGAGCAUUAACUUUAAACAUGACGCCAUUCUUUGGGUCCUUAAUUUCAAUUGCCCCAUGUGGAAAAACAGUAUGAACAAUAAAGGGACCAGACCAAUGAGAGCGUAACUUACCUGGGAAUAGGUGCAAGCGAGAAUUGAAUAAAAGUACUUUCUGACUUGGAGUGAAUGAUUUUCUCAUAAUUUGCUUGUCAUGAAAGACUUUCAUCCAUUGCUUGUAAAUCUUGGCAUUUUCGUAUGCAUCAUUGCGAAUUUCUUCAAGUUCUGCCAGUUGUAAUCUUCUUUCUGAGCUGGCUUGCUGCAUGUCAAAGUUGAAUUUCUUGAUGGCCCAAUAUGCACGAUGCUCGAGUUCCACAAGUAGGUGGCAAGCUUUUCCAUACACUAGCCUGUAGGGUGACAUCCCAAUCGGGGUCUUGAAAGCCGUUCUAUAUGCCCAUAAGGCAUUAUCAAGUCCUAAUGACCAAUCUUUUCUGUCCGGCCUCACCGUCUUUUCUAAUAUGUGCUUUAUUUCUCGAUUGGAGAUCUCAACUUGGCCACUGGUUUGUGGAUGAUACGGGGUCGCCACUUUGUGUGUGAUUGAAUACUUUGUCAAAAGAGCUUUGAAUGCUUUGUUACAAAAGUGGGCACCACCAUCACUGAUUAUUGCUCAAGGGAAUCCAAAGCGUGAGACAAUAUUGCUUUUCAAAAAUCCUAUCACCACCUUGUGAUCAUUGGUUCUGCAUGGAAUUGCUUCUACCCAUUUCGAUACAUAGUCAACAGCAACUAAUAUGUAUUGAUGGCCAAAAGAAGGGGGAAAGGGUCCCAUGAAGUCGAUACCCCAUAUAUCAAAAAUCUCAACCACUAAAAUUGAAUUUAGUGGCAUCAUGUUCCUUCGUGUAAUGCUCCCCAUUCGUUGACACCUAUCAUAUGAAGAACAGAAAGUGUAAGCGUCUUGAAAUAUAGUUGGCUAAUAGAAACCACAUUGCAAAACUUUAGUAGCUGUUUUCUUAGCACUGAAAUGGCCUCCACAAGCUUGUUCAUGGCAGAAUGAAAGGAUAUUCUGAAUUUCACUUUUGGGACACAUCGUCUAACAAUUUGGUCUGCACAAUACUUGAACAAAUAAAGGUCAUCCCAAAAGAAAUUCUUUAUUUCUGCAAAAAAUUUAACCUUGUCUUGCUUGGUCCAAUGCUCUAGAAGUUUACCUGUAACAAGAUAAUUAACUAUAUCAGCAUACCAAGGUAAUACUUCCACAUUCAUUAAUUGUUCAUUUGGAAAUGACUCAUUCAAUGGUAAUGAUUCUGUAAUUGUGUCAAAAUGGAGACGAGAGAGGUGGUCCGCCACAACAUUUUCUGUCCCUUUCUUAUCUUUGAAUUCCAAGUCAAAUUCCUGCAAAAGUAACACCCAACGAAUUAGUCUAGCUUUUGCAUCUUUCUUUGUAAGAAGAUAUUUAAGAGCAGCAUGAUCUGUGAACACGAUUAUUUUACAACCAAUGAGAUAAGAUCGAAAUUUCUCCAAUGCAAACACUACUGCUAGCAUUUCUUUUUCAGUAGUUGAAUAGUUCAACUAUGCAUCAUUCAAUGUCAUACUAGCAUAGUAAAUAACGUGGGAAAUUCGAUCAACUCUUUGUCCUAAUACUGCUCCUACUGCAUAAUCAGAUGCAUCACACAUGAGCUCAAAUGGUAAGCUCUAGUUCGGGGCCUGAAUGAUGGGUGAUGAUGUCAACAACUGCUUUAAUUUUUUAAAAGCCACAAGACAUGAAUCAUUAAAGAUAAAAGGUACAUCAUUAGCAAGUAAAUUGCAUAAGGGUCUAGAAACUUUGCUAAAAUCUUUAAUGAAACGUUUAUAGAAACCAGCAUGCCCAAGGAAAGAUCUUACUUCUCUGACUGUUUUGGGUGGAGGAAGAUUAGAAAUGAGAUCCACCUUGGCUUUGUCAACCUCAAUACCUUUGCUCGAAAUGAUGUGACCGAGAACAAUACCUUGUUUUACCAUAAAAUGACAUUUCUCCCAAUUUAAAACCAAGUUCUUCUCAAUACAUCUCUGCAGAACUAAUGUUAGAUGAUGUAAACAUUGAUCAAAUGAAUCACCAAAGACAGAAAAGUCAUCCAUAAAGACUUCAAGGAAUCGUUCAACCAUAUCAGAAAAAAUGCUCAACAUGCAUCGUUGAAAUGUAGCAGGUGCAUUACAUAAUCCAAAUGGCAUCCUCCUAUAUGCAAAAGUGCCAAAAGGGCAAGUGAAAGUAGUUUUCUCUUGAUCUUUUGGUGCUAUGGGAAUCUGAUUAUAUCUUGAGUAGCCAUCUAGAAAGCAAUAAAAUUCAUGGCCUGCUAAUCUAUCAAGCAUUUGAUCGAUAAAGGGUAAAGGAAAAUAAUCUUUACGUGUGACAGAAUUCAACUUUCUAUAAUCAAUGCAAACACGCCAUUCUGUAGUUACUCUAGUGGGUAUCAAUUCAUUAUCAGCAUUGGUAACUACUGUGACUCCUGACUUUUUGGGGACAACUUGUACAGGACUGACCCAUGAACUAUCAGAAAUUGGGUAAAUGAUACCUGCAUCUAAUAGCUUAAGGACUUCUGUUCUAACAACUUCUUUCAUAUUAGGAUUUAACCGACGUUGCAUUUCCCUAGUAGAUUUAGCAUUUUUAUCAAGGUGAAUGUAAUGCAUGCAAUCUACUGGAUUUAUACCUUUUAUGUCUGCUAUGGUCCAUCCUAAUGCUCCUUUGUGCUCUUUUAAAACAUCCAACAACUUACCUUUUUAUUCGUCAUUUAGGGAUGAUGAGAUGAUUACCGGUACAGUACUUUCUUCUCCCAAAAAUGCAUAUUCCAAAGUGUUGGGUAAUGGUUUGAGCUCAAGUUUCGGUGGUGAUUCUGAUGAUGGGAUGAGUUUCUUCUCUGAUGGUGCUAGUUGCUUAACUCUUGACUUCUAUUUAUCAGUGUCCAUAGAUGGUGUUGAGUCAAGUAGGGCGUUGACCUCAUCGACCGAUCUGUCAAUAUCAAAAUCCAAACCAAAGUGAGUUAAACAUGUUUGUAAAGGAUCAUCACUAAGGUUUGAAACAAAAGUAUCAUCAACUAAUGCUUCAAUUAAAUCCACAUCAACAAUUCCAUCAUCUGCACUGUGAGGUUGUUUGGCAAUGUUGAAGAUGUUCAGCUCCAUAGUCAUGUUGCCGAAGGACAACUGCAUAUUUCCGGUCCUGCAUUGAAUGUGAGCAUCCACAGUUGCCAAGAAAGGUCGGCCUAGAAUAAUGGGGAUGUGCUUCCUCGAGUCCUGUAUUGGUUGAGUGUCAAUUACAAUGAAAUCAACAGGAAAAUAAAAAUUGUCUACCUGGAUAAGCACGUCCUCCACAAUACCAUGAGGUAUUUUUGUGGACCGAUCUGCAAGUUGUAACACCACUGGAGUUGGGUGUAAUUCUCCAAGUCCAAGUUUCACAAACACUGAAUAAGGUAACAGAUUUACACUAGCUCCUAAAUCCAACAAAGCAUUCUCAAUUGUGUGGUUCCCUAUGCUACAUGAGAUAGUAGGGGAGCCCGGGUCUUUGCAUUUUAAAGGAAUUUUGUGUUGGAGUAUAGAACUAAUGUUUUCUGUUAAAAAUGCCUUAUUUUGAACAUGCAUAUUUCUUUUUUUAGUACAAAGGUCUUUAAGAAACUUGGCAUAAGAUGGAACUUGCUUAAUAGCAUCAAGCAAAGGGAUAUUAACACUUACCUGUUUGAAGAUUUCAAGAAUCUCACCUGUGGAUUUUCCCUUUUUUCCUUUAGCUAACCUUUGAGGAAAUGGAGCUUUCGGAACGUAUUCUCAUGAGUUGUUUUCUUCUUUCUCCUCCGGUGAUGAGUACUCAACAUUCACAGGUACAAUUUGAUUUUCUUUUGUCACCAGCAUCUCCACUUUGUUGUCGACUUCUUUUCCUUUUCGCAAUGUCAUGACUGCUUUGACUUCUCCAUGCUGUUGUGGUGAACUGGUACUUGCUUCAUGUACUUCUUUAGGAUUAGGCACGGGUUGACUUGGAAACUUGCCUUUCUCAACAGUCAUUGCCAAGGUCUGAACUGAAGAAGCAAGUUGUCCCACCAUCUUCUCGAGGCUUGAAACUGAUUGGGCUUGUGAGUUGAAGCCCGCUCUCAAUUCAUUUCGUAGUCCAUCAAUGGUGCGGUUCUGUUGCUCAAUCGUGGAGUGAGUAACAUUCCUGAAAUUCUGGAAUGCAUCCUCCCAUGGUCUAGGUUGAGAGUGGUUCUGGUUCUGAUUGUAUGGUCUGAAUGGUGGCUGAGAGGCUUGAGGAAUUUCAGAAAUUUGUUGCAUUGGUGGAGCUGGAGCUGCUGGUCCAUUCUGUUGGAAUCUUUGAGACCAUGAAAAAUUGGGGUGGUCUCUUCAUCCAGGGUUAUAUGUGUUGGAGUAUGGAUUGUAAUUUGAUGGCUUUCUCAUUACACCUAUGGCAUUGGCUUGAUCAGAGUAUGACUCAGGGUCAUGUGGUUCUGUUGAUUUAGCAGUCGAUAACGAUGCUAUUUGUCGAGCAAGACCUUCAACCAUCUCCUUGACUUCUUUGAAUCCCGAAGUUGACUCGCGAAUGUGAACCUCAUUUACUCCCUUAAUUCUUCUAGUAUUCCUGAAUGAUCGACUCCGUUGUUGGGAAUUAUCCGCUUGUCGCUGGAAGAAUUCCCAAAUCUCUGAUGCACUUUUUGACAUUAGCUCUCCUCCACUUGUUGCCAUUAGCCAUUCUUGCACAUUUGGUAGUGAUCCCUCCAAAAAGUAUUGGCAUUGGUGCCAUUUCUCGUACCCAUGAUGUGGACACUUCAAGAGUAGCCCAUUGAAUCGCUCCCAUGUUUCGAAAAACUGCUCGUACUCUCUCUGAGUAAACUCCGAGAUUUCCCUGCGAAUAGCAUUGGUUUUAUGCACUGGGAAAUAUUUAUUCAAAAAUUUAGUUACCAUUUGUUCCCAUGAUGAAAUGCUAUUGGCAGGCAAUGUAUUAAGCCAUGAACGAGCUCUAUCCUUUAAAGAAAAUGGGAAUAAUCUGAGUUUAACAUCAUUGUCUGAAAAAUUUUCAUAUUUAAAGUUUGACAAAUGGCAUGAAAAUCAUUCAGAUGAUUAUAUGGGUCCUCAUUUUCUAGGUCAUAAAAUGUGGGGAGACAAUUUAGCACACUAGAUUUUAAUUCAAAGCUCCUAGCAGCUACAUUUGGGUAUCUUAUACAUGAUGCGCUCAAAUUUGCUAAAGGACUGAAAUAAUCCUUAAAUGGCCUCUCCUGUGGUUGCAAAUCCAUUUUAUUUUUUACUUGUUUGUGUGUGCGAAGUGUUUUCUCAAGUUCAAGGUCUAUAGGUUCAAGAUUGGGUAAUAAUGACAUUCGACCAUGCAUGCAAAACAAAUAAAAUAAAAAAUAAAGAUGGGAACAAAAUAAAUAAAAAUAAAAAAGAGGGAGAAAUUACGAUACUAACCUUAUUGGGCUAUUACAAACUUUCUAUAAAAAUACACAAAAACAAAUACGUGAAAUAAAUUAACUAAACAUUAAAUUAAUAAAAUAAACAAAAAAAAUUACAAAGAAAAAUAAAUUAAAAAUUAAAUUACAGAAUUUUAAAGAAGAGAAAAAGGAAAGAAAUGCUAACCUUUAAAUGUAAAUUCACUUUUUUUUCUUUUUUUUAAUAAUAAAAAAAAUACAAGAAAACAAAUAAAAGAAAUUAUUCACAAAAAUUAAUUCUAAAAAUUACUUACCUCCCUGGCAACGGCGCCAAAAACUUGUUGUGCAAAUUUUAAUAUACUCGCAAGCGCACGAAUCUAUUGCAGUAUAGAUCAAUGGUGACGAGUGUCGAUCCCACGAGGAGGUGGAUUUUAAUUGUGUAGAAUUAAUUUUGUAAAUGGGUGAUUGGAUUUGUGGUGGAAAUGAUUUGGAAUAUCCUAAAACUUAAAUUAAAAUGGCGAGAAUAAAUUCUAAAAUUGGAAUUGAAAUUACGAGAAUAAAUUGAAGAGAAUUCUAUUAAAAUGACGUACUUGGGUAUCUGGAUCCGUAUCAACAUGCAUCAUGGGCUAAAUAAUCCUUAUUAAUGCCAAUUAAAUCAUGAGGGGGGAAUCCACACCUCAUGAACCACACUCUAAUCAAUAUGGUGCUAAGGGCUUAUCGUGCCAAAUAAUAAUAACCUUGUACUAGAGGGCCGGUGAAACCAAGGCGGUACUAGACAAGAUUAGUAUUAUUUGUCGACGAGAAGUCAAAACAUCCACAAAAACUAGAGGGGAAGAGAAAAUAAAUUUACCAAAUAAAACCCAUGACACAUGUUGAGACUUCACUUUCAACCCAAGCUUGAAAGAAAAUUAGCUACUCAUAAUUGAACUAGGGGCAAAAUGAGAAUUUAUUAAAAUACGAAGAAACUACAAGAUGGAGAAGGAAUUACAAAAAAUAGAGUCCAAAAAUGGAUUCAGAGAUAUCAAAUUAUGGGGGAGAGGCCCCCUUUUUAUAGAUACAUCAAGUAAAUCAUGGCCAUCGGAUUAAAAACAGUUUGGACGCUCAAGAUUGCGACACGUCAUCAGUCAACAGUAACACGGUUUGACUCGGAUGAACAGUAACACGGUUUGACUCGGAUGAACAGUAACGCGGUUUGACUCGGAUGAACAAUAACGCGUUUGGUUGAAAAUAAUUCUGUGUGAUGCAUGUACCGUAUGCGAGAUUUUUCGUUCACUAAUAUGCUGCCACGUCACCAUCAACAGUACAUAAGAAUUUUAGCCCAACAGGAUCGUGACACCUCAUCAGUCAAUGCCACAUCAUCGGUCAAUGCCACGUCAUCGAUCCGUCUAUGUGAACAAUGUAGUGAACAGUAACGUAGACAGUACCGUACACGUGAAUAGUACCGUACAUGUGAAUAGUGCCAUUUUUCCAUUUAUGUUCCUCCUAAGGUUUUCGACCGUUCUGAGUUCAAAAGUGAUGUCCGUUUUGCCGUCUGAUCUCUCCUUUAUUGUGAAAUGACUUUAAUGCCCCUAAAAUACAUAAAAUACUUAAUUAAAAUAAAACACAUGUAAUUAAAUCACAAGAAGGUUAAAUACAUAAAAGUAAGGGUUGUUAGUAAGACUUGAAAUGUAAAAUGACGGUCUUCUCCUUUAUAAGUAUGCAUUUUCUGACACUCAACAUGUGUGUGUAUGGAGGGCAAAUCUUUGACUACCUCCAGCUUCAAGGACCUAUACAAUAACUCUUAAAUCAAACGGAGAAAAUAGUUAAUUCAAUCUGAUUGAAUAUGAUUGAUAUUUACCAUAUGAUUAUUACAUAAAGAUUGAGCCUUAAGUGUUUUACAUUAAGUAAUACUGCACAUUUGUUCUACACAUUUAGACAACUCAGAGUAAGAAUUAUGAAAAUGACAACCAAAUCCAAACUAGCUAGGUGCACUAUUAUUAUUUAUCUUUGCUCCAUAAAUAUUAGAAAGAUAGAGGAGCGGAAGAAAAAGAAAAAACUAAUUUUGUAGUCACAAAUCAAUCUUAUGCUCUGAUUUUGAAGCAAAUCUGCAAAAUAUUUGAGGAUCCAACCAUGAAGCAUGUCCACUUCAAUCUUUCGCUGCACUGCUAACCAUUAUGGGUCGUCUUCUAUUGCUGGCUGUACGUCUAAGCAAUGGGAACCUACUCCAAUUUACACACUGUUAAUUAAUUAUGUUAUCAAAUAAUUUAGUUAAUAAUUGAACACUUAUUUUUUAUUUUAUAGAAAAAUUUACAUACUGCUUCUUGUUGUCACUGUUAUUAUAUUGUCUGAUAUCUUCCAAAACCCUAUAAUCUCCCCCCCACCAAAAAAAAAAGAAGAAAAAGAAUAAGGCAUAUAAUUAAACGGGUAACUUCGAUAGAAAAUAGUGUACAAAAUUUUUAAGCUUAAUUACCCCUCGCUGCUAUGGGAUCACGAAGGCCAUUAGGUAAAAUAAUGUUGCUACCAAAUCUCUUUAAAACCACUCUUAUAUCUUGCAAAUUAAAAAGAAAUAGAAAUCAAACAACAAUUGAGGUAAACUUUAUAAUUAAAAAAGAAAAUGAGAAAAAUUAAAUUAUUAAAAGAAUUAAUUUGGGGAUUAAUCAAUACUUACAUGACCUCCGUAAUAUGUUGUAAUCUAAUGUGGUCUCGGAACCACUCCAUAAGACUUAUUGCAUGAAUUCAUAUAUUCUGUCAGAUUAAAUGAGUAUGUUUGAAACAUUGUGUCGUUUUUGCCAAUUCCAAUUGGUGAGACCAUUUCAUUGUAUGUCUGGAUUGAACUCCCCCUCCCUAAAAAAAAUAAUAAAUAAAUAAGAUAAAGAAGAAAACUAUUUUUAAUCAUUCAUAAAUAUGUAUUCUCAUAAAUAAAAUUUAGAGAUGUACAUAAAAUAAGUAUUGUUAGACGAAAGACUCAUUCAUUGCGACAUGUUGUUUAUUUGACGGUCUCAAUAGUACUAUCCAAUUGGUUUAUUGGCUUAUAUUUGUGUGGUGUAGAUCUAUUUGAAUAACAUUGCAGAAAUAUGAGAUAAUAUGGAAAAUAUUAGAAAUAGUUAAUAGCAUUAUUAAGAUACUAAAUAUCAGCCAAAAUAAUAAAAUAAAUAAAAAGCUCAAAGAGUUCUUGUUGUAAAUCAUGACUCGAAUAGGAAAAUAAACAAGACUAAUCAUAUCUUUGUGUAAAUUUAAUUUGUAUAAAAAAAACGUGUAGGUGUAAUAUUAUAAAUAAACUCAUAGAGAAAAGAAUGUGUAAACUCCUGUGAUUUGACAAAAUAAUCAAAAUAAUCUGUUUAUUUUUUAAAAUAGUUACAAAGCUCCUUUUGUAACAUACAAACUAUGGAAAUUCAUGGGCUACUUAACAUCCAUUUUAAUUUUUUUUUAUUUACACAAAAACAUCAUAGACGAAAGAAGAUAAAAAAUUUCAUUGCACCCAAUUUUUUUGCAUGCGAUCAAUAAGGAAAAGAGGCAGAAAGUGUUGGAAAUAUAGCACAAGUGGCUAUUUGAGGCGUGAUUUUGAGUGAGACCUAUGUGGUGUAAGUGAAAAGUUAAAAUUGUUUCAAAUAUUUCUCUGUAAAUACUUCAAAAUGGUUUUAUCUAUAUGAUCAAAAUGAUCCUUGGAUAAAUGAGAAAUGGUAACUGAAAGUAAAUUCAUGGAAUUGGAAAAUUAAAGGAAGAUACAUUUGUCCCACAUGAAAAAGGUAGUGAAGGCAUGAAAGGCUUGUAUAUAAUUAUUUAUAGUAUGAGUAAAAUAUAAACCAAAAUGCUCUCUCUUCCGUGCUCCUUCCUGAGUAUACGAAAGUUGGCCCAAAUCGAUCGUGGUAGGCCUGCCUUAGUCUUGCACAUUUGAAGUUCAUCGUGAAACGAUCCCAUAGUUGUCGUUCAAACCUCUGGGCACUUAAAAAAAGGUUUUCUUUUUAUUUUUUUUAUAUUUUUUAAAUUUAAUAAAUGCCAUAUUAUUUAAUAUUUAAUUUUAAGGCAUCUUUUUAAGUUGAGGGCAGGGAACCACUCCGAUACGUAACUUCGUGACCUGCUAAUCUAAUCACCUUGACUUUGAAGACUUCUUCCCCUAGUCAGCAAUGAUUUGGAACUUACGUCUUGACAUAUGCUGUGGAAAAAAAAGAGUGAAGCAGACUUAUUAAGUCGAGAUGUUUCUUCAGUCUAGAUAUUUUCGUUUAUACGUGUACACAUAUUCAAUGUCUAACCUUAUUUUGAAAAAAGACUAAUGUCCUAUUUGGGAUUACGGUUGAAAUACUAUAAAUAGUUUAUUUUAUAAGUUUUGAUAAAAAUAAUGUUUGGUAAAUUUGUUAAAAGUUAAUUUAUAUUUUCUCUAUUUUGACAAUAGCUUUUAAAACAAGUAUGAGAUUAUUUUUAGAAGCAACUUAUUAAAUAAAAUGCAUUUUUUUAAAUUUUCUAUUAUAACUAAGAAAAGAAUAAUUGUAUCUUACUUUUUUUAUAAAUCCUAAUAUAUAAAUAAAAGACAAUUUAAACUUAUAAUUAUUUUAGUGAUUAUAUAAUAAAAUAGUUCUUGCAUAAUUGAAUUUACCAAACACUGAGCGAGCUACUUUUAUAAUGAUUAGCUUAUUUUAUCCGCAUAACAGAAGUAGUUUAUUCAAUAGCCACCGGAAUCUCAAACUGAUUCUAAGUCAUGUUUGGAAUUGCAUGACAUUGUCAAAUAAUUAACAAAAGAAGCUAUUAUGUAGAAGCAUAGGAACAGGUUGAGAAUGAGAGAUACAUGUACAUGGAGAGCAAAUUCUUUUACUCUCACCGGCUUCAACGACCUAUACAAUAACUCCUAAAUCAAAGGGAGAAAAUGGUUAAUUCAAUGUGAUUGUACAUGAAUUGAUAUUCACCAUAUGAUUAUUACAUAAAGAUUGAGCCCUUUAUAUGUGCUUUACAUUAAGUAAUACUGCACACUUGUUCUACACAUUUAGACAACCCAGAUUAAGAAUAAUGAAAAUGAACUCUUAAACUAGCUAGGUGCUCUAUUAUUUAUCUUUGCUCCAUAAAUAUUAGAAAGAUAGAGGAGAGGAAGAAAAAGAAAAACAACAACAUACACUCUAAAUAAUCCUUCAAUUCUGAAACAUCCUUCAGAGGCUUGUAAUCAAAUAAACAACAACAACAUAGAAUUAAGUGCCACAAGGUUAGUAACAUUAUAAAAGAUCUUUCAACAUGCCGUCUAAAAAAUGUUGUUAUAUUUAGUUAGAUUACAAUAAACUUUAUAAGUAUGAAGCUAUUGAUAUUAUCAAAUGCAAACGUACAAAUUUGGCCUUAUUUGAUAAUUAGAGUUGUGCGUGGUUUUGUAGUUCAAAUUUAGAUUCUGUAAAAUACGAACCUCUGGAGGGCUGAAUCUAAGCACCAGUAUACUAUAUAUAUGGUAAUGCAAAGGCCGUGUAUAAGCCCAAAUCCAGAUUUUUACUUUGUAUAUUACACGUUAAUCGAAAUGUAUAUAUACUCUGAGGAUGACAGAUAAUUAAUUAGACAUAGUACAUUCGAUAAUGAUGCUACAAUAACAUUGCAUUAAUUGUAAUUAAGGGAAAAUCGGAUGGAUAUAUAUAAGCAAUUAUGUAAAGUAAUAUGAUUAAUUUCUUGCAGGUUUUGAACUUUUUAGAGAGAAAAGCAAGUCCAUUUUUUCUAGCAGCGGUUUUAUCCAUUUCAACCCAGGACUGUUUGAUGGUCAUGUAGCAGCCCUCGCUGGCUUCCUGCAUCAUUAAUUUUCAAAAUUCAAUGGUUAAAUUUUAACAAGAAAACAUAAUCAUACAUAUAUAGAAUUUUAAUUAAUUAAUUUUUUUUCUUACCCUACAGUCAUUGGUGACAAGAUCAUAAUAUGCGUUUGAUGGUGUGAUAUUAUCAAAGUAGAGAAUUGGGGCGGGCGAGGCAACUGCUCCCAAAGACUGUGAGGAUACUUCAAGCGAAACCAUGCUGCAAGCACUGGUGAUAACAAACCCACAAUUGAGUAACUCUCAAAACCAUAUCACAUCCCAGAUUUGAUAAAAUAGGACUAAUUGAGAUGGUUAUUUUUAAAAAAGUAAUUAUCUUAAAUAUAUUUAGUAUUUCUUAAUUUUACGAUCGCUGAAAGUAUUCAUUAAUUGGAAUGCAAAAUAAAUUUGUAUCAAAAUAAUAUUGGCGUAAUCAAUAUUUUGGUCAAACGAGAUCAAAAUGAAUAAAAUGGCGCAACAAAUGACACGACAUUAAUCAAAAGAUGUAAGUAAGUUAAUAAUAUUAAAAUUUACUUCCUCGAUAAGAUGCUCCAACGACGAUAAUGGGUGACAUUUCGGCCGAUAAAUUUUCCUUGAUGUGUAAGAGAAUCUUUGCAUAAUCUACCAAAGCUUGACCAGAGUUUAAAUAUCCACGAAGAGUUGCAUUGUUUAGGGCAUCUUUGCUUGAUACAAAAGGUACUGAUUUUCCAUAGAACCGAUACUGCAUGAAAAAUUGAAUUAAAAAAAAUCCAUCACAACUUUUCAGUUCAUAUUAUAGAAUAUUCUGAUUAAGAUUUGUCUUUAUUAUUAUUAUUUCGUAUGCGAACUCUAUUUUAAUUAUUAUCAAGCUAGCCUGAUAACAAAUUCUUUACUUACCUCUAUGUAAACUUAUAAGGCUUUAAAUCGAUGAGCAUUAUCAGCAAGCCAUCCAAUGCCACCAAGGUCAUCAUAUCAAGACUACUCUCUUCACCAAGAUAUGCCAAUAUCGGCGCCGCCAUGGCUCUGCCACCACCCCAAUGCUUGAAGUUCAACGCAUAUCUAUGAGGAAAAGUUAAAUAACUUUGUGGAUUAUAGUUAAAGUGAUCAAGUGUUUGAUCAUAAUAGUAAGUUUCGAGAUCAUAAUAGUAACUUUGUGGAUUUUUUUGCUAGGGUUUUGAAAAAUAGUCCUUCCACGAACAGCACCAAGCUUUGGGAUGUUCUUUAAUGGUGAAGUGGAAGCAAAAGCAAAAUUUGUGACGAGAAGAAGAAAAAGGCAUGGAGCGACCGACCUUUCAUGGCAAAGUUGUAAAUCCUUAAUUAGCAGGAUGAUUAUGUAAAUACAGAAGAAAUAGAGUUAAGAUUAGAUUAUAAAUUCAGCUUCAAAAUCGACGUGUUUGUUAAUAUAUCCUGGAUUUGUUGUUAUCGUAUAAUAUAAUUAAUGUUGCUUUUAGUUUUAUAUUAGUAUGGAUCUUCAGUUUUCAUAAAAUUAUAGUGUGUCUAAUGUUGUGCAAAUUUUAUUGAACUCACAAGUGUACGAAUCUAUUGUAGAAUAGAUUAAUGGUGACGAGUAUCGAUCCCACGAGGAGGUUGAUUCUAAUUGUGUGUAGAAUUAAUUUUUCUAAAUGGAUGUUUGGAUUUGUGGUGAAAGUGACUUAGAUUAUCUUAAAAUUGGAAUUGAAAUGGCGAGAAUAAAUUGAAGAGAAAUCUAUUGAAAUGAAACACUUGGGUAUCUGGAUCCGUAUCAACAUGCACCAUGGGCUAAAUAUUCCUUAUUAAUGUCAAUUAAAUCAUGAGGGGGGAAUCCACACCUCAUGAACCACACUAUAAUCAAUAUGGUGCUAAGGGCUUAUCGUGCCAAAUAAUAAUAACCUUGUACUAGUGAGUCGGUGAAACCAAGACGGUAUCUAGACAAGAUUAUUAUUAUUUGUCGACGAGAAAUCAAAACAUCUACAAAAACUAGAGGGGAAGAGAAAAUAAAUUUACCAAAUAGAGCCCAUGACACAUGUUGAGACUUCACCUUCAACCCAAGCUUGAAAGAAAAUUAGCUACUCACAAUUGAACUAGGGGUAAAAUGAGAAUUUAUUAAAAUACAUAGAAAAUACAAGAUGGAGAAUAAAUUACAGAAAAUGGAGCCCAAAAUUGGAUUCAGAGAUAUCAAAUUAGGGGGGGAGAGCUCCCUUUUUAUAGAUACAUUGAGUAAAUCAUGGCCAUCGAAUCAAAAACAUUUCGAACACUCAGGAUUGCGCCACGUCAUUAGUCAACAGUACGCGGUUUGAACAGUAACACGGUUUGGUUGAAAAUAAUCCUGUGUAAUGCAUAUACUGUACGCGAGAUUUUUGGUCCACUGAUAUGUUGCCACGUCAUCGAUCAACAAUACAUAAGAAUUUUAGUCCAAUAGGAUCGUGACACCUCAUCAGUCAAUGCCACAUCAUCGGUCAAUGCCACGUCAUCGGUCAAUGCCACGUCAUCGUUCCGUCUAUGUGAAUAGUGUCAUGAACAGUAACGUAGACAAUACCGUACAUGUGAGUAGGACCGUACAUGUGAACAAUGACAUUUUUCCUUUUAUGCUCCUCCUAAAGUUUUCGACUGUCCUAAGUUCAAAAGUGAUGUCCGUUUUGCCGUAUGAUUUCUCGUUCAUUGUGAAAUGACUAUGAUGCCCCUAAAAUACAUAAAAUACUUAAUUAAAAUAAAACACACGUAAUUAAAUCACAAGAAGUUUAAAUACAUAAAAGUAAGGGUGUUAGUAAGACUUGAAAUGUAAAAUGAUGAUUUUCUCCUACAUAAAUAUACAUUUUCUAACACUCAACAUCUAAUAUAUAGUUAACAGUUUCGUAAUUAAUAAAAUUUUUUAUUAUUUCUUUCCUAGUAAUUAAUUAUCUUGUGCUGGAAAGAAUAUCACUAACCACAACUUCUGCAGAAGCUUCCUCACCUUCGGAUGACAUCAGCGGUGGGUCCAGGAUGUUUGAUCGGAUCGGCGAAAUUAAAAAUUUAUUGUAUAUGUUUGCGUGAAUAUUUACAAAGGAGUGAAAAAACUAAUAUAUUAAAUAACGCGACAUCAACAACGUCGUUCUGAAUGAAAUUUUUAUAUAUAAUUUGUAAAAUAAACUAAUAAUUAGAAUGACAAUUUAGCCUUUUUAACUUGUAGAGACACAACCUUAAAUUCCUUAAUAUGCUGGUUAAUUCAGAUCAUUGAGAUGGAGACAAUUAGACAAACCUUAUUUUAUCAGAGUGAACUGCGAAAGUACAAGCUUUACAAAAGAGAUUAAUGUCGUAGUGUGAAUAGAAUUAAAAAAUACUAAGGCAGACAAUUCGUCGAACACAUAAUAUUUGCUACAUUGCUACUACCUAAUAAUUUCACAACCAAUUAACAGUCUCCUUUAUUGGAAAAAUCACAUUAAUCAACCAAAUACAUUUCUUGGUUUCUAAGCUCCAAAAUUGAAAUUUCAUGAAAAGGUUUCUGCAUUGGUGUCUUAUUGCGAGCGAUAAAUUCGUUGGACACGAGUUGCAUUGUAGGUCGAGACUUUGGUUGAGAACGCAAGCAUGAAAAUACUACUGUUGAAACAAGAAUGAUAUCCUGCCUAAUCAUUUGGUCCCCCGGAGGCGGGAGGCGUGGGUCCAACAAAUCAAUCAGCUUUAUAUUUUUAUCCAAUGAUGACGAUGACGAUGAGAGGAGCGCUUCUGGAUGCCUUCCCACUAGUACUUCUAGUGCCACCACUCCAAAGCUAUAAACAUCACAUUUCUCUGUCACAAUCAUGGUGUAGGCAAGUUCUAUAGGAAAACAAAGGCCUUCAUUAGUAACGUUUCCAUAAAUAAUAACAAGAACAAUUUGUUCAUGUUUUUUAGCUUCCGCAGCAAGUUAUGACAAAGAAACUUAUGUUUUAACUUAUGUUCAUUGUGUGUGUGUUUUAAAAGGAAAAGGGGUAGGCAAAGUUUAAAUUUAUUUUUAGCCCCUUAGCUUUUUCAAAAUUCGAACCAAGUAGCGACAUAAAUAAAGCUGCUUAAAAGCUACUUGGCAGAGUAUAUAUAAAAAUUAAUUAAGAGGAUAAUUAAAGAAGCAUAAGAGGAAUAGCUAGAGGAUGACCUGGAGCAAUAUAUCCAAAAGUGCCAGCUAAAAGAGUUCGGUUGGAUGAGUCAAAAUUUAACAAUCUAGCAAUGCCAAAGUCCGCAACAAAUGCUUCUAAUUCUGAGUUAAGUAGAAUGUUGUUGCUUGAUAUGUCCCGGUGAACAAUUGGUGGUGUGCAGUGAUGAUGUAAGUAUGACAAAGCGUGAGCCAUACCCUUCACAAUGUUCACCCUUUUAGUCCAAUCCAACCCAAUAGCUUCCUCAUCUGUGCGUAGAACACAGAACAAGCUUCCCAUUUCCAUGUACUCAUAGAUUAAGAACAUGCAUGUCUUGUGCAAACAAAAGCCGUAAAGCUUUACGAUAUUUCGAUGCCGUAUUUGGGACAGUAGACGAGCCUCAUUCCGAAAACUCUCGAGGGAAGCUAACUCCUCAGUUUCUGAACGGUGAAGCUUCUUCAAAGCAACCACUUUUCCACUGGGCAGCCGUGCUCUGUAAACGCUGCCGUAGCCUCCGGUUCCAAUGCAGUAUUUGAUAUCGAAAUCCUCAGUGGCUUCAAUCAUGUCUUGAAAUGUAAUUCUACCAUCGUAAUUCCAAAUUGCAAACUCAUCAGCGCACUUGGUAAUUUCUCCUGUCCCAGUUGGUUCAACUUCCUUAUCCCUUCGUCUACGGAUAAUCAAGAUUCCAAAUAUCAAGGCAAGGAAUGCGACCAUAGCAAGAAUAAUUGCAACCAAGAGAGUGGCAAUCAUUUUGUGAUGUGGCGGUGGCGCAUUUGCCAAAGUAGUUGGGAUUUCUCCUCCGAAUUUAUUACCUGACACAUCUAAGUGUGGCACUUUUCUGACAAAUACAGGGAUUCCACCGGAAAGGUUAUUCAUGGAAAGGUCCACGGUGUGUAUGCCCGGAAUUGCUCCAAGUUGGUAAGGUAUUUUACCAUUGAUGGAGUUACAGCUUAGAUCAAGAUAAUAUAGUUCUUGAAGUUUGCCAAUCUGUGACGGAAUGCUUCCGCUUAACAAGUUGUUUCCCAAUAUUAAUGUCGUCAGCUUUGAGCAAUUCAUGAGUUCUGGAGGAAUUGGGCCAUCAAGUUUGUUGUCAGACAAGUCUAAAAAUGUCAACCUGUUUAAAUGACCAAGUGUUAAAGGAAUAGAUCCAGUUAGAUUGUUAUAUUCCAGGGACAGAGAUUUCAAGUUGACUAAACUAGCUAUGGUCGAAGGAAUUGGACCUUCAAGUUUGUUGUUGGGCAGGUCAAGAACUUGAAGAAAGUUCAAAUGACCCACAGACGAAGGGAUUGGACCAACAAGUUUGUUUUCAGACAAGUCUAAAUAUGUCAACCUGUCUAAAUGACCAAGUGUUGAAGGAAUAGGUCCAGUUAGAUUGUUAUCCUGCAGGGACAGAUAUGUCAAGUUGACUAAACUAGCUAUGGUCGAAGGAAUCGGACCUUCAAGUUUGUUGUUGGACAGGUCAAGAACUUGAAGAAAGUUCAAAUGACCCACAGACGAAGGGAUUGGGCCAACAAGUUUGUUUUCGGACAAGUCUAAAUCUGUCAACCUGUUUAAAUGACCAAGUGUUAAAGGAAUAGGUCCAAUUAGAUUGUUAUAAUGCAGGGACAGAGAUGUCAAGCUGACUAAACUAGCUAUGGUCGAAGGAAUUGGACCUUCAAGUUUGUUGUCGGACAGGCCAAGAACUUGAAGAAAGUUCAAAUUCCCGAUUUCUAAUGGGAUGGAACCAUUGAUUCGGUUUGAGUGCAUAUUCAAAGUAGUUAGCUGAGUCAAAGGACCUACAGACGAAGGGAUUGGACCAACAAGUUUGUUUUGGGACAAGUCUAAAAUUCUCAACCUCUUUAAAUGGCCAAUUGUUGAAGGAAUUGAACCUCCAAUUUCAUUUCUGGACAGGUCAAGAACUUGAAGAACCUUCAAAUUCUCGAUUUCUAAUGGGAUGGAACCAUUAAUUUGGUUUGAGGCAAUAGCCAAAGUAGUUAGCUGGGUUAGAUGACCUAGAGUGGAGGGGACAUUACCAACAAGGGAGUUAGAAGACAAGUUCAAAAUUUUCAAUUUGCUUAGACGACCAAGAGUUGGAGGGAUAUGUCCCGUAAGGUGAUUAUUAGAUAGAUCCAGGUGGACGAGAUUCCUCAAUCUCCCCAUCUCUGAAGGGAUAAUUCCUGUUGUGCAUGUGAUUUAUGAAAAACGAGAUCAGUAUUCACUAUCCUCAUAGCAACAAAAAAAAAUGCAAAAUUUAUAUGGAGAGAGAGUCAUACUCAAGUGCGGACGGCACACACUUCUUCAGCGUUGUAAAAGCAAACGCCCGCACUAAGCAUGAGCACGAUUUUAUAAAAAAUAUAAUAUGUUACAGUGAAGUUUGGCAGCUUACCGGUAAGAUUGUUGGAGGUCAGUUCAAGAGUUCGGAUUGUUGAAAGAACAGUAAUUUCAGAUGGAAUGCUCCCAGAGAGAAGAUAAUUUGAACGAAUUUUGAAACUUCUGAGGUUGGGAAAGCAAGAGAAUUUGAAACGACCAAGCUCUCCUGUGAUGUUAUCAUUUUCAUACCAGAGUAAGCUGACCCCGAUUACGCUUACCGCUGAAUUGCAACUGAUGCCAGUCCACUUACAAUGAUCGGACGUGUAGUUGCCCGUCGUCGCCCAAUUGUUGACCCACCAGCCGGUAGCAAGUAAAGCUUCCCUUUCUAACAGUAUGGGUGACGACAACAAUCCUGCAGCUGAUGUCGUUACAGAUAUUGUCGUAUCACUUAUAGCACCAACAUUUAUUAAAAUUAUAAUGACCACCAGUCUCGAAACAGAGGACGCUGAUGCCAUGUUUAUGGUGGUUUUCUGUUGAUUGAGCUACAUUUGAUUCUCAGCAAAGCGUUUAUAUAAGAAUCAAUUGUUUUGCAAGCUCCCAGUGUUAACUUCCAAUACGCGUUUUCAAAUAGUGUGAGUCAAUGUCUUCUCUGGAUGGAUUCAAUCAUGGAGAUAUAACCUUAUCGGCUUGUAUUUGUGAGGUGUAGAUCUAUUUGAACAACUUUGCAGAAACAUGAGAUAAUAUGGACAAUAGUAGAAAUAAUUAAUAGCAUUAUUAGUAGUAUAAGAUAUUAAGUAUUACCCAAAAUAAGAAAAGGAAAAAAGUUCAAAGAAAAGAAUUGUUAUAAAUAAUGGCUCAAAUAGGAAAAUAAACAAGACUAAUCAUAUCUUUUGUAACAUACAUACCAUAGCUCAUGGGCUAACUAACAUUUUUUUUUUUUAACCCUAAACAUCAUAAAUGAAAGAAGAUGAAAUUUUAAUUACCGCUCAAUUUUUCUGCACGCAACCAAAUUUAAAAAAAAAGAAAAAAGAAAGUGUUAGAAAAAUAAUGCGCAAGUAGCUACUUGAGGCAUGAUUUUGAAUGAGACCUUUUUGGUAUAAGUGAAAAUUCAGAAAUUGUUUCGCAUAUUCCUCUAUGAGUACUUCGGAAUGUUAUCUAUACAAUCAAAAUGAUCCUCAAGUGAAUGAGAAAUUGUUACUCAAAGUGCACUCAUGAAUUUGAAAAAUUAAAGGAAAAUACAUUUGUCCCACAUUGGAAAGAUUUAUACAUAAUUACUAGAUGAACGGUAAGCUACUAUUAGCAAAGGGGCGUUCCUUGUGCACAGUCACGGGAGUGCAAAAUUUAACCACCCCAAUUAGCUUAACCAGUGUUCAUAUUGGGGGUGUUUACCCGACCCUUAGUUGGGGUUAGCUAAUGUGGCAACUUAGUUUGCCUUUUUUUUUUUUUUGCUCUUUGUAAUAAUAAUAAUAACAAAUUAAUAUAAUUUUUUAAUUUAAUAUUAUAUUACAUAAUAUUAAAUUAUGUUUUAAUUUUUAUUAUUUUAAAUAUAUAACUAAACAAUGUAUUAUUUAAUUGUAUUAUUUUAAUUAAUAUAUAAAAUUAUAUUAAUUAAUCUUUAAUAAGUUAAUAUAAUUAGUAAUAAAUACUUAAAUAAUAUAAUAUUACAUUAUUAAUUAUAGUACAAUAAUUAAUUUAGCUAUUUUUAAAUAAUUUAAUAUAACUAACAAUAAAUAUUUAAAUUUGAAUAAAUUUGAAUAAUAUUAAUUGAAAAUUAAUAAUAUAAAUAAUUACUGGAUUAUUUAGCUCAAUUUAUUUUCUUAGUGAAUAUGUCAUAACAAUUGUAUCACUUUAUUAUUCUAUAAUUAUCUUGUAAUAUGUAUAAAUUUUUAUUCUAUCAUCCUCAAAUGAUUUUUGAAUUAAUCUUGAAGAUUUUAACUAUUUAUUUAUGUUGUUAAAUUAUUUAGUGAUUAUUUGAUUAAAUUAUUUACUUCGAUCUUUAUUUCACAAGUUAUAUAUUUAGAAAAUACUGAAAAAUACACAUCCAAAAAUUUAAGACUAUAAGCCUCGGAAAAAUUAUGACAUUUCAAUAUAUAUUUUUAAUAAAAAUGUUAAAUUUCUAAAUUUCUAAAAUUUAAUAAUUUUAUAUUUAUUAUUUUUAAGUACUAAUAAAUAUUAUUUUCUAAAUAUAUAAUUUAAAUUAAUCACAAAAAAAUUAAUACAGUACAGUGUAACGCUAAACAUUAUACAACAUUAUUAUAAUACAAUGCUAAUGCAAUACAACAUAAUACAAUACACCUACAAUAAAAUAAUGCAAUACAACAUAAAAUAGAAUACAGUGUGUCAAAUGCACCAUUGUAUUAUUGUUUCGUUCUCAUGGUAUAAUUGCCGUCCAUACCUGUGCAAAACAUUAAGAGUUAAAAAUAUAUAUUUUUAUGAUUAAUUUUAGAUUUUUUUAAACUUUAAUAAUGCCAUAUUAUUUAAUAUUACAAUUGCCGUUCGAACAUGUGCAAAACAUGAAGACUAAUAUAUAUAUAUAUAUAUAUAUACACACCAUAUUAUUUAAUAUUUAAUUUUUAAGGCAACUUUUACUUUUAAAAAAAAAAUUUAAGGCAACUUUUUUAGUUGAGGGCAGGGAACCCCUACGAUACGUAAUUCCAUAACACGCUUAUCUAAUCACCUUGACUAUAAGACUUCUCCUAGUCAGCAAUUAUUUGGAAAAAAACGUCUUGACAUGUGCUGUGGAAAUUAAAGAAUGAGGUGGACUUACGAAGUCAAGGGGUUUUUCUAGUCUACAGAUUUUAAUUUAUAUGUGUAGAAAAUUAGAAAUAUUCAGUGUCUAAUCUGAUUCUACAUAAAGACUAAUGCCCCAAGAUUGUGAUUGAAAUACCACAAGCAGUUUAUUUCAUAAGUUUAGGUAAAAAUGAGGUUUGAUGGCUUUGUUAAAAGUUGCUUCUUUCGUAAUUUUCUCAUUUUGACUGCAACUUCAAAAAAUAGGCAGGAGAUUAUUUUGAUAAGCAACUUAUUAAAUAAGUUGCUAGAUCUUUUUAAAUGUUCCUAUAAUAAUCUUAAUAUUUUAAGAAAAGAAUAAUUAUAUCUUUCUUUUCUAUAAGCUCUAAUAUAUAAAUAAAACACAGUUUAAACUUAUGUCUAUUUUAGUGAUUAAAUAAUACAAUACAUUCAUAAUCAAAUUUACCAAACACAAGCAAGAUACUUUUUUAAUCAUCAACUUAUUUCAUCCUCACAACAAAAAUAACUUAUUUUAUCAGCCACCGCCAUCCUAAACUUGAUGCUAAGUCACAUUUGGGAUUGCAUUUGAUUGUCAAAUAAUUAAGAGAAAUAGCCAUUAUGGAGAAGAAUAGGGAGAGGUUCGCCUAAAGCAAUAUACCCGUAAGCUUGGCUACUAAUAAACGGAGCAUAUAAGCAUAAACACCUAACUUUUGAGGCAUAUAAGGGAUCUAAAAGUGCGGGAAACGUUCGGAAAAACUUUAAAACCACAGGGUUUUAAAGGCUUAAACUGCAUGGUUUAUGUGUUUUCCUAGAUAUUCCUACACUUUAAAAUUCAAGAUUAAAACAUUUCCAUAUGUGUGUGUGUGUGUGUGUGUGUGGAGGGCAAAUCUUUGACUCUCUCCAGCUUCAAGUACCUAUACGGUAACUCUUAAAUCAAAAGGGAGAAAAUGGUUAACCCAAUCUGAUUGUAUAUGAAUUGAUAUUCACCAUAUGAUUAUUGCAUAAAGAUUGAGCCUUAAGUGCUUUACAUUAAGUAAUACUGAACACCUGUUCUACACAUUUAGACAACUCAGAGUAAAAAUUAUGAAAAUGACAACCAAAUCCAAACUAGCUAGGUGCACUAUUAUUAUUUAUCUUUACUCCAUAAAUAUUAGAAAGAUAGAGGAGAGGAAGAAAAAGAAAAGACUAAUUUUGUAGUCACAAUUUAAUCUUAUGCUCUGAUUUUGAAGCAAAUCUGCAAAAUAUUUGAGGAUCCAAUCAUGAACCAUGUCCACUUCAAUCUUUCGCUGCACUACUAACCAUACUGGGUCAUCUUCUGUUGCUGGCUGUGUGUCUAAGCAAUGGGAACCUACUCCAAUUUACACACUAUUAAUUAUGUUAUCCAAUAAUUUAGUUAAUAAUUGAACACUAAUUUUUUAUUUUAUAGAAAAAUUUAAAUACUGUUUCUUGUUGUCACUGCUAUUAUACUGUCUGAUAUAUCUUCCAGAAUCCUAUAAUCCCCCCCCCCCCAAAAAAAUAGAAGAAACAGAAAAGAUAUAUAAUUAAACAGGUAACUUCGAUAGAAAAGAGUGUACACAAUUCUUAAGCUUAAUUACCCCUCGCUACUAUAGGGAUCACGAAGGCCAUUAGAGAAAAUAAUGUUGCUACCAAAUCUCUUUAAAACCACUCUUAUAUCCUGCAAAUUAAAAAGAAAUAGAAAUCAAACAAAAAUUGAGGUGAACUUUAUAAUUAAAACAGAAAAUGAGAAAUCUUAAAAUAUUAGAAGAAUUAAUUUGGGGAUUAAUCGACACUUACAUUACCACUUUAAUAAGUUGUAAUCCAAUGUGGUCUUGGAACCACUCCAUAAGACUUAUUGCAUGAAUCCAUAUAUUCUGUCAGAUUAAAUGGGUCUGCUUGAGACAUUGUGUCGUUUUUGCCAAUUCCAAUUGGUGAGACCAUUGCACUGCAUGUCUGCAUGAGAAACCCCCCAAUAAUAAAAAAUAAUAAUAAUAAAAUAACAUAAAGAAGAAAACUAUUUUUAAUCAUUCAUAAAUAUAAAGUCUCAUUGCCACAUGUUGUUUAUUUAACGGUCUCAAUAGAACUAUCCAAUGAAAUCAUGUCACUUGUAAUUGCAUACCUGUCAGCCCCAGCUGGAGUCCAAUGUUGCAUCGGAGAAGAAUUCAUCAACAUCAUGGCAAGAAUCCUCCCCUCUUAAAUCAACAAUUCCUGAGAUGAUCCAGUCUAGGGCAUCUGUGUCUUCUAAAGCUCCAUCAAUUGCAUUACAGGCUUUGUUCACUGGGCUUUCCUGAGGAUCAUCAUACUGAGCUGCACCCGUAUACAUAUACUCUAAAUAAUCUUUCAAUUCUUAAACAUCCUUCAGAGGCCUGUAAUCAAAUAAACAAUAACAUAGAAUUAAGUGCCACAAGGUCAUUAAUUUUAUAAAAGAUCUUUCAACAUAUUGUCUUCAAAAUGUUGUUAUAUUUAGUUAGAUUACAAUAAACUUUAUAAGUAUGAAGCUAUUGAUAUUCUCAAAUACAAACGUUCAAAUUUGGCCUCAUUUGAUUAUCAGAGUUGUGCGUGGUUUUGUAGUUUAAAUUUAGAUUCUGCAAAAUAUGGACGUCUGAACCUAAGCACCAGUAUACUAUAUAUGGUAACGCAAAGGCCGUGUAUAAGCCCAAAUCCAGAUUUUUACUUUGUAUAUUACACGUUAAUCGAAAUGUAUAUAUACGCUGAGGAUGACAGAUAAUUAAUUAGACAUAGUACAUUCGAUAACGAUGCUACAAUAACAUUGCAUUAAUUGUAAUUAAGGGAAAAUCGGAUGGAUAUACAAUACAAUACAAUAUACAAUAUGGAUAUACAAUAACAUACAAUAUGAUUCUGAUACAACCCCAAUAUUACAGUUAGACAAGCCCAACUCAGCUAGCUCUAUCAAUACUGAGGAAAAGGCCCAGGCAAACUCAAGUGAGGCUAUCCAAAAUCGACCCCAAGAUAACCUCAAGCCAAGUCGCGUAAGGAAGCCUCCCAAAUGGCUCAAGGAUUACACAUACUGAGCAUAUAUGAGCUGAGGACUCGGUUUCUAACGGCCUUAGCUAUUUAGAGAACAACUUUUUUGUUAUAGAGGGAGGUUGUUAUUUAGUUUUGACAGCUGUGAGCAUAUUCUUGCUGCUAUAAGUAUUUCCAUGGUUGUAUUUGAUGAUAUAUAAAAUUCUGGACCUAGUUUCUUCUUCUUCUCUGAAUUUUUCUCUCUAUUCUAUCUUGCCAUUCACUCAUUUCUUUAAAAUUCUGGGAGCUUGCACUUGCUUGAAAAGUGUGGAAACCUUGCUGUUCGGUGUGUUCACCAGCGGCAUAACAGAUUCAUUACUUGCAGGUUUUGAACUUUAUAGAGAGAAAAGCAAGUCCAUUUUUUCCAGCAGCGACUUUAUCGAUUUCAGCCUAGGACUGUCUGAUGGUCUUGUAGCAGGUCUCGCUGGCUUCCUGCAUCAUUAAUUUUCAAAAUUCAAUGGCUAAAUUUUAACAAGAGAACAUAAUCAUGCUUAUAUAAAAUUUUAAUUAACUAAUUUAUUUCUUACCCGAAAGUCCUUGGUGACAAGAUCAUAAUAUGCGUUUGACGGUGUGAUAUUAUCAAAGUAGAGAAUUGGGGCGGAUGAGGCAACUGCUCCCAAAGCAAUGUGACGAUACUUCAAGCGAAACCAUGCAGCAAGCAUUGUUGAUAACAAACCAACAAACGAGUAACUCUCGAAACCAUAUCACAUCCCAGAUCUGAUAAAAUAGGAUGAAUAGAGAAGAUUAUUUUUAAAUACAUAAUUAUCUUGAACAUAUUUAUUAUUUCUUGAUUUUACGAUCGCCAAGAGUAUUCGUUAGUUGCAAUAUUAAAUAAAUUUGUAUCAUAGUAAUAUUGCUGUAGUCAAUAUCUUGAUCGAUCAAUCGUGAUCUAAAUGAGUAAAAUGAUGUGACAGAUGACACGACAUUAAUCAAAAGAUGUAAGUAAGUUAAUAAUAUUAUAAUUUACUUCCUCCAUAAGAUGCUCCAACAACCAUAAUGGGAGACAUUUCGUCCGAUAAAUUUUUCUGGAUGUGUAAGAGAAUCUUGCAUAAUCAGCCAAAGCUUGAGCAGAGUUGAAAUAUCCACGAAGAGUUGCAUUCUUUAGGGCAUCUUUGCUUGAUACAAAAGGUACUGAUUUUCCAUAGAACCGAUACUGCAUAAAAAAUUGAAUUAAAAAAAAAUCCAUCACAACUUUUCAGUUCAUAUUGUAGAAUAUUCUGAUUAAGAUUUGUCUUUAUUAUUAUUAUUUCGUAUGUGAACUCUAUUUCAAUUAUUAUCAAGCUAGCCUGAUAACAUAUUCUUUACUUACCUCUAUGUAAACUUGUAAGGCUUUAAAUCGAUGAGCAUUAUUAGUAAGCCAUCCAAUGCCACCAAGGUCAUCAUAUCAAGACUACUCUCUUCACCAAGAUAUGCCAGUAUCGGGCGCCGCCAUGGCUCUGCCACCACCCCAAUGCUUGAAGUUCAACGCAUAUCUAUGAGGAAAAGUUAAAUAACUUUGUGGAUUAUAGUUAAAGUGAUCAAGUGUUUGAUAAUAAUAGUAAGUUUCGAGAUCAACAUAGUCACUUUGUGGAUUUUUUUGCUAGGGUUUUGAAAAAUAGUCCUUCCACGAACAGCACCAAGCUUUGGGAUGUUCUUUAAUGGUGAAGUGGUAGCAAAAGCAAAAUUUGUGACGAGAAGAAGAAAAAGGCAUGGAGCCGCCGACCUUUCAUGGCAAAGUUGUAAAUCCUUAAUUAGCAGGAUGAUUAUGUAAAUACAGAAGAAAUAGAGUUAAGAUUAGAUUAUAAAUUCAGCUUCAAAAUCGACGUGUUUGUUAAUAUAUCCUGGAUUUGUUGUUAUCGUAUAAUUUAAUUAAUGUUGGUUUUAGUUUUAUAUUAGUAUGGAUCUUCAUUUUUCAUAAAAUUAUAGUGUGUCGAAUAUAUAGUUAUCGGUUUCGUAAUUAAUAAAAAUUUUUAUUAUUUCUUUCCUAGUAAUUAAUUAUCUUGUGCUUACCAGAAUAUCACUAACCACAACUUCUGCAGAAGCUUCCUCACCUUCGGAUGACAUCAGCGGUGCGUCCAGGAUGUUUGAUCGGAUCAGCUAAAUUAAAAAUUUAUUGUAUAUGUUUGUGUGAAUAUUUACAAAGGAGUGAAAAAAAACUAAUAUAUUGAAUAACGCGACAUCAAGAACUUCGUUCUGAAUGAAAUUUUUAUAUAUAAUUUGCAAAAUAAGCUAAUAAAUAGAAUGACAAUUUACCCUUUUUAACUUGUAGAGACACAACCUUAAAUUCCUUAAUAUGCUGGUUAAUUCAGAUCAUUGAGAUGGAGACAAUUAGACAAACCUUAUUUUAUCAGAGUGAACUGCGAAAGUACUAGCUUUACAAAAGAGACUAAUGACGUAGUGUGAAUGGAAUUAAAAAAUACUAAGGCAGACAAUUCGUCGAACACAUAAUAUUUGCUACAUUGCUACUACCUAAUAAUUUCACAACCAAUUAACAGUCUCCUUUAUUGGAAAAAUCACAUUAAUCAACCAAAUACAUUUCUUGGUUUCUAAGCUCCAAAAUUGAAAUUUCAUGAAAAGGUUUCUGCAUUGGUGUCUUAUUGCGAGCGAUAAAUUCGUUGGACACGAGUUGCAUUGUAGGUCGAGACUUUGGUUGAGAACGCAAGCAUGAAAAUACUACUGUUGAAACAAGAAUGAUAUCCUGCCUAAUCAUUUGAUCCCCCGGAGGCGGGAGGCGUGGGUCCAACAAAUCAAUCAGCUUUAUAUUUUUAUCCAAUGACGAAGAUGACGAUGAGAGGAGCUCUCCUGGAUGCUUUCCCAUUAGUACUUCUAGUGCCACUACUCCGAAGCUAUAAACAUCAGAUUUCUCUGUCACAACCAUGGUGUAGGCACGUUGUAUAGGAAAACGGAAGUCUUUAUUAGUAAUGUUUCCAUAAACAAUAACAAGCACAAUUUGUUCAUGUUUUUUAGCUUCUUUAGCAAGGUAUGACAGAGAAGCAUAUGUUCUAACUGAUAUUCAGUGUAUGUGUGUUUUGAAAGGUAAAGGGAUAGGUAAAGUCUAAAUUCAGUUAUAGCUCCUUAGUUUUUUCAAAAUUCGAACCCAAGUAGCGAGCUAAAUAAAGCUGGUUAAAAACUACUUAGCAGAGUAUAUAUAAAAAUUAAAUAAGAGGAUAACUAAAGAAGCAUAAGAGGAAUAGCUAGAAGAUGACCUGGAGCAAUAUAUCCAUAAGUGCCAGCUAACAGAGUUCGAUUGGAUGAGUCAAAAUUUAACAAUCUAGCAAUACCAAAGUCAGCAACAAAAGCUUCGAAUUCUGAGUUGAGUAGAAUGUUGUUGCUUGAUAUGUCGCGGUGAACAAUUGGUGGUGUGCAGUGAUGAUGCAAGUAUGACAAAGCAUGAGCCAUACCCUUCACAAUGUUCACCCUUUUAGUCCAAUCCAACCCAACAGCUUCCUCAUCUGUGCGUAGAAUACAGAACAAGCUUCCCAUUUCCAUGUACUCAUAGAUCAAGAACAUGCAGUUCUCGUGCAAACAAAAGCCGUAAAGCUUUACAAUAUUUCGAUGCCGUAUUUGGGACAGUAGACGAGCCUCAUUCCGGAAACUCUCGAGGGAAGCUAACUCCUCAGUUUCUGAACGGUGAAGCUUCUUCAAAGCAACCACUUUUCCACUGGGCAGCCGUGCUCUGUAAACGCUGUCGUAGCCUCCGGUUCCAAUGCAGUAUUUGAUAUCGAAAUCCUCAGUGGCUUCAAUCAUGUCUUGAAAUGUAAUUCUACCAUCGUAAUUCCAAAUUGCAAACUCAUCAGCGCACUUGGUAAUUUCUCCUGUCCCAGUUGGUUCAACUUCCUUAUCCCUUCGUCUACGGAUAAUCAAGAUUCCAAAUAUCAAGGCAAGGAAUGCGACCAUAGCAAGAAUAAUUGCAACCAAGCGAGUGGCAAUUGUUUUGUGAUGUGGCGGUGGCGCAUUUGCCAAAGUAGUUGGGAUUUCUCCUCCCAAUUUAUUGCCUGACACAUCUAAGUGUGGCACUUUUCUGACAAAUACAGGGAUUCCACCGGAAAGGUUAUUCAUGGAAAGGUCCACAGUGUCUAUGCGUGGAAAUUCUCCAAGUUGGGAAGGUAUUUUACCAUUAAUGAAGUUACCGCUUAGAUCAAGAUAAUAUAGUUCUUGAAGUUUGCCGAUCUGUGACGGAAUGCUUCCGCUUAACAAGUUGUUUCCCAAUUUUAAUAUCCUCAGCUUUGAGCAAUUCAUGAGUUCUGGAGGAAUUGGGCCAUCAAGUUUAUUGUUGUACAUAUUCAAAGUAGUUAACUGAGUCAAAUGACCCAGAGACGAAGGGAUUGGGCCAACAAGUUUGUUUUGGGACAAGUCUACACUUCUCAACCACUUUAAAUGGCCAAGUGUUGUAGGAAUUGAACCUCCAAUUUCAUUUCUGGACAGGUCAAGAGCUUGAAGAACCUUCAAACUCCCGAUUCCUAAUGGGAUGGAACCAUUCAUUUGGUUUGAGGCAAUAGCCAAAGUAGUUAGCUGGGUUAGAUGACCUACAUUGGAUGGGAUAUUACCGACAAGGGAGUUAAAAGACAAGUUCAAAAUUUUCAAUUUGCUUAGACCACAAAGAGUUGGAGGGAUAUGUCCCAUGAGGUGAUUAUCAGAUAGAUCCAGGUGGACGAGAUUCCUUAAUCGCCUCAUCUCUAAAGGGAUAAUUCCUGUUGUGCAUGUGAUUUAUGAAAAACGAGAUCAGUAUUCACUAUCUUCAUUAAAAAAAAAUUACAUAGAGGGAGAGUCAAGCUCAAGUGCGGACGACUCACACUUCUUUAGUGUUGUAAAAACAGACGCCUGCUUUAAGCAGCAGCGCGAUUUUAUACAUACAUAUAUAUAUAUAUGGUGAAGUUUCACAGCUUACCGGUAAGGCCGUUGUAGGGCAGUUCAAGAGUUUGGAGCAUUGAAAGGGCAGUAAUUUCAGAUGGAAUGCGCCCAGAGAGAACAUAAUUUGUACGAAUUUUGAAAUUUCUGAGGUUCGGAAAGCAAGAGAAUUUGAAACGACCGAGCUCUCCUUUGAUGUUAUCAUUUUCAUACCAGAGUAAGCUGACCCCGAUUACGCUUCCCGCUGAAUUGCAACUGACGCCAGUCCACUUACAAUGAUCGGACGUGUAGUUGCCCGACGUCGCCCAAUUGUUGACCCACCAGCCGGUAGCAAGUAAAGCUUCCCUUUCUAACAGUAUGGGUGACGACAAUAAUCUUGCAGCUGAUGCCGUUACAGAUAUUGUCGUAUCACUUAUAGCACCAACAUUUAUUAAAAUUAAAAUGACCACCAAUCUCGAAACAGUGGAUGCUGCUGCCAUGUUUAUAAUGGUUUUCGGUUGAUUGAGCUGGCUAUUUGAUUCCUUGCAAAGCGUUUAUAUAAGAAUUAAUUGUUUUGCAAGCUCCCGGUGUUAACUUCCAAUACGCGUUUUCAAAUAGUGUGAGUCAAUGUCUUCUCUGGAUGGAUUCAAUCAUGGAGAUAUAACCUUAUCGGCUUGUAUUUGUGAGGUGUAGAUCUAUUUGAACAACUUUGCAGAAACAUGAGAUAAUAUGGACAAUAUUAGAAAUAAUUAAUAGCGCUAUUAAGAUAUUAAAUAUUACCCAAAAUAAUAAAGAAAAAAAAAAGCUCGAAGGAUUGUUGUUGUAAAAUAUGACUCAAAUAGAAAAAUAAACAAGACUAAUCAUAUCUUUGUAUAAAUUUAAGUAUAAAAAAAACUUGUAGGUGUAUUAUUAUAAUAAGCUGUAGAGAAAAGAAUUUGUAGACUUCUGUGAUUUGACAAAAUAAUAAAAUAAUCCCUUUAUUUUUUAAAAUAGUUACAAAACUCCUUUUGCAACAUGCAAACUAUAUGGAAAAUUGGAAAUUCAUGGGCUACCUAAUAUCCCUCUUAUUUUUUUAUUUUUUAUUUUACACCAAAACAUCAUAGACAAAAGAAGAUAAAAAUUUCAUUGCACUCAAUUUUUUUCAUGAAAUCAAACAAGGAAAAGAAGCAAAAAGUGUUGGAAAUAUAGCACAAGUUACUAUUUGAUGCGUGAUUUUGAGUGAGACUUAUCUGUUGUUUCAAAUAUUCCUCCGUAAAUACUUCAGAAUGAUUUUACCUAUAUAAUCAAAAUAACCCUUGGAUAAAUGAGAAAUUGUUACUCAAAGUAAAUUCAUGGAAUUGGAAAAGUAAAGGAAAUUAUAUUUGUCCCACAUGAAAAAGAUAGCAAAGGCAUGAAAGGUUUGUAUAUAAUUACUCAUGUGUGUAUAAGUAAAAUAUAAACCAAGACGCUCUCUCUUCCGUGCCCCAUCCUAAGUACACAAAUUCAAUGUGAUACGAUCCUAUAGUUUCCGUUCAAACCUAUGCACACUUUAAAAAAAGGUUUUUUUUAAUAUAUUUUUUAUGUAUUUUACAUUUUUUUUAAAAUUUAAUAAAUGCCAUAUUAUUUAAAUAUUUAAUUUUAAGGCAUCUUUUUUAAGUUGAGGGCAAGGAACCCCUCCGAUACGUAAUGCCGAAACAUGCUAAUCUAAUCACCUUGACUUUAAAGACUGCUUCCCCUAGUCAGCAAUUAUUUGGAACUUACGUCUUGACAUGUGCUGUGGAAAAUAAAGAAUGAAGUAGACUUAUUGAGUCAAGCUGUUUCUUCAAUCCAGAUAUUUAGUUUAUACGUGUGCAAAUAUUCAAUGCCUAACUUUAUUCUGCACAAAGCCUAAUGUCCUAUUUGGGAUAACGGUUGAAAUACUUAUAAGUUUUGAUAAAAAUGAUGUUUGAUAAAUUUGUUAAAAGUUUAAUUCAUAUUUUCUCCAUUUUGACAAUAACUCUUAAAAUAAGUAUGAGAUUGUCUUUUAUAAGCAACUUAUUAAAUAAAAUGCCAUUUUUUUUAAAGUUUCUAUUAUAACUUUAAUAUUUUAAGAAAAGAAUAAGUGUAUCUUAUUUUUUUAAAAAUCCUAAUAUAUAAGUAAAAGACAAUUUAAACUUAUGUUUAUUUUAAUGAUUAUAUAAUAAAAUAUUAUUUUCGUAAUCAAAUUUACCAAACACUGAGCGAGCUACUUUUAUAAUCAUUAGAUAAUUCCAUUCACAUCGCAGAAGCAGCUUAUUUCAACAGCCACCAAAAUCUUAAACUGAUCCUAAGUCAUGUUCGGAAUUGCAUGGGAUUGUCAAAUAAUUAACAAAAGAAGCUAUUAUGUAGGAGAAUAGGAACAGGUUCACCUGGAGCAAUAUACUCAUAAGCUUGGCUACUAAUAAACGGAGCGUGUAAGGAUAAACACCUAANNNNNNNNNNNNNNNNNNNNNNNNNNNNNNNNNNNNNNNNNNNNNNNNNNNNNNNNNNNNNNNNNNNNNNNNNNNNNNNNNNNNNNNNNNNNNNNNNNNNAUGGUUAAUCCAAUGUGGUUGUGUAUGAAUUGAUAUUCACCGUAUGAUUAUUACAUAAAGAUUGAACCUUUGUACGUGCUUUACAUUAAGUAAAACUGCACACUUGUUCUACACAUUUAGACAACCCAGAUUAAGAAUUAUGAAAAUGAAAUCUACAACUAGCUAGGUGCACUAUUAUUUAUCUUUGCUCCUUAAAUAUUAGAAAGAUAGAGGAGAGGGAGAAAAAGAAAAGACUAAUUUUGUAGUCCAAAUUUAAUCUUAUGCUCUAAUUUUGAAGCAAAUCAGCAGAGUAUUUGAGGAACCAAUCAUGAACCAUGUCCAUUUCAAUCUUUCGCUGCAUUACUAACCAUUCGGGGUCAUCUUCUGUUGCUGGCUGUAUGUCUAAGCAAUGGGAACCUGCUCCAAUUUACACACUAUUAAUUAUGUUAUCCAAUAAUUUAGUUAAUAAUUGAACACUAAUUUUUUAUUUUAUAGAAAACUUUACAUACUGUUUUUUGUUGUCACUGCUAUUAUAUUGUCUGAUAUAUUUUCCAGAACCCUAUAAUCCCAAACAAAGAAAGAAAAAGAAAAAGAAAAAGGUAUAUAAUAAAACGGGUAACUUCGAUAGAAAAGAAUAUCCAAAAUUCUUAAGCUAAAUUACCCAGCGCUGCUACAGGGAUCGCGAUGGCCAUUAGAGAAAAUAAUGUUGCUACCAAAUCUCUUUAAAACCACUCUUAUAUCCUGCAAAUUAAAAAGAAAUAAAAAUCAAACUCAAGAACGAGGUGAAGUUUUUAAUUUAAAAAAGGAAAAAAAAAGAGAAAAUUAAAAGAAUUAAUUUGGGGAUUAAUUGACACUUACAUGACCACCAUAAUAAGUUGUAAUCCAAUGUGGUCUUGGAACCACUCCAAAAGACUUAUUGCAUGAAUCCCUAUAUUCUGUCAGAUAAAAUGGGUCUGCUUGAAACAUUGUUUCGUUUUUGCCAAUUCCAAUUGGUGAGACCAUUUCACUGCAUGUCUACAUGAGAAACCCCCCUAUACUAAUAAUAAUAAUAAUAAUAAUAAGAUAAAAAAGAAAAAUAUUUUUAAUCAUUCAUAAAUAUAUAGUCAUAUAAAUAAAAUUAAGAGAUGUACAUAAAAUAGGUAUUGUUAGGCGAAAGACUAAUUCAUUGCGACAUAUUGUUUAUUUGACGGUCUCAAUAGAACUAUCCAAUGAAAUCAUGUCAUCUGUAAUCGCAUACUUGCCAACCCCAGCUGGAGUCCAAUGUUUCAUCGGAGAAGAAUUCAUCAACAUCAUGGCAAGAAUUCUCCCCUCUUAAAGCAACAAUUCCUGAGAAUAUCCGGCCUAGGGUAUAUGUGCCUUCUGAAUCUCCAUCAAUACCUUCACAAGCUUUGUUCACUGGAUAUUCCUGAGGAUCAUCAUACUGAGCUGCACCUGUAUACAUAAACUCCAAAUAAUCCUUCAAUUCUGAAACAUCCUUCAGAGGCCUGUUACAAAUAAACAAUAACAACAUAAAAUUAAGUGCCUCCAAGAUUAGUGACAUCAUAAAAGAUCCUUCAACAUACCUGUCUAAAAAACUUUGUUAUAUUUAGUCAAAUUACAAUAAACUUUGUAAGUGUGAAGCUAUUGAUAUUCUCAAAUACAAAAUCCAAAUUUGGCCUUAUUUAACAAUCAGAGUUGUACAUAUUGUUUUGCACGUCUGAACCUAAGUACCAAUGUACUAUAUAUGGUAAUGCAUAGGCCGUAUAUGAGGCCAAACCCCAGAUUUUACUAUGUACGUAUAUUACACAUUAACUGAAAUGUAAAUAUACCUUGAGGAUGACAGAUAAUUAAUUGGAUAUAUAUAGACAGUUUUGUAAUGAUACUACAUUAACAUUGCACUGUAAUUGAAGGAAAAUCAGAUGGAUAUAUAUCGGCAGUUAUAAAAGUAAUAUGAUUCAAUUACUUGCAGGUUUUGAACUUUUAAGAGAGAACAGUAAGUCCAUUUUUUUCCAGCAGCGGCUUUAUCGAUUUCAGCCCAGGACUGUUUGAUGGUCUUGUAGCAACUCUCACUAGCUUCCUGCAUCAUUAAUAUUCAAAAUUCAAUAGUUAGAUUUUAACAAGAAAAUAUAAUCAUACAUAUAUAGAAUUUAAUUAAUUAAUAUUAUUUUCUUACCCUAAAAUCCUUGCUGACAAGAUCAUAAUAUGCGUUCGAUGGUGUGAUAUUAUCAAAGUAGAGAAUUGGGGCUGAAGAGGCAACUUCUCCUAAAGCAAUAUGAGGAUACUUCAAGCGAAACCAUGCAGCGAGCACUGAUGAUAACAAUAACAAACCCACACGAGUAACUCUCAAAGAGCAUCUGUUAGUAGGAAUAUAAAAUAAAAUUGUAUCAUAAUAAUUGAGGCGUAAUCCAGAUUUUAGUCAAAUAUUUAAAAUAAGGUGACAGAUGACAUGAUGUCAAUCAAAAGAUGUAAGUAAGUUAAUAAUAUUGUAACUUACUUCCUCCAUAAGAUGCUCCGACAACGAUAAUGGGAGACAUUUCGGCCGAUAAAGUUUUCUUGAUGUGUAAGAGAAUCUCCGCAUAAUCAGCCAAAGGCUUGAGCAGAGUUGAAAUAUCCACGAAGAGUUGCAUUCUGUAGGGCAUCGUUACUUGAUACAAAAGGCACCGAUUUUCCACAGAACUGAUGCUGAACAAAAAAUCAAAUUAGAAAAAAAAUAUAUAUCACAACUUUUUAGUUGAUAUUAUAGAUUAAAUUUAUCUUUAUUAUUAUUGUUUGGCGUUCGAACUCUGUUUCAAUUAUUAUCAAAUUCUUUACUUACCUCUAUGUAAACUUGUAAGCCUUUAAAUCGAUGAGCAUUAUCAGUAACCUGGAUUUGUAUGUGAUUAGGAGGUCAUUGCUUAGAGAUUCCCAUGUCCACUCUUAGUGCCAAAAGACUUGGUCUUGAUGCACAGGUGACAAGUUUGUUGGGGAGUACAUUUGGACUCACUAUCUUCAUUUAAUUCCAAACAUCUUAGCAUUUGGUUAUUUAUGUUGGUCAAAGUUCGCAAGUUCAGUUUGCUUGGUCAACUCAAGUAGACGAGAGAGUUGCGGCUUUAAAAUUUGGCAGUGAGGACAUGUGAGCUUUUUUGAACGAAUGUGAGUCUGAAACCUUUUUUGAACGAAAACACGGAGCAAAUGUGAGCUUCUCGUAGGCUAAGGUUCCAAGAGAGGUUACAUAUGUUUACCAUGAAGUGUCAUAUGAACUUGUACAGAUUGAUUUCUGAUGUUUCUUUUUCCCGGUAAUUUCUUAUUUUAAAUCUUAUUGCUUGUCUUUGUGUAUGUGCGUUGGGCUGGAGGCUCCAUUGAAAUGGUGUUUCCUCAAAUUAUGAAUUAUAACGCUCGUAAGUGUUAAUAUCAUCUCUUCUUCUUGUCCAGCUUAUUAAGAAAGUCUUUCAGAAUCCUUUUCAAACAUAUUCCUUUUUUUUUCUGAUUUUUGGAAGGAAAGAUUUUCCUAGUUCAGUGCUGGAAAUGUUGUUAAUUAACAAGGAUUUUGGUUGUAUUAACUAUUUAAAUGUACUUCUACAUUCCUACCUUUUUUGAGAAUUCACAAUUUAAAAUAAAAUGUGUGCAUUAGUAUUUUGUAAACAAAUUCUUUCAUCUGUACUACAAUAGCAAAUGAUGGAGCUCACUGGGAAUUUUUUUCAUUUUUACCAUUGAUGUGAUAACUAAUAUAAGGCAUAAUGGUUUCUGUAUCAUUUCCAGCCUCAGCCUGAUUCCAAUACUUGUGGAUCAAAGCAGAAAGCUGCCACACCACCUGCAGGUUCUGGAGAGCUUCCUUCAACGAGUUCAAGCAAAACCAAGGAGUGGAGUUGUGCCCUCUGUCAGGUCAAUGCUACUACCGAGAGAGAUCUAGACGUGCAUCUCCAAGGUAAGAAGCACAAGGCCAAGGAAAAAGUACUUAGAGAUUUGAAGAUGUGCAUUAACUCCACUUCAAAAAAAUAUACGGAAAGCAGAGAUAGUGCUGACCAAGAAAUGAAGUCUAAUGUAGAAAAGGAAUCACUUAAAGGUAAUAAAACUGUUGUUGGUUUAGACCAGAAAGUGGAGGAAGGUCAAACCCUGCAGGUUAAGCCCAAUUCCAAUCUUUGUGGAUCAAAUCAGAAAGCUACCGCACCACCUGCAGGUUCUGGAGAGCUUCCUUCGGCGAAUUCUAACAAACCCAAGGAGUGGAGUUGUGCCCUCUGUCGGAUCAGUGCUACUACCAAGAGAGGUCUAGAUGAGCAUCUUCAAGGUAGGAAGCACAAGGCCAAGGUUUCAGGACUACUUAGAGAUAAGAAAAUGUGCAGUAACUCCACUUCAUCCACGUCAGAAAAAUCUACUGAAAGCAGAGAUGGUGUUGGCCAAGAAAUGAACACUAAAGUACAAGAGGAAUCAGUUAAAGCUAAAAAAACUGUUGUUGGCCUAGACCGGAAAGGGGAGGUUGGUGUAGAUGAGCAUCCUCAAGGUAAGAAGCAGAAGGCCAAGGAAGAACUACUUGGAGCUCAGAAGUGGAUAAAAAAAUCUACAGAAAGCAGAGAUAGUGUGAUACAACCUGGCCAAUUGUUGUGAAUCAGAUCGAGCACAAUGAGACAGCAAGGGAAGAGACCCAGCCUGCAGAAAUGGAAGAAGUCCAACCCGUGAAUGAGACACAAGCUAGAGAGCAGCUCAAGACAGGUUCAGCUCGCGCGAGAAAGAAACCAGGAUGGCUCAAAGACUUUGUCAUUUGAGGAAUGUUCGAGAAUGCUUGAGAGAUUAUAAUAACGAAUAUUGUUUUGUUUUCAAUUAUUAUUUUGUUGUUAUCAAUUUUAUUCUAUUUUAGUUAGUUAAGGGUGCGUGGCUGUUUUUGGGAGAGAGAAUAUAUUGUACUGUCAAAGGGACCCGUGAGGGAUAUCAAAAAGGAAUAUAUCAUUUUGUCUUUUUUCAGCUUCGUCUUCUUUCUCUUCUCUGCAAUUCCCCUGUCCCUUUUCUCUUUCUGCAAAUUCUUUUCCCCACAGAUUGGAGCCUGCACUCGCUCAAAGAGUGUCGUAUCAACUGGUGCUUUCAUUUCAUCUCUUCACACACAAAAAAAAAAAAACAAAUGUCUCUCACAGAACCAACGACUGAUUCAGCAGUUCUCUCCACCAUGAAAACGCUCAUUGAAAAUCAAACGCUUGCUGUUCAUCAGACCUUACAACAAUAUAUGUCCACGGUGGAUUCUCGAUUUGAGGAGCUACGUUCCCAAAUCAAUGGUUCUGUCGGAGCGUCAGUGGGUUCUUCCCGCCCAAUGGCACCGGAACCAGCGUCUUCGACUGUACUGUCAGGUGUUUCGGAUAUCUCUCCUCUGUUGCGUUCUAUGAAAAUGGAUGUCCCAAAAUUUGAUGGCACUGAUCCGAAUGGUUGGGAUUUUCGAAUCAAUGAGUUCUUUGAUUUUCACGGCACCCCUGACCAGUUACGCCUUCGUAUUGUAUCUUUUCACAUGGAGGGAAAAGCAGCAGCAUGGUAUCAAUGGAUGAAGGCCAACAACUUGCUGAGCACUUGGCAGAAUUUUUUACUCAAUCUUAAGCAAAGAUUUGGUACAUCCAUGUAUGAAGAUCAUCAAGGUAACCUCUCCAAGCUCUCCCAAACGUCGACUGUUGCUGAUUUUCAGUCUGCCUUUGAGGAUUUGAUGAACAAGGUCACGAGCAUCUCCGAGCCAUUGUUGGUUAGUUUCUUUAUCACGGGCUUAAAACCCGAUAUCAGACGAGAAUUAUUAUUUGCAAGACCCACAUCUCUCAUGGAGGCUUUUGCUUUAGCCAAAGCUUAUGAGGCACGGUCGGAAGAAAUCAAGACCUCUAGCCAUUCUUGGACAAAGUGGACACCCUCAUCUACUCACACCCACCAAUCCACCAUUACUGCCUCCCCACAACCUGCAUCAUAUAAAACCCCAACAACAACUCCUCUUCCUAGUUUUUCAGCCACUAAACAGCCACCUCAACCCCCAUUAUUGCCUACUCCCACCUUGCCCAUUCGUCGAUUAACUCCAGCCGAAUUAAGAGAGAAAAGAGAAAAAGGGCUCUGUUACAACUGCGACCAAAAAUAUAGCGCCACACAUCGCUGUUGUAGCAAGUUUUUGUUAUUAAUGGGUAUGGAUGAUGAAGAUGAUGAGCCAAGUAAGGACGCUUUUAGUCAUGCACAACCAGAUGAAGUAGUCACAGCGGACAUAUCUAGUUUGAAUGCCUUGGCUGGGCAAACUAAUCCACGAUCUUUAAGGGUGCUGGGCACCGUUGCCAGCUAUCAGUUUCAGGUGUUAAUUGACAGUGGCAGUACCCACAAUUUCCUUAAGCCACCAUUGGCUGAACGCCUUGGCCUUUCCGUUCAAGCUAUACCUCCUUUUCGAGUCUACAUUGGCAAUGGCGAUUUUCUUACUUGUCGAUUUCUCUGUCCUAAAGUGCCUAUUAAUAUGCAGGGGCAUGAAUUUCUUUUGGAUUUAUUCCUUUUGCCAAUCGAAGGCCCUGAUGCUGUCCUUGGGAUUCAAUGGUUACAAAGCUUGGGAAGAAUUUCUACGGAUUACUCCGAGAUGACGAUGGAGUUUCAAUGGGAGGGAAAAUCUAUCAUUUUACGGGGAGACCCAAUUCCAAACCCGAAUUUUAUCUCUUUUAACCAGUUUCAUGCCUUGUUAUCUAACUCCAAAAUCGACAGCUUAUUUGAACUUCAUUCUUUACCAACUGAGCCAUCAGCCACUCACACAUCUACCAACACAUUGCCGGAUAAUGACUUCGAAUUUCUGAGGUCGUUGCCUAAACCAAUUACUACUCUCUUAAAAAAAUUUAAGGCAUUAUUUGAUCCACCCACUGGUCUUCCCCCUCAACGGCUAUUUGAUCACAAAAUACACCUCAUUCCCAAUUCCAAACCAGUCAACGUUCGCCCCUAUCGGUAUCCUUAUUUUCAGAAAACCGAAAUGGAGAAAUUGGUGAGAGAAAUGUUAAAUCAAGGCAUCAUAAAACCCAGCCAAAGCCCGUUUUCUUCACCGGUAAUGCUAGUAAAGAAAAAGGAUGGCUCAUACAGAUUCUGUGUGGAUUACCGCGCUGUGAAUGCAGUGACGGUGAAGGACAAAUUUCCCAUCCCCACCAUUGAUGAACUAUUUGACGAACUUGGCGGUGCUAGGAUUUUCAGCAAACUUGAUCUAAGAGCCGGUUAUCACCAGAUAAGAGUUCACAAGAGGGAUACUUAUAAAACAGCGUUUCGCACGCAUGAUGGACACUAUGAGUUUCUUGUUAUGCCGUUCGGUUUGACCAACGCGCCGUCCACUUUUCAAGCAACAAUGAACCAACUAUUCGCUUCCUUUUUACGUAAAUUUGUUAUUGUCUUUUUUGAUGAUAUCUUGGUCUAUAGUGCAUCAUUGGCUGAACAUGUGCAUCAUUUGGAGCAGGUCAUGAGUUGUUUAUACACAUCUCAAUUUUAUGUCAAAUUCUCCAAUUGUUUAUUUUGUCAGGAAUCAAUUGAUUAUUUGGGCCAUAUUGUGUCGACUCGAGGAGUGCAUGCUGAUCCGCAAAAGAUCACAGCCAUGGUAGAUUGGCCCUUGCCUAAAUCGGUGAAGCAACUGAGAGGGUUCUUGGGGCUGACAGGGUACUACCGACGUUUUAUUCAAGGCUAUGCAACCAUCGCAGCUCCUCUCACUGAGUUGCUUUGUAAGGAGGUUUUUCAUUGGAACCUGGCAGCUACUCAAGCUUUUCAAGCAUUAAAGAAGGCUCUUGUGGAAGCCCCUGUACUACACUUGCCGAAUUUUGCCUUGGAGUUUGUCAUUGAGACCGAUGCUUCUAAUGUCGGGAUCGGUGCUAUGCUAAUGCAAGCCGGGCAUCCGCUAUCUUAUUUUAGCAAAAAGUUGGGUCCUCGAAUGCGUGCAUCCUCAACAUAUUUGAAGGAAUUAUAUGCUAUUGUAGCUGCAGUUCAAAAAUGGCGUCAAUACCUCCUUGGCAGAUUUUUCCUUAUACGAACUGACCAUAAAAGCAUAAAGGAAUUGUUUCAACAAGUUAUUCACACCCCAGAGCAGCAAUUUUACAUUCGUAAGUUGAUGGGAUAUCAAUUCAGAAUCGAUUAUAAAGCUGGUACCUUCAAUAAAGCUGCUGAUGCUUUAUCGCGAAUUCAUAGGGACAACGUGACUGAAGAACCCAAACCAACAACUCUUUGUUUGUCGUUUGUAAGCCAACCUUCUAGUGAACUAUUGACAAAUCUGCACAAGGAAAAUUGCUCUCUUCCUGAUAUGAAACAACUCCAUCAGAGGUAUGCAGCCGGUUCACUUUCUUCUGCCUUCUCAGUUCAAGAAGGGUUCCUGCUAUUUCAACAUCGAUAUUACCUCAGCCCCAACUCAUCAUUAAAAGCCGUGCUACUCAAAGAGUUUCACGAGACACCUAUGGCAGGCCAUGCUGGUAUUAAAUAGACAUUGGUACGUCUUUCAUCGACUUUCUUUUGGCCUAAGAUGAGGGAAGAUGUUGAGCAACAUGUAGCUGCUUGCCUUGUUUGCCAGCAAAUUAAAUACUCAACUCAAGCGCCGGCGGGUCUAUUACAACCCUUGCCUGUCCCUUCAUUAGUUUGGGAUGAGUUAACCAUGGAUUUCAUUACAGGGCUGCCACUUUCGAGAGGAUUUGAAGCAAUUCUAGUUGUUGUGGAUCGUUUAUCAAAGUCAGCUCACUUUGGAGCCUUGCCUUCUCAAUUUACUGCCAUCAAAACAGCAGCUUUAUUUGCUGACAUGGUUGUAAAAUUACAUGGAUUUCCUAGCUCUAUAAUUUCAGAUCGUGAUCCUAUAUUCAUGAGCAACUUUUGGCAGAAAUUGUUUGAUUUAAAUGGUACACAGUUACGGCACAGCACGGCUUACCACCCCCAAAGGGAUGGUCAAUCCGAAGUAGUUAAUCGAGGGCUUGAGCAAUAUUUACGAGCCUUCUCACAAGAUAAGCCACAGACAUGGUCUUCAUUUUUAGGCUGGGCUGAAUUUUGCUACAAUACCAGUUAUCACAGCAGCUUGCGAAUGACUCCCUUUCAAGCCCUUUAUGGUCGUUUUCCUCCCACAAUUCCAAGUUACUCAAGGGGCUCUACUUCAAUCCAAGCUUUAGAAGACAUGUUAAUUGAGAGGGAUGCCAUGCUUUGCUCAUUGAAAGAGAACUUACGACAAGCUCAGCAUCGAAUGGCUCAAAAGGCUAAUUUACAUCGCCGAGAAACUCAAUUGCAGGUAGGUGAUAAAGUGUUGGUGCACCUUCAGCCAUAUCGCCAGACAUCAGUUGCUAAGCGCUCAUCUCAUAAGCUGGCAAGGUGCUAUUAUGGACCAUUCACAGUGGUAGAGCGUAUUGGACCCGUUGCUUACAAGUUAGAGUUACCCACAAAUUGUAGAAUUCACCCGGUGUUCCAUAUUUCCUUACUAAAACCUUAUGUGGGAAACUCCCCCAUUGAUGUUUAUUCACUGCCUCCAGGAAGUGUGGAUAACAAGCCCUUGUCAUCACCAAUUGCAGUAUGUGCUGAGCGAAAGAUACUUCGACAAGGCAAAGAAAUUCCACAAAUUUUGGUGCAAUGGUCUGAUAGCUCACCAGAAAAUUCAACUUGGGAGGACUUUGAGGAAUUUCGUAAACUCUACCCUGCACUACACCGUGAGGACAAGGUAAGCUUUCAAGGAAUGGGGAAUGAUACAACCUGGCCAAUUGUUGUGAAUCAGAUCGAGCACAAUGAGACAGCAAGGGAAGAGACCCAGCCUGCAGAAAUGGAAGAAGUCCAACCCGUGAAUGAGACACAAGCUAGAGAGCAGCUCAAGACAGGUUCAGCUCGCGCGAGAAAGAAACCAGGAUGGCUCAAAGACUUUGUCAUUUGAGGAAUGUUCGAGAAUGCUUGAGAGAUUAUAAUAACGAAUAUUGUUUUGUUUUCAAUUAUUAUUUUGUUGUUAUCAAUUUUAUUCUAUUUUAGUUAGUUAAGGGUGCAUGGCUGUUUUUGGGAGAGAGAAUAUAUUGUACUGUCAAAGGGACCCAUGAGGGAUAUCAAAAAAGAAUAUAUCAUUUUGUCUUUUUUCAGCUUCGUCUUCUUUCUCUUCUCUGCAAUUCCCCUGUCCCUUUUCUCUUUCUGCAAAUUCUUUUCCCCACAGAUUGGAGCCUGCACUCGCUUAAAGAGUGUCGUAUCACAGUGCUGGCCAAGAAAUGAAGAAUAAAGCAACAUAGGAAUCAGUUAAAGCUAAUAGAACUGUUGUUGGUUUAGACCAGAAAGAGGAGGGUUGUCAAGCCCAGCAGGUUAAACCAUAUCCCAAUCUUUGUGGAUCAAAACAGGAAGCUUCCACACUACCAGCAGGUUCUGGAGAGCUCAUGUUGACGAGUUCAAAGAAACCCCAUGGAUUGGAGUUGUGCCCUCUGUCAGGUCAGUACUACUAGCAAGAGAGAUCUAGAUGAGCAUCUUCACGGCAAGAAGCACAAGGCCAGGAAGAAGGACUACUUGGAGAUGAGAAGAUGUGCAGUAACUCCACUUCAAAAAACUCUACUGAGCAGAGAUAGUGCUGGCCAGGAAAUUAAGGCUACUCUAGAAGAGGAAUCAGUUAAACCUAAUAAAAAUGUCGUUGAUUUAGACCAGAAAGUGGACUGUGGUCAAGAUGAGCAUCUUAAACGGAGCUAAUUGGAGCUCAGAAGAUGUGCACUACCUCAUCUUCAACAAUGUCAAGGCUGCUCAUUAUUCAAGCAGCUUGGUGAAGCCACGUCAGCAGAAGGUUGUUAGUGAAGAAUAACAGCUCAGCGUGAUUAGUCAAGUGUUAGCGAUCCAGCUCAUAAAAGUUAGUUAGUUAGUUAGUGAGUUACUAAGCAAUUCUCACGUGUAAGGAAUAAUAUAAAUACUUGUACUGAUUUGUAAAAGUUCUUAUGAAUCGAAUCUUAUCCAAUACCAGUAUUGAGAAUUUUCUCUGUGAUUUUCUAUUCAACCAAACAGCACAUCUCUGUUUUCUUUCAAACAACAUCAAAAGAAUCUGGAAAGACAAUUAAGCUUACCGAAAGUAGAGAUAGCUCCAGCCAAGAAAUCAAAGCCUAAACAGAAUCAGUUAAAGCUAUUAAAACUGUUGUGGGUUUUGACCAGAAUGUGGGGGGCGAAGAAGAUUCAGAGAACAAAAAUGAGGAGCUGCCAAAGAAGAAGGCGUUGAAUACAAUCACUCAGAAGACAACAAAUGGAAUACCAACUGGAGGGACGAUGAGGAGAAAACUUCCCCUUAGAGAGAACUUCGAAUUCUGGUGUGAAGUUUUUCAGGUUGGUACUCACUCCGCUGUUGUGAUGGAGGGUCAUAAAAGGGGGAAGAAACACAUGGCUCGGUCUAAUGGAUCCAGGAAAAAUAAUGAGGCUGUCCCCCUCACUACCCCCACUACAAUUGUGACACCAUCAGAGCCUACUGAGAAUGUUGAAGAUGAAGAUGCGGUGGCCCAAGAAUGAAAUGAAGAAACCGCAGAGAGUGUCAUUGAGAAGGCUGAAGAUGAAGAGGUGGUGGUCUAUAGAGGCAGAUAAAGUGAGCCUGAUGCAGCAGACUCCUUAUUAUGCUGAAGGUAAAGCUCUUAACUUUUAUUUUUCUCUUGCGCUCCAUUUUGAAUGUCUUAAAUUUCAAUGAACCAGCAGCGUGUUACUUUAUCAUUUUAAAACUCAGAAAUUACAAUAAUAAAUUUAAGUUCAUUCUUCCAUCUCGUCAUAUAUAGAUUUGAAGGUACUGAAUGAUGAAGCCUGUAAAUUCAAGCAACAAUACUGUAAUGGGGAUCAUGUGUUGUUCUCUACUCUCCAGUCGUUGGUAAAAAGCUCAAAAAAUGAAAACCAGACACUGUUAGAUCAACCAUUUGAAAGUGCUUCAUAUAUGCAUGAUUAUGACAUUGGACUCUUCGGCCCAAUGCAAAUUUUUCUUGAUCAUGACCUGACGUUAGUUUAUCUUGUGCUGGCAGGUAGUUGGUGGGAUAUCACUAACCACAACUUAUGCAGAAGCUUCCUAACAUCAGCCGUGGGUCCAGGAUGUUUGAUCGGAUCGGCUAAAUUAAAAUUUUUUUGUAUAUGUUUGUGUGAAUAUUUACAAAGGAGUGAAAAAACUAAUAUAUAUUAAAUAACGCGACAUUAAGAACCUCGUUCUGAAUAAAGUUUAUGUAUAUAAUUUGUAAAAUAAACUAAUAAUUAAAAUAACAAUUUACCCUUUUAACUCGUACAGAUACAACCGUAAAUUCCUUAUUUAAUUCAGCUCAUUCAGAGGGAGACAAUUAGACAAAACUUAUUUUAUCAGAGUGAACUGCGAAAGUACUAGCUUAACCAGAGAGAUUAAUGUCGUAGUUUGCACAUUUGUUUAAUUGCAAUUCAACAUAUAUAGGAAGUGAACGUGAAAAUAGAAUUAAUAAUACAUUGCAAGUACCUAAUAAUUUCAGAACCAAUUAACAGUCACCUUUAUUGGAAAAAUCCAUUAUGAUUAGAAGCAAUCCCAUCACAUGCAUGAACAGUUAAAUAUACGCAUCCAUAAUUAGAUAUCACAUUAAUCAACCAAAUACAUUUCUUGGUUUCUAAGCUCCAAAAUUGAAAUUUCAUGAAAAGGUUUCUGCAUCAGUGCCUUAUUGCGAGCGAUAAAUUCGUUGGACACGAGUUGCAUUGUAGGUCGAGACUUUGGUUGAGAACGCAAGCAUGAAAAUGCUACUGUUGAAACAAGAAUGACAUCCUGCCUAAUCUUUUGAUCCACCGGAGGUGAGAGGCGGGGGUCCAGCAAAUCAAUUAGCUUAAUAUUUUUAUCCAAUGACCAAGAGGACGAUGAGAGGAUCUCUUCUGGAUGCUUUCCCAUUAGUACUUCUAGUGCCACCACUCCAAAGCUAUAAACAUCAGAUUUCUCCGUCACAACCAUGGUGUAGGCAAGUUCUGUAUGAAAACAGAAGCCUUUAUUAGUGAUGUUUCCUAAAUAAUAACAAGAGCAAUUUGUUUAUAUCUUCGAGCAUCUGCAGCAAGGUAUGACAGAGAACCAUAUGUUUUUAACUGAUAUUUAAAGUGUAUUUUUUUUAAAAUUAAAAAAAAAAAGUGAAACUGGUAGGCAAAGUUUAAAUUCACUUUUCCAGCUCUUUACCUAUUCAAAAAUUUGAACCUAAGUAGCUAAUUAAAUAAAACUGCUUAAAAAUUACUUAACAGAGUGUAUAUAAAAAUUAAUUAAAAGAAUAAUUAAAGAAGCAGAAGAAGAAUAGCUAAAAGAUUACCUGGAGCAAUAUAUCCAUAAGUGCCAGCCAAUAGAGUUCGAUUGGAUGAGUCAAAAUUUAACAAUCUAGCACCGCCAAAGUCAGCAACAAAUGCUUCUAAUUCUGAGUUGAGUAGAACGUUGUUGCUUGAUAUGUCGCGGUGAACAAUUGGUGGUGUGCAGUAUGAUGCAAGUAUGACAAAGCAUGACACAUGCCCUUCACAACGUUCACCCUUUUAGCCCAAUCCAACCCCACAGCUUCCUCAUCUGUGCGCAGAACACAGAACAAGCUUCCCAUUUCCAUGUACUCAUAGAUUAAGAACAUGCAUUUCCUGUGCAAACAAAACCCGUAAAGCUUUACGAUAUUUCGAUGUCGUAUUUGGGACAGUAGACGAGCCUUAUUCCGAAAACUCUCGAGGGAAGUUAACUCCUCAGUUUCUGAACAGUGAAGCUUCUUCAAAGCAACUACUUUUCCACUGGGCAGUCGUGCUCGGUAAACGCUGCCAUAGCCCCCGGUUCCAAUGCAGUAUUUGAUAUGGAAAUCCUCAGUAGCUUCAAUUAUGUCUUGAAAUGUAAUUCUACCAUCGUAAUUCCAAAUUGCAAACUCAUCAGCGCACUUGGUAAUUUCUCCUGUCUCAGCUGGUUCAACUUUCUUAUCCCUUCGUGCACGGAUAAUCAAGAUUCCAAAUAUCAAGGCAAGUAAUGCGACCAUGGCAAGAAUAAUUGGAACCAAGCGAGUGGCAAUCUUUUUGUGAUGUGGUGGUGGCCCAUUUGCCGAAGUACUUGGGAUUUCUCCCUCCAAAUUGUUGCCUAACACAUCUAAGUGUGGCACUUUUCUGACUGAUUUAGGGAUACUACCGGAAAGGUUAUUCAUGGAAAGGUCCACGGUAUCUAUGCUUGGAAUUGCUCCAAGCUCAGAAAGUAUUUUACCAUUAAUGAAGUUAUGGCUCAGAUCAAGAUAAUAUAGUUCUUGAAGUUUUCCGAUCUCUGACGGGAUGCUUCCCCUUAACAAGUUGUUUCCCAAUUCUAAUUCCAUCAGCUUUGAGCAAUUCAUGAGUUCUGGAGGAAUUGGACCAUCAAGUUUGUUGUCGUACAGUUUGACAGCUUCAACACGUUUCAAGUUCCCAAUUUCUAAUGGGAUGGAACCAUUGAUUUGGUUUGAGUACAUAUUCAAAGUAUUUAGCUGAGUCAAAUGACCCACAGACGAAGGGAUUGGACCAACAAGUUUGUUUUCGGACAAGUCUAAAAUUCUUAUCCUGUUUAAAUGACCAAGUGUUGAAGGAAUAGGUCCAGUUAGAUUGUUGUAAUGCAGGGACAGAGACGUCAAGUUUACUAAACUAGCUAUGGUCGAAGGAAUUGGACCUUAAAGUUUGUUGAAGCAUAGGUCAAGAACUUGAAGAAAGUUCAAAUUCCCGAUUUCUAAUGGGAUGGAACCAUUGAUUAGGUUUGAGCGCAUAUUCAAAGUGGUUAGCUGAGUCAAAUGACCCAGAGAUGAAGGGAUUGGACCAACAAGUUUGUUUUGGGACAAGUCUAAGCUUUUCAACCUCUUUAAAUGGCCAAAUGUUGAAGGAAUUGAACCUCUAAUUUCAUUUCCAGACAAGUCAAGAACUUGAAGAAAGUUCAAAUUCCCGAUUUCUAAUGGGAUGGAAACAUUAAUAUGGUUUGAGGCAAUAGCCAAAGUAGUUAGCUGGGUUAGAUGACCUAGAGUGGAGGGGAUAUUACCAACAAGGGAGUUAGAAGACAAGUGCAAAUUUUCCAAUUUGCUUAGACGACCAAGAGUUGGAGGGAUAUAUCCCCAGAGGUAAUUAUCAGAUAGAUCCAGGUGGACAAGAUUCCUCAAUCUCCCCAUCUCUAAAAGGAUAAUUCCUAUUGUGCAUGUGAUUUAUGAAAAACGAGAUCAAUAUUCACUAUCUUCAUUAAAAAAAAUAUUACAUAGAGGGAAAGUCAAGCUCAAGUGCGGACGACUCACACUUCUGUUAGGAAAUUAGUGGGUGAAGCAGGACCGCAGCUAAGUUGAAAUUGUAAGAAAAUAAAGAACAAGCACAAUAGAGGGUACCAGAAAUUACGUGGUUCGGCUUUUAGCCUACGUCCACGGGCGAAAACAAAAGGAAAAUAUUUCACUAGUGAAAUAAGGAUUACAAGUAAUGUAAUAUUUUAACUCACUACCCAAAACCCCAAUACAUCCAAUCUCUCACUCACUAGAUACUCAAGAGUUUAUUAAACUCUUAAUACUCUCAACACUAAAAGAAAGCAAUAUUUCUCUCUCGAUGGAAUUGGUACAAGCUCUAAAUUGAGAGCUUGUAUUUAUAGGCAAAACUUUGCCUCAAAUGUCAAACAAGUGGCCAUAAACUUCAAGCCAUACAUCUUAAAAAUUUCAAACUUUGAAUUUUUAGCUUUGAAUUUUUCUUUUCUUUUACCAAACAUUACGGCAUCUAGAAUUUCAAAGCCAAGUGCCAACCAUUCUUGUUUAUUCAAAGCUUCUAGAUGCAGCCAAUUUUGACAUUCUCCCACUUGGAGAUUAAAUUGAAAAACAAUCAAUCUCCACACCAUCCUUUCUGUUUCGCCAUAAUCAUGUUGCCUACGUUUCUGCUAGGCCACAAGAGGAUCUACUCCAGAAAAACUUAUCAGUAUUUAUCGGCUUGGUCAAAACAUCUGCUAGGUUCUCCGUCGUAUGGAUUUUCUGUAAAUCCACACUUCCAUCUUCCACUACUUCUCGAACGAAGUGAUACUGAACUCCUAUGUGCUUUGUCCUGGAAUGAAAGGCUGGAUUCCUUGCAAUGUGCAAGGCACUCUGACUGUCACAAAACACAGGAAUUUUCUGUUGUUUGUGCCCGAGCUCCUCCAAUAAUCUUUGUAUCCAAAUAGCUUCAUUGCAAGCUUGUGUAGCUACCAUGUAUUUUGCUUCUGUUGUAGAUAAAGCCACAACGGUCUGCAGUUUAGAAACCCAGCUUACAGCUGCUCUCGCAAGUGUAAACACAUAACCAGUAGUGGAUUUCCUUUUAUCAAGGUCUCCUGCAAAAUCUGAAUCCACAUAGCCCCUGACAGUAAACUCUGAUCCUCUAUAACAUAAUGCAACAUCUGAGGUUCCUCUGAUGUAUCUUAGAAUCCUCUUCACAGUUAUCCAAUGCUCUCCACCAGGAUUCGCCAUGUAUCGACUAACUGCUCCCACUGCUUGUGCAAUGUCCGAUCUUGUACAUAUCAUAGCGAACAUUAAACUUCCCACUGCUGAUGCAUACGGUACUCGAGACAUCUCAUUCCUCUCCGCUUCGUUGCUAGGACACAUACUUGAGGAUAAUUUGAAAUUAACAGGAAGUGCUUUGAUACCAAAAUGUCAAAUAAAGUGGCCAUCUAGAUGGUAUAAAGCAGCCAUCUAGAUGGUCAGCAAUAAUUUUGUUCAAAGAAGAAGAAGAAUUUUGCAACAAGUUUGAAAGAAAAAGAAGCACACGGCUUUGACAAGAGAAAGAAGAAAAAGAAGAAAAUAAUAAUAUAUAAUUGAUGAAUAGUGCCAAAGCUUUUUCUAUAAAUAGAAACGAAGAGAAUGAGCAAAUUCAUUCCAUUAAGAGAGAGCAAUUUAGCAUUUUGAGAGAGAGUUUAGAGAGCUUGAAAUUAUAAGCUGUUGUUAUUAGUGUUCUGAGAGUUUGGGUGUAUUGGGGUCUUGGGAAGUGAGCUAAAAUACUACAAUACUUGUAACUCCUUUUUACUAGUAAAAUAUUUCCUUCUAUUUUCACCCUUGGAUGUAGGCUAAAAGUCGAACCACGUAAUUUUUUUGGUGUCCUCUUUUGUGCUUUUUCUUUAUUUUCUUCCAAUUUUACUUUAGCUGCGUGUCUGCUCCACCCACUAAUUUCCUAACAGUGGUAUCAGAGCUAUUGGUUGUAUUUUUAGAGUUGGGUACUGUUCACGUAAGGGGUACUAUUCACUUAUACGAUACUGUUCACGUAUACGGUACUAUUCACAAUAGAUGGUGGGAGCGAUCCAAGAAUUUUGCGGUGCAAAGCAAGGAAUAGUGGUGUGAGUAAAACAACUGUGUGGUUUUGUACAUGUCUAGGAAAGUUCUGUCACAAAGGCGAUAAGAGCUUAAGGAGUCUGGGUUUUAAGUGGGACCAUUGUGACCCCUCCAGUCUUUCCUGGGAACUUUCCUGGUAUGCAUUCUCACACAUAAUCACAACUAUUCAAGGUGGUACACUAGCUUGUGUGCGGUAUUUAUCAAUAAAAUGGCAGCAAAGUAUGAAAUUGAGAAGUUUAAUGGAAAUAAUUUUUCGUUGUGGAAAAUGAAGAUGAAAACUAUAUUGAGGAAAAAUAAUUGCUUGGCAGCAAUUGGAGAAAGGCCCAUGGAGAUAACUGAUGACAAGUGGAGCGAGAUAGAUGGUAACACCAUUUCUGAUCUACACUUGGCACUUGCAGAUGGAGUAUUAUCCAGCGUGGCAGAGAAAAAUACAGCGAAGGAAAUAUGGGAUACUCUUACAAAAUUGUACGAGGCCAAAUCACUACACAACAAAAUCUUCUUGAAAAGGAAACUUUAUACUCUUCGAAUGGCAGAAUCUACAAUGGCGACCGACCACAUCAAUACCUUGAAAACUCUAUUUUCACAACUCACAACGUUGGGUCAUAAUAUAGAGGAAAAUGAACGUGCAGAGCUUCUACUUCAAAGUCUACCAAAUUCGUAUGAUCAACUCAUCAUCAACCUAAUAAACAACAAUCUAGUGGACAGUCUAGUUUUCGACGAUGUUACAGCCUCUGUAUUAAAUGAGGAGAGCAGGCAGAAAAAUAAAGAAAACAGACAAGUAAGUUUGCAGCAAGCGGAGGCGCUAUCGGUGACGAGAGGGAGAUCAACAGAACGUGGCCCCAGUGGGAGUCAAAGUCAUGGUAGAUCAAAAUUCAGAAGUAAGAAGAAUAUUAAAUGCUACAACUGUGGCAAGAAAUGGCACGCCAAAAAGGAGUGUUGGAGUAACCAGAAGAGAAGAGAAGGUAAAGAACCUGAGUCAUCAAAUGCUCAGGGGUGUGUAGCAAGUACCUCAGAUGAUGGUAAAAUUCUCUACAACGAAGCAAUAACUGUUUCAGAAGGCAGAAAACGACUAUCUGAUGUCUGGCUUAUAGACUCAGGAGCUACCCGGCACAUGACCUCGCGGAGAGAAUGGUUCCACACAUAUGUACCUAUCUCAGGAGGAUCUGUAUAUAUGGGUAAUGAUCAUGCCUUGGAAAUCGCCGGUAUUGGUACUAUCAAAAUAAAAAUAUUUGAUGGUACAAUUCGCACAAUUGGAGAGGUACAACAUGUCAACGGCCUGAAGAAAAAUCUAUUGUCUUUGGGACAAAUGGAUAGUCAUUGGUACAAAACUCAUGUGGAGAAUGAAAUUAUGAAAAUCGUUAAAGGCGCGCUUGUAUUGAUGAAGGCAGAAAAGAUCGGUGCUAAUCUAUUCAUGCUUAAAGGAGAAACACUACAGGAGGCUGAUGCGUGUGUCGCAUCAAAUGGAGAAGAGUCAACGAUGAUGUGGCAUCUCAAACUUGGUCACAUGUCAGAACAAGGUUUGAAGAUUCUCUCUGAGCGAAAAUUGCUUCCAGGGCUCAAAUCGGUAAGUUUACCAUUUUGCGAGCAUUGUGUUAUAAGUAAGUAGCAUAGAUUAAAAUUCAGUAGAUCUAUUGCUAAAAGUAAAUGCAUUCUAGACUUUAUUCAUUCUGAUGUUUGGGAAUCACCGGAUAUAUCCAUGGGAGGUGCAAAGUACAUGGUGACUUUCAUUGAUGAUUAUUCCAGAAGAUGUUGGGUGUAUCCAAUUAAGAAAAAGUCAUAUGUAUUUCUAGUGUUUAAAGAAUACAAAGCGCGGGUGGAACUUGAAUCUGGUAAAAAGAUCAAGUGUUUGAGGACAGAUAAUGGUGGAGAGUAUACAGACGGUGAGUUUCUUGCUUUCUGUAAGCAAAAAGAUAUUCAGAGGCAGUUCACGGUGGCAUACACUCCUCAAUAAAACGGAGUGGCAGAGCGGAUGAAUAGAACUCUUACAGAAAGGAUAAGAGUUAUGUUGAGGACUGCUGGUCUACCCAAUUCAUUCUAGGCGGAAGCAGCCAAAACUGCAUGUUAUAUAGUAAAUCGAUCGCCAUCUACAACUAUUGGGCUGAAGACAGCAAUGUAGAUGUGGACUGGAAAGCCAGCUGAUUAUUCCUACCUACAUGCAUUUGGAUGUCUUGUGUAUGUGAUGUACAAUGCCCAAGAAAGAACAAAGUUAGAUCCAAAAUCUAGAAUAUGUAUCUUCUUGGGAUAUACUGAUGGAGUAAAGGGGCAUAGUCUGUGGGACCCCACUGCCCACAAGAUUGUCAUCAGCAGAGAUGUUAUCUUUAUAGAAAAUCAACUGCAAAGGAGAGAUGAGGAUGAUAGUAGUGUAAAAGAAAAGUCAGAGACUAUAUCGGUAUAUGUGGAAAAUAAUCCAGAAGAUUCAGAUUCUUCUGAAGCAGCACCAGAGCACGAAAAAUAAGAACUAGUCGAGUCCGAGGCUCCAGAAGUUCAUCGGUCAACUCGUGAGAAACGACCACCGGUGUGGCACUCGGAGUAUGUCACAGAGAUCAAUGUUGCAUACUGUCUUCUAACAGAGGAUGGAGAGCCAUCAACUUUCCAUGAAGCUUUAGAAAGCUCAGAUGUUGCCUUGUAGAUGACAGCAAUGCAAGAAGAAAUUGAAACUCUACACAAGAACAAGACAUGGGAACUUGUACCACUACCAUACGCAAGAAAAGCCAUUGGAAACAAAUGGGUUUACAAGAUCAAGUGUGAUGGCAAUGACCAAGUGGAAUGGUAUCGUGCAAGAUUGGUAGUGAAAGAAUAUGCUCAGAAAGAAGGUAUUGACUUCAACGAGAUAUUUUCUCCGGUGGUUCGACUCACAACAGUCAGAGUAGUCUUGGGGAUGUGUGCCACAUUUGACCUACAUCUAGAGCAGUUAGAUGUGAAAACUGCAUUUCUUCAUGGAGAACUUGAAGAAGAAAUAUAUAUGCUCCAACCAAAAGGUUUUGCAGAAAUAGGAAAAGAAAACUUGGUUUGCAGGUUGAACAAAUCUCUAUAUGGUUUCAAACAGGCGCCGAGGUAUUGGUAUAAGAGAUUUGAUUCCUUCAUUAUGAGUCUUGGAUACAACAGACUCAGUUCAGACCAUUGUGCAUAUUACAAGAGGUUUGAAGAUAAUGAUUUCAUCAUUUUGCUGUUGUAUGUGGAUGACAUGUUGGUAGCAGGUCCCAACAAAGAUCGAGUCCAAGAAUUGAAGGCACAGUUGGCUAGGGAGUUUGAAAUGAAGGACUUGGGACCAGCAAACAAGAUUCUAGGGAUGCAAAUUCACCGAGACAGAAAUAACAAGAAGAUUUGGCUUUUGUAGAAGAAUUAUUUGAAGAAAAUCUUGCGGCGCUUCAACAUGCAAGAUUGUAAGUCAAUUUCUACCCACUUCCUGUUAAUUUCAAAUUAUCCUCAAGUAUGUAUCUUAGCAAUGAAGCAGAGAGGAAGGAGAUAUCUCGAGUACCGUAUGCAUCAGCAGUGGGAAGUUUGAUGUUCGUUAUGAUAUGUACUAGACCGGACAUUGCACAAGCAGUGGGAGCAGUCAGUCGAUACAUGGCGAAUCCUAGUGGAGAGCAUUGGAUAGCUGUGCAGAGGAUUUUAAGAUACAUCAGAGGAACCUCAGAUGUUGCAUUAUGUUAUGGAGGAUCAGAAUUGACUGUCAGGGGCUAUGUGGAUUCAGAUUUUGCAGGAGACCUUGAUAAAAGGAAAUCCACUACUGGUUAUGUGUUUACACUUGCGAGAGCAGCUGUAAGCUGAGUUUCGAAACUGCAGACCGUUGUGGCUUUAUCUACAACAGAAGCAGAAUACAUGGCAGCUACACAAGCUUGCAAGGAAGCUAUUUGGAUACAAAGGUUAUUGGAGGAGCUCGGGCACAAACAAGAGAAAAUUUCUGUGUAUUGUGACAGUCAGAGUGCCUUGCACAUUGCAAAGAAUCCAGCCUUUCAUUCCAGGAUGAAGCACAUAGGGGUUCAGUAUCACUUCGUUCGAGAAGUAAUGGAAAACGGAAGUGUGGAGAUUGAUUCCAUACCAAGGAGAACCUAGCAGAUGUUUUGACUGAGCCAAUAAAUACUGACAAGUUUAUCUGGAGUAGAUCCUCUUGUGGCCUAGCAGAAACAUAGGCAACAUGACAAUGGCGAAGCAGAAAGGAUGGUGUGGAGAUUGAUUGUUUUUCAAUUUAAUCUCCAAGUGGGAGAACGUCAAAAUUGGCUGCAUCUAGAAGCUUUGAAUAAACAAGAAUGGUUGGCACUUGGCUUUGAAAUUAUAGAUGCCGUAAUGUUUGGUAAAAGAAAAGAAAAAUUCAAAGUUUGAAAUUUUUAAGAUGUAUGGCUUGAAGUUUAUGGCCACUUGUUUGACAUUUGAGGCAAAGUUUUGCCUAUAAAUACUUGUAACUCCUUUUCACUAGUAAAAUAUUUCGUUCUGUUUUCGCCCGUGGACGUAGGCUAAAAGCCGAACCACGUAAUUUUUUUGGUGUCCUCUUUUGUGCUUGUUCUUUAUUUUCUUCCAAUUUUACUUUAGCUGCGUGUCUGCUCCACCCACCAAUUUCCUAACAACUUCUUCAGUGUUGUAAAAACAGAUGCCUGCUUUAAGCACCAGCCCGAUUUUAUACAUACAUAGAUAUAUAUGUUGAAGUUUCGUAGCUUACCCGUAAGGCCGUUGGAGGGCAGUUCAAGAGUUUGGAGCAUUGAAAGGGCAGUAAUUUCGGAUGGAAUGCUUCCAGAGAUAGAAUAAUUUGAAUGAAUUUUGAAACUUCUGAGGUUCGGAAAGCAAAAGAAUUUGAAACGACCGAGCUCUCCCCUGAUGUUAUCAUUUUCAUACCAGAGUAAGCUGACCCCGAUUACGCUUCCCGCUGAAUUGCAACUGACGCCAGUCCACUUACAAUGAUUGGACGUGUAGUUGCCAGACGUCGCCCAAUUGUUGUACCACCAGCCUGUAAAAAGUAAAGCUUCCCUUUCUAACAGUAUGGGUGACGACAAUAAUCCAGCAGCAGCUGAUGCUAUUACAACUAUUGUCGUAUCACUCAUGGCACCAACAUUAAUUAAAAUUAUAAUGACCACCAAUCUAGAAACAGAGGAUGCUGAUGCCAUGUUUACAAUGGUUUUCGGUUGAUUGGGGUAUUUGAUUCUCAGCAAAGCGUUUAUAUAAGAAUUAAUUGUUUUGCAACCUCCCAGUGUUAAUUUCCAAUACGCGUUUUCAAAUAGUGUGAGUCAAGGUCUUCUCUAGAUGGAUUCAAUCAUGGAGAUAUAACCUUAUUGGCUUGCAUUUGUGUGGUGUAGAUCUAUUUGAACACCAAUUGCAGAAACAUGAGACAACGUGGAAAAUAUUAGAAAUAAUUAAUAGCAUUAUUAGUAGUAUAAGAUAUUAAGUAUUACCCAAAAAUAACACUACAAGAAAAAGUGCCUACCAUGACAGGCAAAAUCUGUCAUAGUAGGGGGUGGAUGACGGUUGUUCAUACCGUCAUUGUAGCCACCGUCAAGAAUUGAUGACAGAAUAAUACCAGUCAUAAUCUGUGAUAAAUAUUUUUAGUCACAUAACUGUCAUAACUUUAUUUAGAGAGGAAUAUAAUAAAUUUGAAUUUGGCCCCUUUUUUUUUAAAUUUGUGCGCCAUAUUUUGAAUUUUUGGCAGGAAAAUCAAAUUUGGCGCGAAAUGCAAAUUAUAAUUAAAUGAAUUUUUUCAAUUAAAUCAAAAAUUGAAAUUAUAAUUAAUAAAAAAGGGGUAUUUUUUUUGCACCAUGAAAUUAUUAUCAUUUUAAUAACAAUCCUGCAAUUGAUUUAGUAGAAAUUAAUAUUUCAUAAAUUAGCUAAUUAAUUAGAUUAUUAAAAUUAAUAUUGCAAUUAAAAAUUAACUGACAAAGAAAAUGAAAUGGAUAACAUUGACUAAGAUUUCAUAAUUGUGAGCAAACAUAAUUUAAUCAAAUUUGAGAGUGACAAAUCCAACAUAAAUAGAAGAAGAGUAUUGUAACAACCUAAGAACUAAAUUCCAGCAGCAUGUACAACACAAAUUAACAAUGAUCAGUUCAAUUCCAGUAGCAUAAGGAAGCCAAACAACAGAGUCAUUUCUACCAACAUGAACAAAGGCAACAACAUAGUUCAUUUCCAGCAACAUUUCCAGCAACACUUCCAGCAACAUAAGAGGAGCCAAAAAUACUGAUCAGACAAGGCCAGCAGUUCCCAAACGUGAAAAUCCAACCUAAGAACAACCGAAAUGUGUAAAAUUGCAUCAAUAUCCAGGAGCUAUUUUCCAAACAAAGAAAAAAACUAGCGAACUCCAGCAGUACCCACCAUCUUCAUCAUAAUCCAACAUAGAAGUAUAAUAAGCUAGAUAACUGCCCAAGUAAAAUAUAUUUCAUCAAUGAACUCACAAUAACAACAUAAUAAGUAAGGGUUACCUCACAUAACAGCAAGUACUCCAGAAAAAUGGUUUGCCCACUCAAUACGGACUUCGUCUAAUUCAGCAUCAGAAUAUGUUGUCUUUCCGUUGAACUAUUUAUGAAAAAUAAAUAUUUAGUGAAACUUUGAAACGGGACAUGUUCUUUUUUAUGAAGCAAAUUAUGAUCAAGGAACUCGCAUUGUUCAUUAGUAAAGAGAAGUCAUUAAUUAAGUCUUUCAUGAAUCUCAUGACGUAAAAUCCACACACGACUGAACUUGCUGGUUGCUGUGGGACCUGUUCACAAUCAGCAAUUGUACAGUUCAUUUUAAUAACAAUUAAGCAUGGUAAUAUAUAAUUAUAGUUAAGGUAAUAGUUCAAACCUUUACGGAUCUGACCAUCUUAUUAUAAUUCCAUUUCUCCUUACCCUCUUGUGCUAUAAACAUUGUCAUAGAGCUGUAUACAAAAAAAAAAUUGUAACAAAGUAUCUGUAAAUUAUGUAAAAGUAAUUUUAUAUUGACAAUGGUAAUAAAAAAAAUUGAACAUACACUUUAAUGAGCUCUUUUAAAUCAUCAUCAGGAUCUCCCCCAUAAGAAUCGAGAUAAUAAACUUCUUUUUUCAACACAUCAAAGACGACCAGCACCCAAUGAUAACUAUAAUAAAAGAAAGAACAGUAAGGUAGCAAUUUCAGUAAAUUAAGGCAAGAAAAGAAAUUAAUAUGAGUUGAAAAGUAUUAAAGGAGCAUACUAGGGAUUAUAAGGCAUAAAGUAGAGAUGGCAAAAGUGCGGGUCGGGUCCGGGUUUGGGGCUGCCCGGGACCGACCCGCAUGUCACACAUAGCUACCCGGAUCCGGACCGUGCCCGGAUUUUUUCUAUGCGGGCCGGGCAUAUGCCCGGCACUAUCCGGGCACGGGUUUUUUCCGGGUUUUCUCUACCCGCAUUUCCAAAGCUGCUUGUUAAUUGCCCAGUUCUCAACCAUUGUUUUCAAUUACAAGAACUCGUUGAUUAAAAAGAACUGCGAGAAAGAUUUAAUUUCCAUUUAUGCAAUGAUUAGAAGAUGCAACAUCCACAAAUCUAGUGAACAACGUAGAUCAAGAGAGGCCUGAUGUGGACUUAAUUUUUUUUUUCUUUUAAACUGCAAAAGAAUGAAUAAAACCCAAAUUCAACUUUUAACCCCCACCACUUCAGAAUUCAAAAGGUUACCUUAAAAUUGAUAUAAAAUUAUAACCAACAAAGCGACAAUUUACAAGAAGCCGACGCGAAAAAUGCAAAAUUCUAAUAAAAUUAUAUUUAACUUAAACCGAAGAAUAAAUAGUCAAAACAAAACCAAUUUAAGUUUUUUUUUCAAAAAAAAAAUUAUGAUACAAUAUUCUUUGCAUCUCUGCAACAACACUGCUGUAGUUCUGCACACUAAACAUAAUGGAUGCAACAACACUGUUGUAGUUCUGCACUGGAAGUCUGGAAAUAAAAAUGCAGCCAUGCUUCAAAACUGCAACGUUGCUUUGCAAUAAAUGAAAAGAGUUGACCGAGGAAGGUAAGAGGUUCGUGGAGGGAGAGGGGCGGUCAACACUGCAUCGGUGCCGGUGGGUGGUGGCUGCUGGUGGAGAGACGAAAAGAGGUGUUGCGUUUGCGAGAUUUCAGUGUGUGUUGCAUUUGCGAUUUAGGGUUCGGUUUGGGAGCAAUUGGGCAAAGCAAAAUGUAUUUUUGCUUUUAUAUUUUCCUCUCUUUUUUUUACUUAAUAAAAAACCGGGCACGGGUCCGGGUUCCGGGUUCUUAAUGCUGUGACCGGACCCGUGCCCGGAAGUAGCCGGGCAUUGAAAAUCAAUGCCCGGAUCCGCUUUUUCCAUGCAUCCGGUCUGGGUAAAACCCGGACCGCAUACGCCGGGUCCGGGCCGGAUCCGGUCCGGGCGGGUUUUUCUGCCAUCUCUAGCAUAAAGAUGAAUUGUCCCUUCUUUGCUUUUUUCAAUCGAUCAUAAACUCCACGUGCCCUAAGGUCAAAUGAUGCAGUAGGAUUACGUUCUUCGCCUAGUGAAACCAGACCUGGACGAAUGAAUCCAAAUGGUUUCACUCCUCUUUUCCCAGGGAGAAUGGAAGCAUACAACAUCCUGAUAAACAAUAGACAAACAAUGUUAAAGUCCAUUAAUUGGGACUCCCAUAUAAAGUACACAUAAAACUAGAAUGAUUAUGAAUCACUUACGCAAUAUAGACUUCGAUUACGUUUACUCCUAUAGCAUCCAUUGACAGAACUGCACUACAGUCACGCCUUCCAAUAUGAGCUCUAAUCCCUUCCAAAUGGAAAACACCAUCAUCCAGUAGUUAUGGAAUCCAUUCUUGGUCUGACAUCUUAGCUUCACACAUUGUGCCAAACAACUGCAGCAACGGAAUCUUGUUUCGUUGUACUCCUCCUGCAUGCCUUGUGUUCCUCCUUGUUGGCAAAGGCUUCACUGUAACUUUUUUGCCCUCGUCCUUGGUCUGUUUUACAGCAUCUGUAUGUCCUAUCUCUAUUAUAUCAUUAUGCUGUUCUGCUGAUUCAAAGUUCAAAUGUUUUUUUGUGCCUUGAUGUUUAGGAUUGCUAUUUUUUUUCCCUGUAACAAAUCAUCAGGCAUCUCCACUGGGAUUUCAGUUGGGUUCAAUCUUGGACUCUUUCUUGCAAUGACAGAGAAUUUUUUGGCAGGUGUAUUCUUGUUUUUGUUUGCUAUGUCUGUCUCUUUCUUAGGUGUCCCUUGCUUCUUUUUUUUCAAAUGAUCAGGCUGUUACAAACAUAAUUGUUCAGUAUGAUUGGCAUAAAUAGUUUCUAAAUACUCUAAAUUUCUCUUACAAAGUAGUUAACAGUAUCAAAUGACACCCCAGAAAGAACAUAUGUAUAAAUAGUAAACAUACAGCAAACUAAAUCCACAAAUAACAUGUAAGAACAGUAACUACAACAACUCUUAUCCAGCAAAAGACUAAAUCUAGAAAUAAUAAGAAAAAUAGUAAACAAACUGACCUUUGUUGUUUCAGCAACUGCUUCAGCUUGAACAGACUCUAUGCCAUCAUCUCCAACAACAUUAUUGUUUUCACCAGGCACGCGAGGGUAGCUGGAACUUGCUAUAUCUGAAUGACGAGGUGUUUUUCUUAGUUCAUUUCUCAUUUCUUCCAACUGCCGAUUAAUUGAUUCCCUCCAUAGACGGUUCUCUCUUUGCCUGUCUCUAUCAGCAGGCCUCUGGUAAGUUUGAAAAUACAGAGACGGGGUCACAAACUUGCCCACUCCUUGCAUAUGACCACAUUUUGGAGCUUUUCCUAAAGAUUGUGCGAGAAUAUCAUUUUUUCCGGAUGACCGCAUCUUUCCUUUCUUAGCUUCCAUCUCCAAUUUAUCCUACCACACAAAUGAAUUAAGUAAGCCAAUGUUAUCAAAGUAUAAGUAAUCACAAAUAGAAUUACAGUAGUAAGCAAAAACUUUCUUACGAUUUUUUUAAUAACUGGUUCAACAUCGGGGUGGUAUCCUCCGUUUUUCAUUUGCCGAGCUCUCUUCCAAAGAACACUCCUGUCCACUUCUUCUUCAGUAAGGCCUGUUUCUGAGCACUGUAAAAAAGUUAAUAAAAAGUUAAAAUGUUAGUAACAAUCAUUAUUUGCAUUAACCAAACAACAGUAAAAUGUUAGCAACUAACUCACAGUACAUACCACUUCCUGCAUUAACCCAACGUAACCUUUUCUACUUAGGCGAUGAUUAAACUUGUUUUGUGCCCGCCUAAGUUUAUUCACACCACUAACUUUCUGCUUAAAACAACCAAACAAACAAUGGAUAAACCCAUAAGGAAAAAUGUCAUAAGCAUUGAUAUAUUAUUAACACUUGAAUUAGACACUCACUUGAAAUUUUUCAGAUAGUCUUUCCUUUACAAACUUAAUCCAACUUUCCUUAGCAAUCGUGCUGUACCGUGCUGGUGGCUUGAAAAGCCUUUUACGGUCAUUAACAAAUGGUAAAACAUAGUUCCUCAUUAGAGUGUACUUAAAGUUCCGAAAUGCAGCUCCGAUGGCUUGUAGUACUUGCUUCCUACUUCGAGGAUGAACCACGAAGUACACCUUCAAGUUUCAUUAUGAAAAUGUGAGAUUUUUCCAGCCACAAUAAAACUAGAGUAAUCGUCUAAAGGAAAUUAUUUUAUACCUUAACAGACUCCCAUAGACGCUCCUUCGUAUCAUCUGGAACUCUACGCCAAUCGUUGUAGAGGAUUGGAAUUGAUGUACGAGCCAAAACACCAAUAUACGUAGCCAGCUCAAUGGCUUCUUCACCAACUGGAACACCAAGGCUGUUGUAUUUAACCACAAACCUUCCACUUCUUUUCCUCUUUUUAUUUUGUUCUGACCCAACAGUGCCACCUCUGCUUCGCUUACUGCUGCUCUCAGGUUCAUCCUCGUUCCCAUCUCCAAACUCAUCAAGAUCAGGGACAUGAUCGGCCAGGGGCGUUUCAGGAUCAUAUCCUUCACGGAUAAGUGCCUCAUGGUACUCUGAUUCCUCACCAACAAAUCCAUCAUUUUGUUCAUCUAAAAACUCAUCGAAAUGGGCAUCAGAUUGCUCAGGUGAAGAACUCUCAGGGACAUUUUUUCCCUUAUCCAUGAUGAAUAUCACAACUGCAGAACAAAAUCAAAUGAUGAGAAUACACUACCAUAUAAAAACUGCCAAAAAAUAUAAAAUAAAAUAAUAAUAGAUACCAUAAAUACUUCUUGUAUUAACCUUAACAUAUAUCAUUUUGAGAAGGACUCAACAAACAGCUCAUGCAAACAAACACAGAAACGAUAUUCAAGGUCCAAUCCAAAUUCCCUCUUUGUUGUCUCGUGCGUACAUUUCAGAAUCAUCGUCAAUAGAGUUUAUGUUAUCAGCACUUGGAAAUUCAGUAGUCAACGAAGGGUAUUCCACUGCAUCUUCGCUUCUUUGUGUGGGUUUACCUCUUCUAGGCAUUUGGCAUACAACUGACCACUUCUUAUCAAACUGAUCAGGUACAUAAAAAACUUGGUUGGCUUGAGAAACUAAAAUAAAUGGAUCAUAUUUAUGACCCAUUCGUUGCAAGUCUACCAAAGUAAAUCCGAGUCUAUCCUUCAUAACACCACCUCUGGUAUGUACCCAGUCACACUUCAUUAUUGGAAUUCUAAAGAUAACAUAAUCUAGAUCCCAAAUCUCUCUAAUCACUCCAUAGUAUGUGAUGUUAGAAGUGACAGGAUUUUUAUCUUUUGAACUUGCGACUGAAAUUGUUUGUGCAACCAAUGACACUCCACUAUUUUGAGUAACUCUAUUUAAGUCUCGAUCUCUUGUAACAAAGUGAAAACCAUUUAUGUCAUAUCCAGGAUGUUGGAAAACAUAAGGACGAGGCCCUUGGGAUAACCAACGGAUUGUUUGAGUAACAACGUCACUGUUCUCUAUCAACAUAUUUACCUAUUAUUAAUCAAUAGGAAUAUAAUGUUAAACAAGCACAAACCGAAACAGAAAGGAAAAAAGGAAUUAAUUAAACUAAUGUUAUCAAAACCUUAUCUGUUAGCUAAUCUGCAAAUGUUCGGUUGUGUUCAUCUUGCAACCACUUCUCAUUUUUUCGUGGAUGGCAAAGUUGUAACCAAUCCUCAUGCUCUCUAAAAAUCAGUUAAAAGGACAAAAUUUUCAGGUUCCUAAACUACCAAAACCUGACAAAUAUAAAGCUAAAAUAACACAAGUUAGAUAACAUCACGUUAUAUAAGGCUGAACUUCCUCAAUGUUAUGCAAAACAUACAAGUGUGCUUGAUCUAAUGAAGUUCGAUCAACUUCCACCAUUUGUCCACCACUCAUGGGCUUGUCAAUUUCUAAAUUCUGCACAUGUCCAGGUGGAACCCCAAUUGUGGGCAUGUUUUCCAAGUAUUCUGCACAAAAUUCUAAUGCUUCCUCGGCAAUAUAACUCUCCGCUAUGCAACCCUCAGGACAGUUACGGUUUCGAACAUAGCCUUUUAGAGUUUUCAUGUAUCGCUCAAAAGGAUACAUCCACCGAAAAUAUACGGGACCACAUUGUCUAACUUCACUCACUAAGUGAAUAGUAAGAUGAACCAUUAUGUCAAAAAAAGAAGGGGGAAAACAUUUUUCAAGCAAGCACAAAGUCUCUACGAUGUUUUUCUCCAAUUCAUCUAGCAUUGUCACGUCAAUCACAGUCCCACACAACGAAUUAAAGAAGAAACAAAACCUAAUGAUAGCUUCUUUGACAUGUUUGGGCAGCACACACCUUACGGCAAUUGACAAAAGUUGUUGCAUAAGAACAUGACAGUCAUGAGACUUAAGACCCUGGAGUUUAAAGUCCUUUUUUGAAACAAGAUUCCUAAUAUUUGAAGAGUAUCCAGUAGGAACCUUGAUACUUUUCAAAGCUGCACAGAAUCUUGCUUUUUCCUCCUUAGUUAAGGUGUGGCAAGCAGGAGGAAGCCAUGUACGAUUGUUGUUUCCUUUAACUUGUGGUGCUAAGGUGGGCCUAAUUUUCAUUUCCAAGAGAUCCAUCCUCGACUUCAGUCCAUCUUUGGACUUUCCAGGAAUAUGUAGCAGUGUACCGUAGAUGUUCUCACACACAUUCUUUUCAAUGUGCAUAACAUCUAAUUGAUGCCGCACAAGCAAGUGCUUCCAAUACUCUAAAUUAUAAAAUAUAGAUUUCUUCUUCCACCACGCGAGAUCAUUAUUGUUCGCACUUUUACGCUUUUUAUGUUGCUUUUCCCCCAUCUAUUAUCAAUAGAGUCGACCAACUGGAAAAUUUCCUCCCCGUUUAACAAUUUUGGAGGGGUUUCAUCACACACACUAUUGUCAAAGGCUUUUGCUUGGAACCGAAAUUUAUGACCAUGAGGAAGCCAAAGCCGAUGCCCAAUGUAUACAUUUUUUCCACUGUGUUUAAGUCUACAUUUUGGUGUUUCUACACCACAAUAUGGGCAGGCAUAAUAUCCUUUAACAGUACAUCCUGCUAAAUUUCCGUAUGCCGGGAAGUCAUUUAUUGUCCAUAGUAAUACAGCCCGCAAAUUAAAGUACUCAUUUUUGUAGGCAUCAUAUGCCUCCACCCCAACAUCCCAUAAAGUUUGCAAAUCCUCAAUAAGAGGUUGCAAAUACACAUCAAUAUCUAAACCCGGUUGUUGAGGACCAUAAAUCAAGAGGGACAACAUCAUGAAUUUUCGUUUCAUGCACAACCAUGGUGGAAGAUUAUAAGUAAUAAGAAUUAUUGGCCAGCAGCUAUAUGUACUACUAAGAGAGCUAUGUGGAUUGAUUCCAUCAGCUGAUAGAGCUAGGCGAAGGUUUCUAGGAUCGGAUGCAAAGAUUGGCCAUUUCUCAUCUACUAACUUCCAAGAUGGUGAGUCAGCCGGAUGUCGGAGUUUACCAUCAACCAUCCUCUCAUUUGCAUGCCAAGUCAAGUCCCUAGCAGUUUCGGAUGACUGAAACACGCGCUUAAACCUAGGUAUAGGAGGAAAAUACCAUAAAGUUUUUGCAGGAACCCCUUUCCUAUAUUGGUCUACAGUACCAUCCUUUUUCUUCCAUCUACAUAACCCACAAGUAGGACAUUCCAAAAGACCUUCAUACUCUUUUCUGUAGAGUAUGCAAUCGUUUGGGCAAGCAUGAAUUUUAACAUAUUCUAAGCCCAAAGCUGACAUUGUCUUUUUGGCCUCAUACAUAGAGGUUGGAAUUUCAUUAUUUUUAGGGAAAGCAUCUGCUAAAACACUCAACAAUGCAGAAACGCCACUGUCAGACCACCCAAAUCUACCCUUCACAUUGAACAAUUUCACUAAAAAGGAUAACUUAGUAAAUUUUGUGCAUCCUAGGUACAAGGGUUUCUCAGCCUGUUCUAGCAACUCUUUGAAUGCCUUAGGGUCCCCACAACAACCCUUAUAAGCAUCAUUAACCAUUUCUAACUCAUUACCAUUGUCAAACUCUAUAUUUUGUUGCUGAAAAUGGUUUUCUCUUUGAGGAGAAGAACUCUUACGAAUCUCUUCCCCGUGCCAAAACCAAUUGUCGUAUUUCACAUCAAAACCAUGCAUAUAUAAAUGAUCUUUUACAGUUGUAGGUGUUUCAAAUGAUAAAUUCCCACAAUCAACGCAUGGACACCUAAUGACGCUACUCCCUGCAGCAUUUUUUAUAGCAAAAUUUAUAAAUUUCUGGACACCCUCUUCAUAUUCUGUCGACAGUCGAUUACAUUGAAUCCAAGAUUUAUCCAUUUCGGGCUUAAUAAUUAAUGUUCCUGACAUAUACAUAAAACAAAGAAAGAAUGUACAUACUUAGAAUAUUUGUCUAAUGUUAUAACACCAUGUGAACUAAACAAAUUUUAAAAUUACAAAUAUAGCAAACAAGAAAGCUGAUAAACUGAAUUUCAUACUUUUCAAAAGUUCACUCUCCUACUAUACUAUAAAUAUAAUAAAUAAGACAGACCCCACAACAACACAUUACAUAGUAUCAUAAUUAUAAAUUUAAAGAUAUGUAAAUUUUAAGCAAGUGUAUAACAACUUCAAUCUACGUCAAAUAAUAGAGGAUAAGAAAUGGAACUUACCAAAUUAAACACAAACAAUCUGCUGUUAUAUCCAAUUCCAGGUACAAAUCCAGCAACAAUAUUGAUUACUGAAAUAUAUUUUGAAUGAUCAGUUGAUAAAAUUCCAAAACUUGGAUUCAAGAGGGCUAAAAAGUUACCAAUAAAUUACAUUAAUCAUAUGAGUAAGCCUAAGAAGAAAUAAUAAACUACAACUUCAAAUAAUAUACAUCAGUAGAACAAAAAUGAAAGCAAACACAAAGAAAAGCUUCAAGUACCUUAAUACAAUGCCUUCAACAAAUCAAGAACAUCGAACUGUCACGUUUAUGCAGCAAUCACAACUAUUUAUAUUUGACACGCAAAUGUUACGACUCAAGACAACAACAGUAACAAUAAUACCACCAGAUGCAAAAUAGCUACAACACCACAUGCAUAGGUAGAUGACAAUGAGAUGUGAGAAUCCCUCAAUUUUACAUAACAGAAUCAGUUACUAAAAGUCCCUCCUCAGGCUUUGUUAUAGACAUUUCAGGCCAAUAUCACCAUCUUCAUACACAAACACUCAUUUAACUUAACGAAGCUUCAAUAUCAGAAAUAGCUAGAAAAAAAAUUCACACACAAACACAUGAAUAUAAUUCAGAAUUACCUAGAAUAAAAAAAAAUUAACAGCAUUAUGCAAUGCACGAUUACAACUCAAAACAGAACUCAAAAUUAACAACAUUAUAUCUUCCUGGGAAAUUAUUUAGUAAAUUGAUUACCGAAAUAUAUGCAAUAUAUGCAAUACAUGCAAAUACAUUUCAAUUUUUUACAAAUUAUUUACUACUUUACAUAAAAGUUCAAUAAAUAGUCAAAAUUAAAUACAUGCAAAUGCAGCAAUGACUCACCAGUGGGCGUGAAGCUUCAAUUCACCGUCAAGCCUAGGGUUUCAACUUCGGCAACAACGAUUUGGGUCUUCUUUCACGGUAAGCAAUUGGGUUUCUUUCAGUCAAUAAAAGUACCCUGGAUGUUGUUCUCAUUCCAAUUUGGGUUUCGAUUAGCACUGACUUCGUCCCAGCAAAGAGAGAUGAUUUAGUGAAACAACCAGAAUGAUUUUGAAACUAUGGGUGUUUGGGUGUCGUUAGUUUGCUAUGGCUGGCUUUUGAGGGUUUGCUCCAAGUGUGCUAAUCGAUUUUGAGAUUCCACAAUAACGCUUGCAAAUUUUCUGAACACUUAGAAAAAAAUUUCCCUCUUUUCUCACAAAAAUGUUUCCCCCCUUAACAAAACGCAACGUUUUAUUAAUUGUUUUUUGUUAUUUACGUCUGUUAUCCUCAAACUUGCGAAACAUACAACUGAGACGACAUCGUUUCACUUCUAUUUUAGUAAUAUAAUAUUUUUAAAAAUUAAGUCAAACCCGCGCAAUUAAAGUCAACAUAAAAAAUCAGUCUUUCAUUCUUGAUUGUCAAAUAAUUUAUCACUAGUCUAUCAUAAUUUCUUGAUAUAUGAUAUUUAUAUCACCAAUAUAUCAUAAUUUCUUGAUAAACGAUAUUUCUAUCACAAAUAUGUCAUAAGUGUAUGACAGAAAAUAAAUCUAUCACGAUUCUAUUGUUGUAGGCCUCCAGACCAAAAACUGUCACACAGAGGACUGUCAUAGUAGAUACUUUUUCUUGUAGUGUAAGUAAAGGAAAAAAGUUCAAAGAAAAGAAUUGUUGUGAAUUAUGGCUCAAAUAGGAAAAUAAACAAGACUAACUAACAUUUUUUUUUUUUAACCCUAAACAUCAUAAAUGAAAGAAGAUGAAAUUUUCAUUACCGCUCAAUUUUUCUGCACGCAACCAAAUAAGAAAAACAAAAAAGUGUUAUAAAAAUAAUGCGCUAGUAGCUAUUUGAGGCAUUAUUUUGAAUGAGACCUAUUUGGCAUAAGCGAAAAGUCAGAAAAUGUUUCGCAUAUUCCUCUAUGAGUACUUCGGAAUGGUUAUCUAUAUGAGUCAUUGCUUCGUUCGCGUCGCAUAAUUGCCAUCCAAAGAAAAAAUAUUUUUGUCAUUAAUUUUAGGUUUUUUUUAAACUUUAAUUUAACUUUAAUAAUGCCAUAUUAUUUAAUAUUAUAAUUGCCGUUCGAACCUUGCAAAACAUGAAGACUAAUAUAUAUAUUAAUAUAUGCCAUAUUAUUUAAUAUUUAAUUUUUAAGGCAACUUUUUUAGUUGAGGGCAGGGAACCCCUACGUUACGUAAUUCCGUAACAAGCUCAUCUAAUCACCUUGACUAUAAGACUUCUCCUAGUCAGCAAUUAUUUGGAAAUAACGUCUUGACAUAUGCUGUGGAAAUUAAAGAAUGAAGUAGACUUACCAAGUCAAGGUGUUUUUCUAGUCUACAUAUUUUAAUUUAUACGUUUAGAAAAUUAGAAAUAUUCAAUGUCUAAUCUGAUUUUACACAAAGACUAAUGGCCCAAGAUUGUGAUUGAAAUGCUAUAAGCAGUUUAUUCAUAAGUUUAGAUAAAAAUGAGGUUUGAUGGAGAAGAAUAGGAAGAGGUUCGCCUGAAGCAAUAUACUCGUAAGCUUGUCUACUAAUAAACGGAGCAUAUAAGCAUAAACACCUAACUUUUGAGGUAUGUGUGUGUGUAUAUAUAUAUGGAUCUUAAAGAUUGGGAAACGUUCAGAAAAACUUUAAAACCACGAGGUGUUAAAGAUUUAAAAGUUAAAGCGCUUAAACUGCACGGUUUAUGCGUUUUCCUAGAUGUCCUGUAUUUUAAAAUUUCGAAUUAGAACAUUUCUAUAUGUGUGUGUGUGUGUGUGUGGAGGGCAAAUCUUUGACUCUCUCCGGCUUCAAGGACCUAUACGGUAACUCUUAAAUCAAAGGGAGAAAAUGGUUAAUCCAAUCUGAUUGUAUAUGAAUUGAUAUUGACCAUACGAUUAUUCCAUAUGAUUAAGUAAUAAUGCACACAUGUUCUACACAUUCAGACAAGUCAGAGUAAGAAUUAUGAAAAUGACAACCAAAUCCAAACUAGCUAGGUGAACUAUUGUUAUUUAUCUUUGGUCCAUCAUUAUUAGAAAGAUGAGGAGAAGAAGAAAAAGAAAAAACUAAUUUUGUAGUCACAAAUUAAUCUUAUGCUCUGAUUUUGAAGCAAAUCUGCAAAAUAUUUGAGGAUCCAAUCAUGAACCACGUCCACUUCAAUCUUUCGCUGCACUACUACCCAUUUUGGGUCGUCUUCUGUUUCUGGCUGUAUGUCUAAGCAAUAGGAACCUGCUCCAAUUUACAGACUAUUAAUUAUGUUAUCGAAUAAUUUAGUUAAUAAUUGAACACUAAUUUUUUAUUUUAUUGAAAAAUUUACAUACCGUUUCUUGUUGUCACUACUAUUUAUACUAUUUGAUAUAUUUUUUCCAAACCCCUAAAAUCCCCCCCCCCCCCCCAAAAAAAAAAGAAGAAAAAAAAAGAUAUAUAAUUAAACAGGUAACUUUGAUAGAAAAGAAUGUACAAAAUUUUUAAGCUUAAUUACCCCUCGCUGCCAUAGGGAUAACGAAGGCCAUUUGAGAAAAUAAUGUUGCUACCAAAUCUCUUUAAAACCACUCUUAUAUCCUGCAAAUUAAAAAGAAAUAGAAAUCAAACAAAAUUGAGGUAAGCUUUAUAAUUAAAAAAAAAAGAGAAAAAUUAAAUUAUUAAAAGAAUUUGUUUAGGGAUUCAUCAAUACUUACAUGACUGUCGUAAUAAGUUGUAAUCUAAUAUUGUCUCGGAACCACUCCAUAAGACUUAAUGCAUUAAUCCAUAUAUUCUGUCAGAUUAAAUGGGUUGCUUGAAACAUUGUGUCUUUUUUUGCCAAUUCCAAUUGAUGAGACCAUUUCACUGCAUGUCUGGAUGAGAACUCCACCCCCUCUAAAAAAUAAUAAUAAUAAUUAAAUAAAUAAAUAAGAUAAAGAAGAAAACUAUUUUUAAUCAUUCAUAAAUAUGUAGUCUCAUAAAUAAAAUUUAGAGAUGUACAUAAAAUAGGUAUUGUUAGACGAAAGACUCAUUUGUUGCGACAUGUUGUUUAUUUGACAAUCUCAAUAGAACUAUCCAAUUGGCUUAUUGGCUUAUAUUUGUGUGGUGUAGAUCUAUUUUAUCAACAUUGCAGAAACAUGAGAUAAUAUGGAAAAUAUUAGAAAAAAUUAGUAGCAUUAUUAAGAUAUUAAAUAUCACCCAAAAUAAUAAAAUGAAAAAAAAAAGCUCAAAGAAUUGUUGUUGUAAAUUAUGACUCCAAUAGGAAAAUAAACAAGACUAAUCAUAUCUUUGUGUAAAUUUAAUUUUUAUAAAAAAACGUGUAGGUGUAAUAUUAUGAAUAAACUGAUAGAGAAAAGAAUGUGCAGACUCCUGUGAUUUGACAAAAUAAUCAAAAUAUUCUCUUUAUUUUUUAAAAUAGUUACAAAGCUCCUUUUGUAACAUACAAAUUACGGAAAUUCAUGGGCUACCUAACAUCCAUUUUAUUUUAUUUUAUUUUAACACCUAAACAUCAUAGACGAAAGAAGAUAAAAAAUUUCAUUGCACUCAAUUUUUUUGCAUGCAAUCAAUAGGGAAAAGAAGCAGAAAGUGUUGGAAAUAUAGCACAAGUGGCUCUUUGAGGCGUGAUUUUGAGUGAGACCUAUCUAAUGUAAGUGAAAGGUUAAAAUUGUUUCAAUUAUUCCUCAGUGAAAAUUGGGAUUACGGUUGAAAUACUAUAAGUAGCUUAUUUUAUAAGUUUUGAUAAAAAUAAUUUGGUAAAUUUGUUAAAAGUUAAUUUAUAUUUUUUCUAUUUCGACAAUAGCUUUUAAAACAAGUAUGGGAUUUUUUUCUAUAAGCAACUUAUUAAAUAAAUGCUAUAUUUUUUAAAGUUUCUAUUAUAACUUUAAUAUUUUAAGAAAAGAAUAAUUAUAUCUAUUUUUUUAAAUCUUAAUAUAUAAAUAAAGACAAUUUAAACUUAUAUCUAUUUUAGUGAUUAGAUAAUAAAAUAAUUCUUUCAUACUCAAAUUUACCAAACACCGAGCAAGCUACUUUUAUAAUCAUCAAUUUAUUUUAUUCGCACACAUAAGUAGUUUAUUUCAUCAGCCAUUAGAAUUUCAAACCGAUCCCAAGUCAUGUUUGGAAUUGCAUUGGAUUGUCAACUAAUUAAACAGAAGUAGCUAUUAUAUGGGAGAAUAAGAACAGGUUCACCUGGAGCAAUACACCCAUAAGCUUGGCUACUAAUAAACGGAGCAUAUAAGGAUAAACACCUAAGUUUUGAGAGAUACAUGUAUAUGGAGGGCAAAUUCUUCGUCUCUCCCCGGCUUCAAGGAAAUGGUUAAAUCAAUAUGAUUGUAUAUGAAUUGAUAUUCACCAUAUGAUUAUUACAUAAAGAUUGAACCCUUUUUAUGUGUUUUACAAUAAGUAAGCACACUUGUUCUACACAUUCAGACAACCCAGAUUAAGAAUUAUGAAAAUGACCAAAUCUAAAACAAGCUAGGCGCACUAUUAUUUAUCUUUGCUCCAUAAAUAUUAGAAAGAUAGAGGAGAGGAAAAAAAAGAAAAGACUAAUUUUGUAGUCACAAUAUAAUCUUGUGUUCUGAUUUUGAAGCAAAUCAGCAGAGUAUUUGAGGAUCCAAUCAUGAACCGUGUCCGCUUCAAUAUUUCGCUACAUUACUAACCACUCGGGAUCAUCUUCUGUUGCUGGCUGUAUGUCUAAGCAAUAGGAACCUGCUCCAAUUUACACACUAUUAAUUAUGUUAUCCAAUAAUUUAGUUAAUAAUUGAACAUUAAUUUUUUAUUUUAUAGAAAAAUUUACAUAACGUUUCUUGUUGUCACUGCUAUUAUAUUGUCUGAUAUAUCUUUUAGAACCCUAUAAUCUCAAAAAAGAAAAGAAAAAGAUAUAUAAUUAAAUUGGUAACUUCGAUAGAAAAGAAUGUACAAAAUUCUUAAACUUAAUUACCCAGCGCUACUAUAGGGAUUACGAAGGCCAUUAGAGAAAAUAAUGUUGCUACCAAAUCUAUUUAAAACCAUUCUUAUGUCCUGCAAAUAUAAAAUAAAUAGAAAUAAAAAAAAUUGAGGUAAACUUUAUAAUUAAAAAAGAAAAUGAGAAAAAUUAAAUUAUUAAAAGAAUCAAUUUGGGGAUUAAUCGACACUUACAUGACCACUACAAUAAGUUGUAAUCCAAUGUGGUCUUGGAACCACUCCAUAAGACUUGUUGCAUGAAUCCAUAGAUUCUGUUGGAUUAAAUGGGUUUGCUUGAAACGUUGUGUCAUUUUUGCCAAUUUUAAUUGGUGAGACCAUUUCACUACAUGUCUACAUGAGAAACCCCCAAUAAUGAUGGCGAUGAUGAUGAUAAAAAAAAACAAAAGAGAUAAAGAAGAAAACUAUUUUUAAUCAUUCAUAAAUAUGUAGUCUCAUAAAUAAAAUUAAGAGAUGUACAUAAAAUAGGUAUUUUUAGGCGAGAGACUCAUUCGUUGCGGCAUGUUUUUUAUUUGACGGUCUCAAUAGUACUACCCAAUGAAAUCAUGUCACCUGUAAUUGCAUACCUGCCAGCCCCAGCUGGAGUCCAAUGUUUCAUCGGAGAAGAAUUCAUCAAUACAUCAUAGCAAGAACUUUCCCCUCUUAAAGCAACAAUUCCUGAGAAUAUCCGGCCUAGGGUAUCUGUGCCUUCCGAAGCUCCAUCAAUACCAUUACAGGCUUUGUUCACUGGAUAUUCCUGAGGAUCAUCAUACUGAGCUGCACUCGUAUACAUAGACUCUAAAUAAUCCUUUAAUUCUGAAACGUCCUUCAGAGGCCUGUUACCAAAUAAUUAAAGACUCAAGAUGAAAUUUAGCGCCUCCAAGGUUAGUAACAUCAUAAAAGAUCUUUCAUCAUACCUGUCUAAUAAAUUUUGUUAUAUUUAGUUAAAUUACAAUAAACUUUAUGAGUAUGAAGCUAUUGGUAUCUCAAAUGCAAACAUCCAAAUUUGGCCUUACUUGGUAAUCAGAGUUGUACAUUGUUUUGUACUUCUGAACCUAAGCACCAAUAUACUUUAAUAUCUGGUAAUGCAUAGGUCGUAUAUGAGGCCAAAUCCAGAUUUUACUAUGUACGUAUAUUACACAUUAACUGAAAUGUAUAUAUACCUCGAGGAUGACAGAUAAUUUAUUGGAUAUAUAUAGGUAGUUAUGUAAUGAUACUACAAUAACAUUGCAUUGUAAUUAAAGGAAAAUCAGAUGGAUAUAUAUCGGCAGUUAUAAAAGUAACAUGAUUCAAUUACUUGCAGGUUUUGAAUUUUUUAGAGAGAAAAGUAAGUCCAUUUUUUUUCAGCAGCGGCUUUAUCGAUUUCAACCAGGACUGUUUGAUGGUCUUGUAGCAACUCUCACUAGCUUCCUGCAUCACUAAUAUUCAAAAUUCAAUAGUUAAAUUUUUAACAAGAAAAUAUAAUCAUACAUAUAUCGAAUUUUAAUUAAUUAAUAUUAUUUUCUAACCCUAAAAUCCUUGCUGACAAGAUCAUAAAAUGCGUUCGAUGGUGUGAUAUUAUCAAAGUAGAGAAUUGGGGCUGAAGAGGCCACUGCUCCCAAAGCAAUGUCAGGAUACUUUAAGCGAAACCAUGCAACAAGCACUGACGAUAACAAUAACAGAUCCACACAUGAGAAACUCUCAAACGAGUCUUUGUCAGUAGGAAUACAAAAUAAAAUUGUAUCAUAAUAAUUGUGGCGUUAUCCAGAUUUUAGUCAAAUAUUGACAAUGAGAUGACAGAUGACAUGAUAUCAAUCAAAAGAUGCAAGUAAGUUAAUAAUAUUAUAACUUACUUCCUCCGUAAGAUGCUCCAACAACGAUAGUGGGAGACAUUUCGGCCGAUAAAUUUUUCUUGAUGUGUAAGAGAAUCUCUGCAUAAUCAGCCAAUGCUUGAGCAGAGUUGAAAUAUCCACGAAGAGUUGCAUUCUUUAGGGCAUCUUUACUUGGUACAAAAGGUACUGAUUUUCCAUAGAAUCGAUGCUGCACAAAAUAUCGAAUUAAAAAAAAAUCCAUCACAAUUUUUCAGUUCAUAUUGUAGAAUAGUCUUAUUGAUAUUUGUCUUCAGUAUUAUUAUUUCAUAUACAAACUCUAUUUCAAUUAUUAUCAAGCUAGGCUGAUAACAAAUUCUGUCCUUACCUCUAUGUAAACUUCUAAAGCUUUAAAUCGAUGAGCAUUAUCAGUAAGCCAUCCAAUGCCACCAUGGUCAUCAUCAAGACUACUCUCUUCACCAAGAUAUGCCAAUAUCGGCGCUGCCAUGGCUCCGCCACCGCCCCAAUGCUUGAAGUUCAACACAUAUCUAUGAGGAAAAGUUAAAUAACUUUGUGGAUUAUAGUUAGAGUGAUCAAGUAUUUGAUCAUAAUAAUAAGUUUCGAGAUCACCCUCUGGUUCUGAAGUUAAUAUUUUUUUACUAGGGUUUAGAAAAAUAGUCCAUCCACGCACAGCACCAAGCUUUGGGAUGUUCUUUAAUGGUGAAGUGGAAGCAAAAGCAAAAUUUGUGAGGAGAAGAAGAAAAAAGGCAUGGAAGCCACCGACCUUCCAUGGUGUUGAAUUAGCUGAUGAAACUGAAUCAAAUGCAACACACGUUGGAGUGCUAGCUGGAAUCAAGCGAGCUGUAAAUCUAGUAGCUAGUCUAGGAAUGAAAGUGAAAGGUACACGUGAGAAGUUGGGAAGUUCCAGAUGGCAAAACUGUUAUGAAGAGAUUCCCAUGCAGUUGGAUUAUGCAGAAAUUAGUUAACAAAUCAGUACUUAUUAAUUGUAUUGAAUUUAGUUAGAUUAGAGUUAGUUACUCUUUAGUUACAUUGCUUAGCUGUAAUUAGAGUACUCAGCAAGUAUUAGAUUCCACUAUAAAUACUAAGCUGAGCUCAUUUCUGUAAUUUGAUUUGCAUUAAUAACUGAAAGACAAUUUCUCUUUUUCUUCUUCAUUCGAUCUUCAAAUUCCAACUGCAAAGUUGUAAAUCCUUAAUUAGCAGGAUGAUUAUGUAAAUACAGAAGAAAUAGAAUUAAGAUUCGGUUAUAAAUUCAGCUUCAGAAUCGACGUGUUUGUUAAUCUAUUCUGGAUUUGUUGUUAUCCUAUCAUAUAAUUAUUGGUGGUUUUAGUUUUAUAUUAGUAAUGAUCUUUAGUUUUCAUAAAAUUAUAGUUUUUCUAAUAUAUAUUGUUAUCAGUUUCGUAACUAAAUACGUUGCGAUGAAAAUUUGUUAUUCCUAAUUGUUAUUAAUUCUUUCCUUAGUAAUUAACUAACUUGAUUUACGUAGUUCUAAUGGUUGGACACAUAUUUCUAAUUUAAUUAACUUGCAAUUAAUUAUUUACUAGUGAUUAACUUGAUUUAGUAUGUGGUAAAUAUAUAAUUUUUAAAUAAUAAUUUUGAUAAAAUCAGUAAAGAAAUAAUAAAUUUUCUAUCAUGUAAGUGUAAAAUUAAAGAUAAAAUAUUUUUUUUUCUAGUUACAAUAGCUAAUAUUUAUUUGAUACUUUAACUUUUAAACUAAGCUACCCAAACAUGGUUGUAAUUUUCUAUAAUGAUGCUACCAAAGAUGUCAGGAUUCCAAUCAUUGUUUACGAUGCUACAAUAUAUGUUAAUCAUGCUAAUGGUAUAAGCCUUUGGAUUGGAAGCAAUGUAAAUCCAACCGCUGGGUAACGUAGCUAGCCUAGUUAUACUUUAUUAAGGGAACAAUAAAAUUAACAAUAGUCUCACACUAAAGGGUGGCAAUUUAUUUCCCGAAUUUGUGAAUUAGACACUAACACAUCAUAACGAGAUGAUUAAUUAUCGUUUCAAAUUACUGUGUCCUCUUCACUAAUCAAUUCGUGUUUGCAUUUUGACUUCCCCACAGGGGAUUCUUUAUUUAUUUUUUUUUAAAAAAUAAGUGCAAAAUUUAUCCCACCGAGUAUAAUCAAGGGGUGCACGUCAAGACUUGGAUGGUGCAAAUAAUUCCACCAACGGACUUGAAGAUCCCAAGUUGGUCAAUGGUUAGAAUGCUGAAAACAAGCAACAGCUGCGACAUAGUUUCAGGGUCAUAUCAUCUAUAAGCCAAACGUGUGUCCGCUCAAUUAGACACCAUAACCUCUAAAGACAAAACAAAUGCAUGCAACCUACCAUAAAAAGAUGAAUGAACACUAAAGACUGAGAGCAACACAACCCAGAAUGCAAUCAUUAACCUCACGAAAACUGGACCCUGAGAUUCACUGUAACAACGUCAUUAGUAUUUUUCUUUAUCCAAGGCUCCCAGUAGCCCUCCUCCCCCCCCCCCCCCCCCCCCCCCCCACCCCCGCCCCCCCCUCGACCCCCCCUACCCCCCCCCCCCCCCUUCAAGAAAAAGAAAAAAAAAAGAAAAAAACUAUAUGGAUCUUACAAGAACGACGAAGUCAUUAUGCAAACUAUAAGAAAAUGUAAACUGAUAGGCAAUAAUUGAAGAACACGACCUAGGCAAUAAUUGAAAUAAGAUGCGAAAUUAUUUAUAACACAAUUAACUAUUCAACAAUCAUAUGUGUUGAUUUCUUUUCAAUCUGACUUGGACACUGUGUUAUAUUUUAUUAUCUUUUAAUAAAUAUCUAUAUAUAUAUAUAUAAUCAAAAAAUUAUAUAAAAUUCACCAUGAAAAUAAGGAAAACGAAAAAAAAAAAAAUCAAACGGGCCCCCUGAUGGAUCACCAACGAACGAAAAAGAGCAACUGAACCAACGAAAUGCAAUGGCAUUUUGGGGAAUCUGUCAAAAGCUGAUAACCUUUUUGUCGAUUCCCAGCCAACCUCUAUAAAUUGCCCGCAAUUGGAAAUGCAACACUUAUUACACACGCACACACUUGUCUGCUUGACGAUUUGCUCUGAUAUUUUCCUUUCUUCUUCAAUCAAUGAACUGUCUACAGAAUCUUCCAAGGUCCUCUUUUUCUUCUUCUUUUUUUAAUUUUUAUUUUAAAUCUCCUUUAAUUCGUUUUCAUUUUUUAAUUUUUUUGGUUAAUAUUUCAGAUCCUCCGCUUUGCCUUUGCAAAGCUUCAGAUUCAAUCAACGGAAGCCUACUGCUUCUUCUUCUUUCAAUUCUCUGGUAAAACGCAAUAUUUUUUUGUCGUUUUUUCGUCGUUUUUUCUUCCUGUUAAUACUUAAUGCUUGGGCGUUUUGUGUGUAAUGGAAAUGGAGUCUCGUGUCUGAUUUAUUAUCGCAGGGAACGAUGAAUUAUGCUGAUCUAAAUCGACGUAUCACCGUUAAGGUAACUAUAUAAUUUUUUAAUAUCAAAUUCAUUUCUUUCUUUUUUUUUGUUUUUUAAAAGAGUAAUAUUAGCUUCAACUGUGAUGCUGUUCAGUAGCAGUGCUGACCUUUUUAUUCAUAAAUAUCUUCGGAUAUUUCAUAAUAUGGAAUAUUCUUCUUUAUUCUGUUCUAUUUAUUUACUGGUUUUAAUGUACAUAUUGUCGAGGAGCUAAAUACGCGAGUAUAAAAAUUAACCUCAACUGAUAAUUUGUAGUCUGAUUAUGCCAUUAGUUUUAUGGAGUCCAUGUUGAUUCAGUUUGUUGUUUGAUUUUUAUGUGGAACUGUUACUUGAUUAUACAUGAACAUUCACUUGUGCAAAUUUGCUGAUGAAAUUUAUUUACAGGCAAUUACUGGUUCCACCUCUAGUAAGGAGACAUCUGAUAGCUCUGAAGUUAAGGAGGAAAAAUCCGAGAUCUAUAGUACUAAUAUGACAGAGGCUAUGGGUGCUGGUAAUUUAACUCACACUAUGCUCUAAUUUUGAUAGUAAGGCAGUUGUGGAGACCCUUAAGUGGUAAGGGAUGCUUUCCAUGUUAAAGGCAUGCCUAUUAUUGUGGAUUUGCAAAAUUUAUCUGAAACUUGAUUAAAUGAUGUUUGUAUAUUGUAUUAUAUGAUUGAAGCAUGAACUAAACGUUUUAAUGUUUCAUUCUAGAACUUCCCUGUGGACCUUUGCUCGUUUUUGUUUUGAUACUUAUGAAACUUGGUAAGUCUUGUUUUGAUUUGUUAGAGAUUUUCUGUUGAUGGAAAAUUUCAGAAGAAAGCAGUGACAAUGCAGUGCUUACUAAUUGAGGGUAGCUCAAAAUGAUAAUUUUAGAUUUUGGAUCUAUGAUAAUUGAAAAAUAAAUAGAGAUAAGUGAGUUUGUUUCAUGUUAGUUUCUUUAUCCGCUCCAAUUGAAAUACUCUGUGAUAAGAUUGUUUCUCUUAAACCCUUAUUCAUCAAAGUUUCCCUUUACAUGUCCAUUUGAAUGGCUUUAUCCCACACCAACCUUGAUUUUUAUGUUUAGGAGGUUGUUGCUUAGAGAUUCACAUGUCCAUUCUUAGUGCUAUAAGACUUUGUCUUGAUGCACAGGUGACAAGUUUGUCGGGGAGUACAUUUGGACUAACAAUCUUGAUUUAAUUCCAAACAUGUUAGCAUUGGGUUAUUUAUGUCAGUCAAAGUUCACAAAUUCAGUUUGCUUAGUCAACUCAAGUAGACAACAGAGUUGUGUAACUCAUUGACCAUGCGUGCAAAUGCCAAUGUAUGUGGCUUUAAAAAUUUGAGCAAUGAGGACAUGUGGUCCUCCACAGCCUGGAAUUAAUGUGUGUCUGAAACCUUUUUUGAACGAAAACACAGAGAAAAUGUGAGCUUGUCACAAGCUAAGUUUCCAAGAGAGGUUACAUAUGUUUACCAUGAAGUGUCACAUGAACUUGUACAGAUUGAUUUGUGAUGUUUCUUUUCCCGGUAAUCUCUUAUGUUAAAUCUUAUUGAUUGUGUUUGUGUAUGUGCGUUGGGCUGGAAGCUCCAUUAAAAUGGUUUUUCCUCAAAUUAUGAAUUAUAAUGCUCAUAAGAUAUCAUCUCUCCUUGUCCAACUUAUUAAGAAAGUAUUUCAUAAUCCUAUUCAAACAUAUUCCUUUUUUUUUUCUUUUUUGGGAUGGAGAUAUUUUCCUAGUUCAAUGCUGGAAAUGUUGUUAAUAAACAAGGAUUCUGGUUGUAUUAACUAUUUGACUAUACUUCUACAUUCCUACCUUUUUUGAGAAUUCACAAUUUAAAAUAAAAUUUGCACGUUAUCAUUUUGUAAACAAAUUCUUUCAUCUGUACUACAACAGCAGAUGAUGGAGCUCACUGGAAAUACUUUUCAUUUUUACCAUUGAUGUGAUAACUAAUAUAAGGCAUUGUUGUUUCUGUGUUUGGGUAUCAUUUCCAGCCUAAGCCUGAUACUAGUGUUUGUGGAUCAAAGCAGAAAGCUGCCACACCACCUGCAGGUUCUGGAGAGCUUCCUUCAACGAGUUCAAGCAAACCCAAGGAGUGGAGUUGUGCCCUUUGUCAGGUCACUGCUACUACCGAGAGAGGUCUAGACGUGCAUCUCCAAGGCAAGAAGCACAAGGCCAAGGAAAAACUACUUAGAGAUUUGAAGAUGUGCAUUAACUCCACUUCAAAAAAAUCUAUGGAAAGCAGAAAUAGUGCUGACCAAGAAAUGAAGCCUAAUGGAAGAGGAAUCAGUUGGUGCCAAAAAAACUGUUGUUGGUUUAGACCAGAAAGUGGAGGGUGGUCAAACCCUGCAGGUUAAGCCCAAUUCCAAUCUUUGUGGAACAAAUCAGAAUGCUGCUGCACCACCUGCAGGUUCUGGAGAGCUCCCUUCGACAAAUUCAACCAAAACCGAGCAGUGGAGUUGUGCCCUCUGUCAGGUCAGUGCUACGACCCAGAGAGGUCUGGAUGAGCAUCUUCAAUGUACGAAGCACAAGGCCAAGGUAGCAGGACUACUUAGAGAUAAGAAAAUGUGCAAUAACUCCACUUCAUCCACGUCAAAAAUAUCUACAGAAAGCAGAGAUGGUGUUGGCCAAGAAAUGAAGACUAAAGUAGAAGAGGAAUCAGGUAAAGCUAAUAAAACUGUUGUUGGUUUGAACCAGAAAUUGGAGGGUGGUCUAGAUGAGAAUCCUCAAGGUAAGAAGCAGAAAGCCAAGGAAGAAGAACUACUUGGAGCUCAGAAGUGGAUAAAAAAAUCUACAGAAAGCAGAGAUAGUGCUGGCCAAGAAAUGAAGACUAAAGUAGAAGAGGAAUCAGUUAAAGCUAAUAAAACUGUUGUUGGUUUGAACCAGAAAGUGGAGGGUGGUCUAGAUGAGGAUCCUCAUGGUAAGAAGCAGAAAGCCAAGGAAGAAGAACUACUUGGAGCUCAGAAGUGGAUAAAAAAAUCUACAGAAAGCAGAGAUAGUGCUGGCCAAGAAAUGAAGACUAAAGUAGAAGAGGAAUCAGUUAAAGCUAAUAGAAUUGUUGUUGGUUUGGACCAGAAAGAGGAGUGUUGUCAAGCCCUGCAGGUUAAGCCCUAUCCCAAUCUUUGUGGACCAAAGCAGGAAGCUGCCACACUACCUGCAGGUUCUGGUGAGCUCCCUUUGACGAGUUCAAGGAAACCCAUGGAUUGGAGUUGUGCCCUCUGUCAGGUCAGUACUACUCGCAUGAGAGAGCUAUAUGAGCAUCUUCAAGGCAAGAAGCAUAAGGCCAAGGAAGAAGAAUUACUUGGAGAUCAGAAGAUGUGCAGUAACUCCUCUUCAAAAGACUCUACUGAAAGCGGAGAUAAUGCUGGCCAAGAAAUUAAGGCUACUGUAGAAAAUGAAUCAGUAUAUCUAAUAAAACUGCUGUUGGUUUAGACCAGAAAGUGGAGGGUGGUCAAGAUAACGCGACAUCAAGAACCUAAUUAAAAAUUUAUUGUAUAUGUUUGUGUGAAUAUUUACAAAGGAGUGAAGAAACUAAUAUAUUAAAUAACGCGACACCAAGAACCUCGCUCUGGAGAAAGUUUAUAUAUAUAAUUUUUAAAAUAAACUAAUAAUUAAAAUGACAAUUUACCCUUUUAACUUAUAGAGAUACAACCUUAAAUUCCUUAAUAUGCUGGUUAAAUCAGCUCAUUGAGAGGGUGACAAUUAGACAGACCUUAUUAAUAAUACCAGAGAGAUUAAUGUCGUAGUUUGCACAUUCGUUUAAUUGCAAUUCAACAUGUAUAGGAAGUGAACGUGUAAAUAGAAUUAAUAAUACUAAGGGAGACAAUUCGUCGAACACAUAAUAUUUGCUACAUUGCUACUACUUAAUAAUUUCAGAACCAAUUAACAGUCACCUUUAUGGGAAAAUUCCAUUAGGAUUAGAAGCAAUCCCAUCACAUACAUGAACAGUCAAAUAUACGUAUCUAUAAUUACAUAUCACAUUAAUCAACCAAAUACAUUUCUUGGUUUCUAAGCUCCAAAAUUGAAAUUUCAUGAAAAGGUUUCUGCAUCGGUGCCUUAUUGCGAGCGAUGAAGUCGUUGGACACGAGUUGCAUUGUAGGUCGAGACUUUGGUUGAGAACGCAAGCAUGAAAAUGCUACUGUUGAAACAAGAAUGAUAUCCUGCCUAAUCUUUUGAUCCACCGGAGGUGAGAGGCGUGGGUCCAGCAAAUCAAUCAGCUUAAUAUUUUUAUCUAAUGACGAAGAUAACGAUGAGAGGAGCUCUCCAGGAUGCUUUCCCAUUAGUACUUCUAGUGCCACCACUCCGAAGCUAUAAACAUCAGAUUUCUCCGUCACAAUCAUGGUGUAGGCCAGUUCUAUAGGAAAACAGAAGCCUUUAUUAGUGAUAUUUCCUAUAUAAUAACAAGAGUAAUUUGUUUAUAUUUUUGAGCUUCUGCAGUAAGCUAUGACAGAGAAACAUAUGUUUUUAAUUGAUAUUUAAACUGUGUAAUUUUUUUUUAAAAAAAAAAAAUUAAAUGGGUAGACAAAGUUUAAAUUUAUCUUUCAGCUCCUUACCUAUUCCAAAAUUCGAACCUAAGUAGCUAACUAAAUAAAACUGCUUAAAACUUACUUAACAGAGUGCAUAUAGAAAUUAAUUAAAAGAAUAAUUAAAGAAGCAGAAGAAGAAUGGCUAGAAGAUUACCUGGAGCAAUAUAUCCAUAAGUGCCAGCCAAUAGAGUUCGAUUGGAUGAGUCAAAAUUUAACAAUCUAGCAACGCCAAAGUCAGCAACAAAUGCUUCUAAUUCUGAGUUGAGUAGAAUGUUGUUGCUUGAUAUGUCCCGGUGAACAAUUGGUGGUGUGCAGUGAUGAUGCAAAUAUGACAAAGCAUGAGCCAUGCCCUUCACAAUGUUCACCCUUUUAGCCCAAUCCAAACCAAUAGCUUCCUCAUCUAUGCGUAGAACACAGAACAAGCUUCCCAUUUCUAUGUACUCAUAGAUUAAGAACAUACAUUUCCUGUGCAAACAAAACCCGUAAAGCUUUACGAUAUUUCGAUGCCGUAUUUGAGACAGUAGACGAGCCUCAUUCCGAAAACUCUCGAGGG
RNAcentral lists this long non-coding RNA (128338 nucleotides) under Citrus x clementina. Its description in RNAcentral is "Citrus clementina (C. clementina) long non-coding RNA (CCLE_LNC003367)". The stretch from base 31690 to 31798 matches the Rfam family "Plant small nucleolar RNA R71". Lineage: Eukaryota; Viridiplantae; Streptophyta; Magnoliopsida; Sapindales; Rutaceae. The record is from RNAcentral.